AACUAAUUUGAGGAUGAACACUGUGUUCCUGAAAGUCUUACUCUAAUGAUACUUAAAGAAGCAAUGAGAAUGGAUGUUGCAGCAGCUUUGCCUGAACUCAACCCCAGUUCCAAACAUGGAACAUGUGAAAACCAAAAAUGCUUUGUUUUUUUCUCUUUAUGACUUCUCUAGUUGGGGAAUGUAUUAGAUAUUCACCUAAUCAGUAGGCCUUGAAGGGAUCCCAUGUUAGCCCCUUGAUGUUGGUCUGUAACUAAGUAAAUACUUGACCUUGAAAAAGCUUUUGGAUCUGUUGAUUUGGUCAUUUGCUGAUUUAUAGCUUGUUUUCUGAUUCAGGAUGGGAUAUGGCUCCAUACAUAGAGGCAAUUGAUUCACAGCAGUCGUCAUGCUUCAUUGUAAGUAUAUAUACAAUACAGUGUCAGUUUUUCUUGAUGUUAAAUUUCAUAUCUUGAAGUGGUACUUCUGAUUCUCACAUGAUUUUUCCAUCUUUCAGCUAAAGGUUUUCUGUGAUCUCUUACGUGUUAGAUGGGAGUCCACCCGUAGUCGCACAAAAGGGCGUGCUUUAGAGAUGUUGGACAAACUGGUAUGAUCUGUGAGCCUUUUCUUCUUAAAUAUUUUGUUGCCUAAACAUUUACAUUCAAAUCGACAAGAGUUGCUUAUCCAUCUAUAGAAGAUUCCAAACUUUCUGCAGCUAGUACUUUAUUGGACCCAAAAGCUUUUUUGCUUUUUCUAAGCUGCUAAUCAAGACUAGAUUUCUCUCCCUUAUAUCGCUAGAUAUCCCAUUAAUUGUUAGAUUUAAUUGUCUAGAGACAUUAUGUACUGUGAAAAUUCAGAUUUCCUCUGUUUUAAUCUCUAUUUUCUCUUAUUAUACAAUAGAGAAGAAUACCUAUUUAUAUACAUUACACCCUAAGAACAAAAUGGUAAAAACAGUUAGGAUAUUGCAAAUCAGUAUCCCUGAAAAUUAGGGAUUGUAUCUCCUAAAAUCUAGUAUUUAAGUCAACACAUAACUGUAAAAUACAGCUGACAUCUACAACAAUAGUCAACACACAGUUGUAAAAUACAACUGACAUCUGCAACACUCCCCCUCAAGCUGGAGCAUAGAUGUUCUUCAUGCCGAGCUUGCAUACAAACUCUUCAAACUUGUGUCCAAGUAUUCCUUUUGUCAACAUAUCUGCAGUUUGUUGUCUUGUUGGAAUAUACACCAAACAGAUAACUCUAGUUUCCAAUUUCUCUUUAAUAAAAUGUCGGUCUACCUCCACAUGUUUUGUCCUGUCAUGAUGGACAAGAUUAUGAGCAAUAUUAAUUGCUACCUUAUUGUCACAGUAAAGUUGCAUAGGACUGUUUUUGAUUAACUGCAGUUCUUUGAGAACACGUUCUAUCCACAUAAGCUCACAUACCGCAUGUGCUAGUACUCGAAACUCUGCUUCUGUACUGCUUCGUGCCACUACAGUUUGCUUCUCCACGUUACAAGGUUUCCCCACACCUUAGUACAAUAACUUGUUGUAGACUUCCUAUCCAUGACGUUUCCAGCCCAAUCCGCAUCAACAAAAGCUUCUACAUUCUUUUUUUCUCCCUUUUCAAAAUAAAGUCCCUUUCUCGGUGUUGACUUUAGGUAUUGAGCUUUUCUUGGAGAGUGCAUAAAUUGGCUCACUAAGCUAACAACAAAAGUAAUAUUAGGUCUAGUAUGGGAAAGAUAAAUUAAUCUCCUUAUUAGUCUUUGAUAUCUCCCCCUCUCCACGGGUGCACUAUUUUCUUCAAGACCCAACUUGCUAUUUGGUUCAGUUGGUGUGGCAGCAGGUUUACAGUCAAUCAUACCAGUGUCCUUUAGCAAAUCUAGGGUGUAUUUCCGCUGUGUAACUAGAAUACCUUUAGCUGUUCUAGCUACCUCCAUUCCUAAAAAAUAACGUAAUGGUCCAAGAUCCUUGAUUUCAAACUCACAAGCUAAUUUUGCCUUUAAUCCUUCCAGCUCUUCUUUGUCAUCUCUUGUUAGUAUAAUGUCGUCAACAUAUACACGAUCAAAAUAGCUAACUUCCCUUCUUUAGAGCGUUUGUAGAACAUAGUGUGAUCAACUUGCCCUUGAGAAUAACCAUAGUUCUUCAAGACUUUUCCAAAUCGGUCGAACCAGGCCCUAGGGGACUGUUUAAGGCCAUAUAGAGACAUUUUUAACCGACAAACUCUUCUAGCAGGUCCUUUUUCUUCAAAACCAGGCGGCAUAUCCAUGUAAACUUCCUCUUCCAAUUCUCCAUUCAAGAAGGCACUCUUGAUAUCGAGCUGGUUGAGAGGCCAAUCUAAAUUUGCAGCAAGAGAGAGAAAGAUCCUUACAGUAUUAAGUUUUGCCACUGGGGCAAAAGUCUCUAGGUAGUCCACCCCAUAGGUUUGUGUGAAACCCUUCGCCACGAGUCUUGCUUUGUACCGGUCUACACUUCCAUCAGCCUUAUAUUUGACUGUAAAUACCCACUUGCACCCCACAGUCCUCUUGUCUUUACGUCUUGGUACAAGCUUCCAUGUGUUAUUCUUUAUUAAGGCUGCCAUUUCUUCUUGAACAGCUUUCUUCCACUCAUUUGACUCUAAGGCUUUAUGGAUGUUUCUUGGAAUAGUGCUAUGAGAUAGAUUAGCCACAAAAUUUCUAUACUCUUUAGAUAGAUUUGCAUAUGACAAGAACUUGUAGAUAGAAUGUUUGGUGCAAUUUCUUACCCCUUUCCUUAUCGCAAUAGGCAAAUUUGUGGACUUCUGAGCUUCGUUCUCAGCAUAUUCAGUAGGUGGGUUUUGAUCCUCCCUGAGUUCAGAUCUUGGUUCUGCUUGGUCUAUAAGUGGCUGUACCUCUUGAGUUUUAUUCUUCCUUCGUGAAUAAACAUGAAACUCGCCUAUAGGUUCCUCCAAAUGUGAAUUGGCUUUUAUCCCUUCAUUCCUUGGUGACACUAUUGGUUGAUUAAGUUCUAUGGUGUUAGGUAGGUUAGGAUGAAUGUCUGGACUGAGGGAGGAGGUAUUUGGUAGAUUGAGUUGUAGGCUGGAACUGCUGGACAUAUUGGGUUCUAGGCUGGAAUUACUAGGCAUCUUAGGUUCUAAAAUGUCAAGAAGAUCCCAAGAAUUAUCUUCUCUCAAAUUCUGCCCCUGAAGAGAAUUACUCGGGUAAAAAGGCCGAUUUUCAAAGAACUUAACAUCCAUGCUGACAAAUAAUUUUUUUGUAAGAGGAUAAUAGCACUUGUACCCUUUCUUGGUAGGAGAAUAUCCUAGAAAUAGGCACUUGAUGGCUCUAGGAGACAGCUUUGUUCUUUGAAGACUUGGAAGAUAGACAAAGGCUGUACAACCAAAAGUUUUGAGUGCAAGAUUAGAGGUAACAAGGUGAUUUUGUGGGUAGCUGUCAAGAAAAACAUAAAUAGGUGUCUUGAAUUUAAGAACUUGAGAGGGCAUACGAUUUAUGAGAUAAGAUGCUGUAAGAAUGGCCUCUCCCCAAUAUAUUUUUGGUACAUUAGUUGUGAACAUAAUGGCCCUAGCAACCUCUGAAAGGUGUAUGUUUUUACGUUCCGCAACCCCAUUUUGUUGUGGUGUUCCGGAACAAGAACUUUGGUGGACAAUUCCUUGUUGUGAUAGGUAAUUCCCUAAAAUAGAAUUGAAAUACUCAGUUCCAUUAUCUGUACAGAAUACACGAAUGUCAGUUUAAAACUGAUUUUUUACCAUGGCAUGGAACUGUUUAAAAGUUUGUCCAGCUUCAGAUUUUUCCUUCAAAAGGUACACCCAAGUGGUCCUAGAGAGGUCAUCUAUGAAUGUAAUGAACCAUUUUGCUUUUGACAGGUUGUGAACCCUUGAGGGGCCCCAAAUAUCACUAUGAAUCAAAGAGAAAGGUUGGGAUGGUUUAUAAGUACGGGCAGGAAAUGGAACACGUGUUUGUUUACCCAUUUGACAAAAAUCACAAUAUAAUAAACUCAAAUCUUUAUUUUUAAAUAAGGAAGGAAACAAGGUUUUUAGAUAUGGAAAGCUAGGGUGGCCUAACCUAUAGUGCCACAACAUUAUUUCAGAAGAAACAAAUUCACAUUGAGAAACCUAAGCAUGUCCUUUCACGGGUCCUUUAUUCUCGAGAUAAUACAGCCCCUCAUAUUCCUUCGCAUUCCCAAUCAUCCUCCCCAAGAUUGGAUCUUGAAAUAGACAUUUAGAACCACAGAAUUUUGCUACACAGCUUGUGUCCUUGGUAAGUUUAUUAAUUGAAAGAAGAUUACAUUUAAGAUUUGGGACAUAUAAAACUGAAAAAAGAGUCAAACAAUCUGAUAGUUUUAUUGUUCCUUUUCUAGCAAUAGUGGAUAAUGAUCCAUCAGCAAUCCUCACUUUAUAAUUACCUGGACAUGGAGUGUAACUAGAGAAAAAUUGAGAAGACCCUGUCAUAUGGUCUGAGGCCCUUGAAUCAACAAUCUAAGGACCUUUUUCAAGGGAUUGGAUGUUAAGGGCUGAUGGGUUACCUGUAUGGACUGCAUUACAACCAGAGGAGGUCAAGUCAUUUCUUUUUGCUUGCUGAUUUUGUAUGAGAAGCUGUUGCAGCAUCUCAAAUUGAUCUUUUGUGAGGGCAAACUGAUUAGUUUUCUCUGUCACCAUUCCUUUUGCUUCCUGCUGACGUUUUGGUUUCCAAUCUGCUGGCUUUCCAUGAAGCCUCCAGCAUGAGUCUCGAGUAUGUCCUUUCCUGUGGCAAUAGUCACAGUAAGGACGUUCUCCAUGUUUUUGUCCCUUUUGGUCAGCUGACUAGUCUGUCUUUUUGGUCACCAGCGCUGAUCUCUCUGUCUCGGCUUCCUUUACCAGUCCCAUCAUGACUCUUUUUUGACUUUCUUCACGCCUUACCUCAGCAAAAGCUUCUUGGAUGGAGGGUAGAGGAUUCUUUCCCAAUAUUCUGCCACGAACUUCAUCAAGUUCUUUGUUGAGUCCAUAAAGGAAAUCAAAGAGGCGUUCUUUAUUCAACAUCCUCUUAUAUUUAAUGGCAUCCUCGGAGCAAUGCCACUGCGAUUCAUAGUAAAAGUCGAGUUCUUGGCAUAUAUUGUUUAGAGAACUGAAAUAUUGAGUCACUGAAAGACUCCCUUGUUUCUGGUCACGUAAUUGUGACUUGAUUUCAAAGAGCUGAGCUGCAUUCCCAAGGUCAGAGACUCAGAGUAGGUUUCUGUCACAGCUUCCCAAAGCUCCUUCGCAGAUGGUAGGAAGAGAUAAGUCCUACCAAUAUCCACGUCCAUCGAGUUGAUCAACCAAGCUUGCACCAUUGAAUUUUCAGCAUCCCACUGCGGAUAACUAGGAUCUAAGACAUCAGGGGCUUUGGUUUCCCCUGUAAUAUACCCUAAUCGGCCUUUGCCACAAAAAAAUAGGGUGACGGAUUGAGACCAUUGCAAAAGGUUUCUGCCAUUUAACUUGUGCAGAGUUAUUUGCAAAUAGGGGUUUUUGGUACCUAAGGAGACUGAAGAGAUGUCCUGCCUUGUUACAGAACCGGAGGAAAUCUCAGAUUCUUGUGCAGGGUUUGUUGUCUUCUCCAUUGGAUGGUUUGAGACUUUAGAAUUGGAAGAGGAGAAAAUUUCAGAGGCUCAGCUCAAAAGCUGCUCUAAUACCAUGUGAAAAUUCAGAUUUCCUCUGUUUUAAUCUCUAUUUUCUCUUAUUAUACAAUAGAGAAGAAUACCUAUUUAUAUACAUUACACCCUAGGAACAAAAUGGUAAAAACAGCUAGGAUAUUGCAAAUCAGUAUCCCUGAAAAUUAGGGAUUAUAUCUUCUAAAAUCUAGUAUUUAAGUCAACACGUAGCUGUAAAAUACAGCUGACAUCUACAACAAUAGUCAACACACAGCUGUAAAAUACAGCUGACAUCUGCAACAUGUACUUGCAUCUCUGCUUUUCACUUCACAACUGAUUUCAUGUGCUAUCUUGUGUUCUGGUUCAAGAUUUUUGAUGGUUGCUUAACAUCAUAUUUUGCUUUGUUUCAGGUUGAGGGCAUUUCUAAUUCUUCUCCCGGUGUGACUCAAAGGAUUCCCUUUUGUUAUGUGAUUUACGUUCCAACUAUUCCUGCCCUGCGAAAGUAAAACUAUUUCUUCUGCAUCUUUGAAUGAUUGUGAUUUAGUUUUCUUGUCAUUUUGCCAACUAUCAUUAUGCUGUCAUUGUUUCAUAUCUUAGUUGAUAUAUGUUGACUUGGUUAGAGUUUAAUUGCUCUGUUUAUUCUCUUCAUAAUCUGUCUAUUUCGAUUUUUCUUGAUUUUAGGGAAUUUGCUGAACUUUUAGUAAGCUGUGGCUUGAUUGGAGAGGCUAUUAAAAUUUUUGAGGAUCUGGAGUUGUGGGAUAAUCUAAUAUACUGCAACUGGUAUGGUGUCAUAGAUAACCAUUAUCCUAAUCUCUCUCUCUCUCUCUCAUGUUGCUAAUGGGAGUUGGUUUUGUGUAUGAUGUAAAAAACAGCCUAUUGGGGAAGAAAGCAGCAGCUGUUGAACUAAUAAAAGCAAGGCUGUCUGAAAAGCCUAAUGACCCUAGAUUAUGGUUUGUUGAUGAGCCUUUUCUACGAUCCAUUUUAUAGUUACUUCUCAUUUCAGUUAAAUCCAUUGUUGAUGUCACUUAUUGCAAUGUAGGGAUAAUUGUUCAUUGGAUGUGAGGAUAUUGUCAAAAGAAAAUGAAACAUUUUAAUUUUAUCUUUUACUUGCUGUAGCCGAUUUAAAAGCUCACAGUGCGUUCUUACUGAUUGCUUUUGGUCUUGCAUUUGAGUCAAUGGAUUUUAUACUCAUAUUCUGACAUUUAUUGUUAGUCUUCUGACGGUUCUGCACCUUGGUCCUAUAUUAUCUUCAGCAGUAUUAUCUAAAAGAUAAGUUUUUGCCGAAGAAAAUUUGCAUUCUAAACUAGAAAAUGAGGGGCCUGGGGGGGGGGGGGGGCGGGGGCGCAACAGGAGACUGUUUUCCACUUAUCCUCUUCCCUGCCUGCAUUUUAGAUGAUUCUGAUGCACCAGGUGCUGUGAAAUGGUUGAGAAAUACAUACCAUCAAGUGAAUUCUGAAAAUCAUAUCCUUCUUGAAAAUAUUUGGUGCUAGACAUUUGAAUAUAUGGCCACAAUUUAAACAAUAAAGAUUUUCUGCAUUGAUUUCUUAUAAUGGAUAUAUGCAUGUAAGUAAAAUAUGAUAUCUUUUGAUUAUUGGCCCAUUUGUUCAGAAAGAAGGAAAAAAAAAAAUACAUGGUGAUAAUGUAGCCAGAAUGAUGAGUUGAAUUGUGGGUUGCUGACUUGUGAUACAUUUUGUAGGUGUUCAUUAGGUGAUGUUACAAAUAAUGAUGCCUGUUAUGAAAAAGCUUUGGAAGUUUCGAAUGAUAAGUCAGCUCGAGCUAAGGUGAUAUUUGUUGCACAGAGAAAAUGUAGUUCACAUUAUGCUUGUACCGUGAUCAUUUUUUAGUUAACAUAUCUUUAUGUGAAUCAGAGGUCUCUAGCUCGUAGUGCUUACAAUAGAGGGGAGUACGAGACGUCUAAAAUCCUUUGGUAUGUUGCUUUAAUGCUUUACUUCUCUUUCUGCCACACAGUAAUUUGCUGCAUUGACAACUGAGAUGGCUGAAUGACAAUUUACCCUUGGUUUUGUCUCAGGGAGGCUGCCAUGGCCUUGAAUUCUUUGUAUCCAGAUGGCUGGUUUGCUCUUGGUGCUGCUGCAUUGAAGGUAUCAUAUUUUUGUAUUAGUAUGUGUUUAGUGUGGAGAGAUUUCUUAUCCUUUUGCCCCAAGUUUCUGAAACUCUCGGCUGAAAUAUAAAUACAGGCUCGGGAUGUUGAAAAGGCUCUGGAUGGGUUUACUCGGGCUGUUCAACUUGAUCCAGACAAUGGGGAAGCUUGGAACAAUAUUGCUUGCUUGUAUGCUCUUUUCUUUGUCAUCAUGUCAUUCCAUCCUCUUGCUCUGUAUUCUUUAAUAUGGUGUCAAUCACUUUCAUCUUCUAUCUGCAAGAGUAUGCUUCCCAUAUUUGGUUUACUUUGUUUUGACUUUCUUGUUGCAGUUGUUCUAUAUAAAUUUUAUAUGGUUCCAUAUUCCCUUGAUGAGUGAAUUUAGUUGCUGCAAAUGCUAAGAGCUAGAUAGUACUGUUAUAAUUAGGAAUAGGGCAAAUAUUAGCCAGCUCUUUUGAGGAUUAUCCAUAGCAUAUGCCUCCGUCGUUUUCAAAGCAAUUGAAGUUCUCCUUUUCGUCUUAUUUAAAAGAAAAAAGCACAAAUUGCUUCCCUCACAUCUCUCUACAGUCUCUUUUCUCUCUGUUUAAUUUUUUCUUGUGCUUAUUAUUUGUCUUUUAAUGCGUCUUUUCUUCUUAUUUUAUACUGUACUAGAGUUUGUGCAGUCUCAAUUUCAUCUUGUCUGUGACUUACUGUUUUUUUCGCAAUUGUGGAACUUUAUUUAGCAGCAUAAUUAUUAGUUAGUGAGACAUUAAUUGGUAAACACCACUUGUGAAAAGAUACGAAGAGCUACUUAUUCUCUCUACUAGUACAUUUAAAAAAUUCAUGAGAAAAUAUCUGGGAUGGUAAAAUUCUCGUCAAUUAUAACAAUGGAAGUCUUGAGAUUUAUGUAAUCUUGCAGGCAUAUGAUCAAGAAGAAGAGCAAAGAGGCUUUUAUAGCAUUCAAGGAGGCCCUAAAGUUCAAGUUCUGUUUUUUUCCCCCCUGAUCACAACAUUUUUAUUUUCUGUCAUGCACAAUGCAGUCGGACACUAUCUGAUCACUAGAACACUGUCAUACAUAAUUUGUUGCUGCUAGGCAAAAGGUGAUAUCUAAUGUAAUAACCUAUAACAUGAUUUUGUAACAGACGGAACAGUUGGCAAUUGUGGGAAAACUACAGCCAUGUUGCUUUGGAUGUGGGCAAUAUUGGUCAGGUAACCGCGGUUGUGCGCUUAAUUUCGAUCAUUUAUCACUGAAAUCUUUUGAGAUGAAGUUGGCAUUUUCUUAGCCACCCUCUGAUGGUUUUGAUUGCUUCAUGUAUGUUGUCAUCUUUGUCAACUAAUGAAAGCUGCAGAGAUUUUGUCAUCUUUUCAUUUAAAAGAAUUUGAUAGUUUAUAGCCCAUUGUCAUUUUUGCAUAUGUAUGUUAUUGUUCUUUUGACCUUUUUGUACCUCAGCUUCAUCCUUUUAUGCAAGCAAUUCGUUGUCAAGAAAUAUCUGGAUAACAAUUUUUUCCCAUGAAUAUUUUUACGCUCAUCAAGGUCCUUGAACAGUCAUGGUUAAUGGAUUACAGAUUCUCAAAUUUAUAAUUAUUUUUUUCAGGGUCAUUGUCCUUUGAUAUAUGCAACUUGAUGCAUGACUUUCUAAUGAUUAACUCCCUGCCCUCACCAUGGUCGUAUAAAUAUUUUGACAAGUGGGGAUUGUAUGAUUACUUUGUGCUAGGAAUUUUUUUGGUUGGAAAGAAAUGGGAGGAUUUUUCAAGAAGCUAGGGAGGGAAGACACCAAAUUAUUUUUGGUGGAUAAAGCCUGCUGUCACUUUGGGCAUCAAUUUCUAAUGAAUGCAAUAAUGUUCCUUUCUUUGCUAUUCAUUAAAAUUGAGUUGUUCUUCUUGGAUGGCCUUCUUUUUACUUCUCAUUAUUUUGCCAGCUUGUUGAUUGUCAUUUUUGCUUGUUGGCAGUCUUUUCCUGCAGUGUUAAUAAUAUUUAAUUAUAAUAUUAGACAUCAGUGUCCUCAACAUGAUCUCUCUCCCAAAUUUUUACUCUUUUAUUCAUUAUAGUUUUAGCAGUUUCUUUAUUUUUGUUUUAUUUUAUUUUUGCAGGCUCUAGAGGCUGUGCAGACGGUGUUGAACAUGACUAAUAAUAAAAGAAUUGAUACUGAAUUAUUAGAAAGAAUAGUGCUAGAUCUGGAAGGAAGGACUUCAAUUAUAGAAUCUGAGUCUUGCAGGACUACGCAUAAUCUUAACAGAACUAAUAACACUUGUGCAAAAGAUUUACCUGUAGAAUCUGUCCAUGUAUCAUCACCUGAGGAGUCAAUCAUGGGAAGAUCACGAGAAAAUGAGCACUUGAUGGAGUUUCUUGGGAAAAUUCUUCAGCAGGUUGCACAUGUUUCCGUGAUCAUCUUUUUUCCGUCUUUUAAUACUGAGCUAAGGGACAUUCUCUCUCUUUCACGCAUAUCCAAAACACAUGUACAUAUUUCUCAUAUUUCUAUGCGUAUAUAUUAUCAUUUCUGAUCUUUCUUAGUUUAUAUGAUAAUUGUCUUUGGGCAUAUGAUUCAUAUUUGCUGGGCAUCCUAUGGUCUGUGGGUCAAUAAUAAUCCAUAGUAUCUGAAUUUCUUGACAAAAUUGGUCAUUUUGGCAAAUCAUUUGGACGUAUCUAUGCAGCAGUUUACUAUUUUAGUGCUUGCAGGAAUUGGUAUGCUUAAAUUUUGGGCUUAAAUUGUGGGAAAAUAAUCAAAGUGAUAUGCAAAUUAAUUCAAGCCACACGAGGAAAGAAUAUCCUUUCUUUUUUUUUUUUUUUAAGCUUAUGUUACAUGUUUCUCUGUAUGGCAUAGGUAGUUCGAAGUGAGAGUAGUGCAGAUAUGUGGGGAUUAUAUGCAAGGUGGCUUAAAUGUAAAGGAGAUCUUACAAUGUGCUCUGAAGCCCUCUUAAAGCAAGUCAGAUCAUAUCAGGUUUUUCCAUAAAUCUCAUCAUCUUAUAAUAAGUUAGCAUUAUGUUUUACUUUGAUGUUGAUGGAAUUUGUUAAUGCUAAUCAAAUUUUGUUAAUCUCUCUCUCUCUCUCUCUCUUUUAAAAAGAAGGCAAAGAAAAAGCUGUGAUUUCAUUUUUGUUUUCUAAAUUUGUUAAAUAAAGGAAUGACAAGUUGACAACUCAGCCUCUCUCUCUCUCUCUCGCUCUCUCUCUGUGUCUGUGUCAGGGAUCUGAUUUGUGGAAAGAUAGAGAUCGGUUUAAAAGGUUUUCAUAUGCAUCCUUGGAACUUUGUAAGGUUUACACGGAAAUUUCUUCCUCUUCUGGUAGCCGUCGAGAACUCUUUGCUGCUGAGAUGCACCUGAAGAACGUACUUAAACAAGUAAAACACCUUAUAAUUUGAUAUUUAGGACACUUACAGUUGGUUUAAAGAUUGCAUUUUCCGUUUCUGUUUUUGACUGGUUCAGGGUAAAACUUUUUCCCACUGUGUUAGAGUGCAUUUCUGUUAUUAUAUAGUUUCUUAGAAGAGAAUGCGCUUUUUGGAAUCUCAGGCUGAAGGAUUUGCUGACAUGGAAGAGUUCAGGGAUCUUCAAGCUUGCCUUGAUGAAGUGAAGACGAAACUCCAAUCUGGUCCCGUGGCUACCUAAGUAUCAGGAACGUGCUAUUUUUGAAUAUCAGGAAUGUGCUAUUAUUUUAGUUCGUACUGUAGUUGAGACCUUAACCAUGACUGAAUAUCUUGUAUUGCUGUACCACCUUUUCUGUAACAAAACAGUCUAGUUUUAGUAUUUUUAUUAUUUUUGUAUUUUCAGUGCUGUAACUAAUCUCAUUUGACAAUGUAAAUAUAUGGCUUCAAGUUAUUUAAAUGUAAAAUCAAGUGUUGUUUUCAACCUCUGUUCUUUUAUGUAUAGCUUACAUGCCGUGAUUUCAUUAACCUCAAUUUAAGGACAAUUUCAUAUCUUUUUUCUUUCUGCUUUUCUUUUAUCAUUUAAGAACAAAUAUGAAUAUAUUUCAGACAGCAUUUAAACAAAGCAACCGAACGUCGCUGGUUUCUAUUAUUACAUUGACAGCAAUAAAACAAAGAAGCAACUGAAAGUUAUCUUCAUAUGAGAAUGAAAGCUUUUCAGCAGCAUAACACUAUUCAUUUCCAAACGAGUUCCUCAACAUGAGAACAAAUUCGUAGACCUUUUCUGGGUCUGGAAGGAUCCUGGCAACAGUUUCCCUUUGCAUGCACUUGUUCAUCCAAGCGGAGAAUUUGGGGCACUCAUUCGCAUCCUUAAAUCACCCAAAUUUCUCAACCGCGUAAAACCAACAAAUUUCUCAACCCCCAAAUUUGGGACAUCAACGAAUCCAAAGCUAUCCCCGCCAAAGAAAUCCUUCUCCCCUAAAGCUCCCUCUAGUUGCUUCAAUAUCUCUAUAAAUUCAUUCUUUGCCGUCUCCUGUGUUUUAAAAAAUCUAUUGUAAUGGAUCUAUUGUAAAUUUAUCUAACUGCUUGUUAUAAUGCUUCUAUUGCGGUGUUAUUCGAGUUGUCAUUUUCAGUUUUAUUUUAUUUGUUCUUUAAACAUAGUUAAUUUGAAAUGUUCUUUAAUAUCCAUUACACUUGAGAUCAUCAAAUAAGUGAUUCUUGAAUAUAAUUGCUGUUGUUACUCGAAUAAGAAAAGAAAACAAAAAAUAGCUAAGGUAAAAGUAAAUGGAAAUGAGAGCAACGUGAUUUUGCAAAGAGAACUUCACACUAUCAUAAAACCGAAAACAUUACAAUUUAAAGCUUUAAUAACAACACAUCAAAGUCAAAUAACGACCCACUAGAAUCAUGGUCCAAAGAUUGUGCCAUGAUCACAACAUGAACUACAAAAAAAUAACCAACACCAGAAAAGUAGGAACAGUUUGAAACUUUCAACUAAGCAGCAUUUAUGAUUCCACAUCAGCAGCCCUAAACACAUCUUCUAACAAUCGCAACUGCUCAUUUUUGCUUCUGCCAAUAAAGAGUUGAUUGUAACCAAAGAUUGUUGUCUUUAUUGUCAUUUGAGAGUAACAAAUUACUUACGCAGUCACGUAAGUUGUUGGUUGGCCUCGCACAUUUUUGAGAAGUUUGUUUCUGAAGGAAACCAGCUGAGCCGCAACCUCUUCCAUGCUCAUUCGUUCUCUCGGCAACUCUGAAGAGCAAAUGGCUCCGAUUCCCAGUACGGAAACCAAGCACUCUUUACCACUAAAACUUCUGGUCCAUUGUUUGUGAGCAUUGGCGUUGCUUUUCUCCCCUUCUUCUCUUUCUACAAGAAGCACUGGAUCAACAAUUUCAGCGAGUCUUUCAGGAAGAGCUUCCUUGACAAAAUUAUGUAGGGUUAGAUUGCCUGUAAACAUUUCAUUCGUCGGCCUCUUUCCUGUAAACAUUUCCAGCAAGAGUAUUCCAAAACUGUACACAUCUCCACUUGUUGAGACUUCGCUCCCCAUUCCGUACUCUGCAAUUCGAAAACUAAAAUUGUUGGUUCAACUAGUAAAAUCUCAAAGGAUUGAAAGACAAGUUAAUUAAAUAAUAGUAAUUACCUGGAGCAGCAUAACCAACGGUUCCUUUUACUCCAACAGAGCUUGAUUGAUUAGAUGACAAGUUAUUGGUGGCUUCCGGAAGGAAUUUUGCUAAUCCAAAAUCACCUACAUGGGCAGUCAAUUCACUAUCCAGAAGAACAUUGCUUGGCUUGAGAUCACAAUGGACUAUUGGAGUUUCGCAAUAAUGAUGAAGAUAAUCCAAUGCAGAAGCAACAUCAACGGCAAUACUCAGUCUUUGCAGGAGAUUUAGAUUCUUAAGUGCCUCACGGUUUGGAUGCAACCAUUCCUCCAGGCUUCCGUUAACCAUGAACUCAUAAACUAAAGCCUCGAAAUCAUUUCCUUGGAAGUCAACACUUGCACAGGAAGUUAUUAUUUUGACGAGAUUCCGAUGCCUAAUAUUUCUCAAGGCCUGACACUCCGCUAUGAAACUCUUUGAAGCUCCUCGAUGUUGAAGAUUAAGCACCUUAACUGCCACCAGCGUUUCAUGAUCAUCAUGAUUGAGGACUCCUUUAUAGACCGAACCAAAGCUACCGGCACCAAUCAAGUUUUCCAAAGAGAACCCGUCAGUUGCUUUGAACAGAUUCUCAUAGGACACUCGUAAAACCGAAGCCAAGAGAGCUGAUGGAGGAGUGGCCGGCUUCCUUUUUGAUUUGCCCCGCCAGGAAGUAAUUAUCAAACACGACAUCCCUGUUACUAACAAAAUUCCUGUAACAACAGGAAUAAUCAGUUUCAGGAAACGGGAACGUGAUUGCAUUGAUUCUUUGAUGGAACAAGUAGAUAAAUGCAACUCAGAUAUGCCACCACAGAGGUUAUCAUUUCCGUCAAGAGAUAUAGCACUCGAAUUGCUGAAGACUCCUUUUAUUGGUACUUCACCCUCAAAAUGAUUAAAAGACAGAUUUAAAUUCUGCAAAAAGGGAAAGUUUUCCAGAUAUUUUGGAAUUCGGCCAGACAAAUUGUUCCUCGAAAGAUCAAGAUUCUCAAUGCCUCUCAAAGAACUGAAUGAUGAAGGGAUAUUCCCUUGAAAGAAAUUACCAUUCAUGAUGAGUUGUACCAACAUAAUGCAACUUCCUAUACUGCUUGGAAUUUCACCAGACAAUUUGUUCUCCGAUAUGUCUAUAAAACCCAGAUUUUUCAAGAUACCAAAAUUAGAGGGCAAAGGACCAUUCAAAUGGUUUUGAGAUAGAUCAAGAUAGAUUGACAAGGAAGAGAGGCCAAUCACUUCAGUGGGUAUGGUACCACUGAGGUUGUUAUUGGAGAGAUCUAAUAAUAUCAAGUUUUGGCAUUUCCCUAGACUUGAUGGAAUGUUUCCCUCUAACAUGUUUUCCGCAAAAUCUAGUAUAGCUAACGAUGUCAAAUUUCCUAUAGAAGAUGGAAUUUCCCCCCAAAACUUGUUCCCCAGAAGCCACAACGUCUGCAGCUUAUGAAGAUCUCCUAUACUUCCCGGAAUUCGGCCUGUGAAUUGGUUGCCCCCAAGGUGUAAAAGCUCUAAGUUAACAAGAUUUCUUAAUCGAUUUGGGAAAUUUCCGAACAACUGAUUGUUUCCAACUAUUAAUAUUCUAAGUCGGGUUGACAAGUUCCCCACAGCUUCAGGUAACAUUCCACCAAAAUUGUUGUCACUAAUUUGCAGUAGCUCUAGUCUGGAAGCGUUGACCAAAGAAUUGACAAAUUCCAAGUCAUCCUUUUUCCCAUUUCCUAAGUGAUUCAGAUAAAAACUAACCCAUUGGAGUUUAUGUAAAUUUUCCAAACUAGGCACCUUUCCACUGAAUCCAUUCAUUGGGAUUGUAAGUCUCAUUAGAUUUGAGGCAUUGGAUAUUGAAGCAGGAAUAGGCCCAGUAAACUGAUUACCACCAACGUUUAAUCGUUCAAGAUUAGGCAGAGUGAAGCCUAAGUCUGAUGGAAGGCUUCCUUGAAGUUGGUUAUGAGGGAAAUCCAAAUAAUUAAGCGAAGACAAGUUGUAGAUUGAGAAAGGGAUUUCACCUGAUAGCUUAUUUACUCCCAAUAAUAUAUCACGCAUCCUCUUUAGCUGACCCAGUGUUUCAGGAAUUUGUCCCACAAAUUGAUUUGCAGCUGCUGAGAGGACCUCGAGUGAUGACAAAUUGCCCAAGGAAGAUGGGAUUUCUCCCGAAAAAUUGUUGUAGUGUACUGUGAGCAUCCGGAGCUUUGAUAUGGAGCCUAGUAACCCAGGAACUUUCCCCACAAGCUCAUUGACGCCUAACCUGAGGGAUUCAAGGUUAACGCAAUGCGAUAUGUUGUCAGGAAUUUGACCUCCGAAUGUAUUGUUGUUCAGCUCCAAAAUUCGUAACCUGAACAGAUAUCCAAUCUCUUGAGGGAUUUCGUUGCGGAAGCUAUUGUUUUUGAGAUCUAACACUCUGAGAAAACUCAAAUUACCAAUGUGAGGCGACAGAGACCCCUGCAAGAGUAAAGAUGGAAGACGUAAUCCAGUCACCCUUUGGUGCCGUCGACUGCAAGUGACACCUUUCCAUUGACAAAAGUGCCUGGAAUAGUUCCAUGAUCUCAAAACCUCAAGAGGGUCAUGAGUAACUUUGGCCUUGAAUUGAAGCAAUGCAAGUUGAUCAGUUUCAUUGCUUUUGAGCAUAUAAUCGGUUGAUUGCAAGCUGAAGCUGAAGCAACAUAAAAUAAAGAAACAAAUGCUUACAAUGAUUGAACUCAUCAUGUUUACAAAAUUCAUUUAACUGCCGAAGGAAAUUAAAAUGAUAAAACUUUUAUAGAGGUUUGUAAGAUAAAAUAUGUUUGUAUAUAUUUUGCAAUGAUUUAUGGACUCUGUCUUUGAUGCUCAAAUGUGAACCAGGUGGCACCGUGACAGUGAAACUAAUACUUUUUCUUUUUCUAAUAAUAUUAAUUAUCAUAUUUAUUACUAUUGUAAGAAUAAUAUACUGCAGCUUUAAAGAAAGACUCACCAUACUCUCUUUUGAGUUUAAUCACCAAUAUUGAAAAGGAAAAAAAAAGUAGGGCAAGAGAAAGGUAAAUACGAUGGGUGGAGUGUUAAGACUACUGUUAAAUGAGUUGGGAAACGUUCAAAGCACGAUGGGAAUUAAAGAUUCACAACACCUUUUUUCUAAAAUUUUCAAUACAGUCUCCCCCAAAAUUUGCUAGUGCAACAAAGAGACGUCGCGCCGUUAACAAUUUUAAACUGUAAAUGACAUGUCGUUUUCACAGAAUUCGUUUAACUGCCGGAGGAAAUUGAAAUUAUAAACUUUUAUAAAGGUUGGUAAGAAAAAAUAUACUUGCACAUAUUUUUUUUUCAAUGAUUUAUGGACGCUGUACUUGAUGCUGAAAUGUGAACCGGCUGGCACCGGGACAGUGAAAUUAAUGCUUUUUGUUUUUCUAAUAAUAUUAAUUAUCCUUUUCCUUUAAGGAAGACCCGCCACACUCACUUUUGACGCUCUAUCAGUUUCCAGCAUGUUGUCGUUUUGUAUUUUAGUGCAUUAAAGAAAUCCACAAUGAAUAUAAAAUAAUUUAAUCAACAGUAUUAGAAAAAGAAAAAAAGUAGGAUAAGAAAGUUAAGUAUGAUGGAUGGAGUUUCACAUUUCUGUUAAAUGACUUAGGAAAUGUUUAAAGCACCACAGGAAUCAACGUUUCACACGCUUUUUAGAUUUUUUUUCUAAAAGGAAAAAGAUAUUCUCACGAAAGAAAGUACAAAAUUUCACACAAAACGGUGCAUUUAAAUAAAGUAAAAUUGCAAAAAUACUCAAAAUAUAUAAGAUUGAUCAUUUACACCCUCCUUGUUUUUUUUGGGUGAACUAUUUCUGGAAAAUGGGCAGAGCCUAGUUUUGGUUCAAAAUUUGAAAUAACAAAUGGUAUAUUGGUGGAAAACCAACGACAUAUUUUCUAAUGCUUAACCUAAAUGGGAAUUAUAUCGGUUUGUACUGUCAAUAUAACAAACAACUAACUAAAUUAUUUAGAAGUCAUGAAUAAAAAUGGAUAGAACAAGAAGUAUAUUGCUAUUCGAUGCAAGAUGUUGGAUUAUUAAACCAUAAUAAAAUAAUAUAACUACACAUGUGCAAUGUUAUUCACUAAAAAGAUUUAAUUUAGAUAUUAAACAGUUAGUGCAACUGUAUCGAUCUCAUCCUCAUUAAUUUAGAGUUUGAGAACUCAUAAUAAAAGAAAAUAGAAAUUUAAACAUAGAUCCUAUCCUAUUAAGUAGAAUCAGAAAAGAAGUUUAUAGAAAUAAUUUUUCACGGAAGCAAUGAAAUAUUAAUCCGGUUGAUGGAUAUAUUGGUGAACACAUAAUAGAAUAUUAUAAUAGAUUUUUAUCUAUCAAGCAAAGGGAAGAAUAUAAUUGGAAUAACAAAAGAAUUAGAAGUAAAUAGUAAUAUGCUAAUAGGAUAUAAAGGAUUAUUAUUAAUUAUCGUAUUUGUGUAUAUAUAUAUAUAUUUUAAAUGAUUUAGGGACUCUGUACUUGAUGCUGAAAUGUGAACCGGCUGGCACCGGGACAGUGAAACGAGUACUUUUUUUAUUAUUACACGGCCUGUCGUUUUCAAAGAAAAAUUUUAUCAUGGUAUUCUUAUCCCCUAGCUGCCGUUUGUCGUUUGGAAUUUCUCUGUAUAAGAUUUUAAAGCAGCAAAAAUUUCGCCAUCUCGCGCCGGGGGGGUGGGGUGGGGGGAAGAUGAUGAUUCCGUGGAAUAUUAUCUUCGACUUAUCUGCUAUAAUCAGUGCUAACCGAUUUUGACACAUUUGCAGUAACGGAAGGGUUACAAUUACACGAGAUUGACACGAGGUAAUUAGCUAGUCAAGUCUCCGUGGGAAAAUUGUAAGCACUCAAGACUUAAAAAAGACUUUAUAAAGUAAGGCGUAUUAUGGAUGGUGUGGUUUGAUUCUCACUUGCAUCAAUUGUUCUUUUCAUUUUUCAUUGGAGGAAAGGAAAUUCAAGAGCCUGGUGUAUCUAGCAAAUUUUGUAACACGUUCUUGUAAGAUAAAAUAAAUAAAUAAAUAUAUCGGAUCCUAUUUCAUAGUUUAGUUAUAGGGUUAUUCGGAUGUCUGAAUUCAAAACAAGUUAAGUUUAAUCUCUAAAUAAUUUUGAGGAAAUCUUUCUACAAGGAGAGUUUGAAAUCAAUCACUACCCAUGUGUCAUUGGUCAGAUAAAUAGGUUAAGAACUCUAAUCCUAUCCCGACACAAAAAAAAAUCGUAUCGACUCGGACCUAGUCCAUUUUAAAUAACGGUUUAUUUAAAAUAAUUAUUUUUAUAAUAAUAAUUACUACUAUUAGUUGUCCUAUUAUUAUUAUUAACAAUAAUUAUUUUAAAUAAAAAUUGUAAUUAUUAUAAUAAAUGAUGACAAUAAUCAACUAAGAUUAUUUUGGUAUUGUAAUAAUCAAUUCCAAUUCCAAUAAAAAUUAGAUACAUUAGUGACAAUAUAAAUUAGGGUAGGGGUGGGCAAAUUCGGUUUGGAUCGGUUUGGGACAUAUCCUCAAACCGAUCCAAACUAAUCGGUUUGAAAUAUUUUCAAACCGAUAUCAACCUAAAAUUUUUUUAAACCGAACUGAUCCAAACCGAUUGGAUCGGUUUGGAUCCGGUUUGAACUUAUUAGCUAAAAUUUCACUUCUUUUAUAUUAUUUUACCUAAAUUAUUUGUUAUUUUUUUGUGUCCGCAAUCUAAAUUGAUACCUCUUUUAUAUUAUUCAUAUCUACUUUGAUAUCUACAUAACAAUUCAAAGAUACAUCCAUACAAGUUUACAGCAUAAUACAUCCUAAUAAACAAGUUCUUAACCUGUUCAUUCAAAACAAACUCACAAAAUUAAAAUAAACUUAAACCACACUUGACAAUUAAAAUAUUGUGCAUCUUGUCCGUCAAAAUUUAUAGUCCAAUUACUUUUGAUUUGUUAAAAUCUGCAUAAAAUGAUAAAUAUAAUUAUUUAGAUUGAUUAACUUAAAAUAUAAUGUAAUUAUAUAAUAUUUCUGGAUUGGAUCGGUUUGAAUCGGUUUGGAAUCCUUCCAAACCGAGUGAUGUCGGUUUGCAAUCCAAUAAACUGAAACCAGUUUUUUUACUAAUGAAACCGAUCCAAACCGAUCCAAAAGGUCGGUUUGGAUCGGUUCGGUUAAAAUAUGCCCACCCCUAAAUUAGGGGUUAUUUUUAGAAACCUCCCCUGAAGUUUAGUGUAUUGACAGUCGGAUAGAAAGUAUUCAUAUAAUUACAGGGACCUCCCCUGACGUUAGUAUUCCGCUAAGUGGACUGUCAGUUGACUAUUGAAAUUCCAAAAAUGCCCUUGCCGCAAAAAUAUAUUUUUAACAUAGAGGAGGUUGCGCUCUGAUCCUUUGUUCUGAAUUCAUUUUUUAUCCUUUGUUCUUAGUCACGGUAUAUAAGCCCCAUCCUUACCAAACAAAAUUUUAGAUCAAACAUGCUUAAAGAAAAUGGAUAAUGCAACAUCUAAAAUAAUUUUAAAACACAAAACAACAAAUACUCCACAUUUCAAAGUAAUAAAAAAAUAAAUAAUCGUAGUGCAAAUAGAUUAAACCUGAGCAGAUUUAUAGGCAUUAAGAGUAUUCUCAACGGCGACUUUCCUCUCAUCGCCAGUCUUAAACUCAGCCAAGUUAAGCAAACUCAUGUCGAAACCAAAAUUAGAAUUUAGAAAGGAAAAAAACAGAAUUGAGAAUCAAUUUAUUUUUUGGGAGCACGUGAGUGAUGAGUUUUGGAAUCUAAAAUGAUAUCAAGUUAUGAAGUAUUUUUGGUGUAAACGCAACAGCCAUGAGAGGAGAGUGACGAGAAACUUCCAAAAAGAGGUGAAAAAAAAAACAGAAGAGAAAAAGGCCAAAAGGAAAAAGACUCAAAAAAACAAAAACAGAGAGGAGACGCAAGGGCAAUCAAGCAAGCAGACAAACAAUUUAAAACCUGAGCAGAUAAUCACCCUUCAUCUUCAAAUAAAACACCUUGGAAUCGGCAGCGGCAGCGGUGGGAACCAAUUUCUGGUCCAAUAAUUUCAAGAUCCCGCCACAGGAUCUCCAUCAACUCGGCUUCGAUCUUCGAUCUGUACUCCUUAAUCACGGAGACAUGGUCUUGGUUGCCGUGCGACUCGUCCUUCUGCUCGAUGGAGGACACGAUGCACCAAGAGGCGCGCCGUGCGCCGAUGACGUUCUUGUAGGCGACGGAGAGGAGGUUCCUCGCUGGUCGAGGCAGAGACGACGACUUUUUCCAUGUAUUGGACCAUCUCCUCGUACCACUCGGCUUGCUCCGCAAGUUUUUCCAUGUAUACGUUUUCUUCCCGUGGAGAAGGGGCUGCCAUUGUUCCGUUCAGUUAUCUUUGUGUUUGUUUGAAUUUUGUUUUUGUUUAAAUUUUAAAUUUAUUUUUACGUAUUUACCCUUUAUAAUAACGUUAUACGUAUUUUUGUAUUAACGUUAGGGGAGGUCUUUGUAAUUACAUGAAUAUUUUCUAUCCGACUGUUAAUACACUAAACCUCAGGGGAGGUCCCUAAAAAUAACCCUAUAAAUUAUUACAGCUAAAAUAAAUAAUUUAUAAUAAUUCUAAUUCUUUAUUUCAAUUCUAUUUUGAUUCUAUCUUAUUCCGAUUACUGAUUGGUAAGCAUACCACUAAACGAAAUGAAACUGUCCAUACACAAUAAAAUCUCUUUAAUUGAUCAUCUAGCCCAGCUAAAAUCAACGGUCCCGAAAGAAACAAUUUCGGAACUACUCAAGCCUGCAAAUCUUGCACUGUCGUAGUAAGUUACAGGAAUUUGAUUGGACGAUGUAAUAAAGAUGAAGGAUAAGAUCGCCAUUCGCCAAUCAAUUUUCUGUCCGCAUCAAGCAAAUAGGCCAUCUGUGAGGCGCAAAAUGAGUUAAAAAGAUGGAUAAUUUUGGAAUCCAUUAAUCCACAAUGAACAUAAAACAAUUUAAUCAACAGUAUUAGGAAAGAAAAGAAAAGUAGGAGAAGAAAGUUAAGUAUGAUGGAUGGAGGUUCAGAUUACUGUUAAAUGACUUAGGAAAGGCUUAAAGCACCACAGGAAUCAACGUUUCACAAAGCUUUUUUCCCUUUCUGAAAUAUUCGGUGCAGUCUCCCCCAGAUUUUGCCAGUGCAACCAAGAGACGUCAUGCCGUUAUCAAUUAUAAACUGUAAAUGACAUGUUGUUUUUACAAGACAUAUUAUGCGUCGAUACAUACCUAUGAAUGGGUUCAAGAAAUUCAGCAGGUUGCGAAACAAUAAGAUUCAUUCAAUCCGCGUAGAUAUCUGACUGACUGAAAUUAAAUAAACGAUGAUGAUAAGAAAUUUGAAAUCAACAAAUCUCGGCACAUCUAUUCUGCAGUUUGGCCGUACUUCAAAUAACCUUGCGAUAAAAAUUUCAUAAAAAAUCUCAGAAAGAGGACAGAACAACCAAGGCAUCAGCGAAAGCAAUCGAGGCAGGGCACGCUCAAGCCACGAAUUAGAGGAAUUUUAAAUAUCAAAACCUGCUCAGAAUAAUAAGAAAUAAAAUGAAACUACAAAAGGCUCAGAUUUUUGGAUGAGUGAAGGGAAGAUGAGAAGAUGAAAUGCAGAAAGUCAAGAAAUGAAUAAACCAAUAUUAAUAAUCUUGGACCCACAGCUCUAAUUUGGAUUAAGCAUCCAUCUACCUAUGUGGAUAAUAUUUUUGCUAACUUUUCAGCCAUGCAGCAGGAUCAUGUUCGUCCUGUUUUAUUUGAUAGAAGGAAUUUUCCCCUGGAAGAAAAUGAUGAGUCGUUUCAACGUCAUGCAACUGCCUAGACUGCAUGGAAUUUCACCAGACAAUGACAAUUUAUUCUCAGAUAUAUCUAACGCCCCCACAUUUGCCAAAUUUGAAGGCGUCCGUUUUGAGACUGAUAAAAACGUUUUCCAAAAAUUCGGGAUUCAGGUCGAUCAGACCGGUUAUGUUUUGCAAAACUUGUAAAUUUUCAGUGAUCAAAAUUCAAAACUUUGCAAAUAGGUCAAAAUAUGAAAAAUACUUGAUAUAUUAUUGAAUACUCAUUUUGUUUUGCAUUAAUAUACGGCUGUGGGUGCUAUCUAGUUCUAUUAGUAAAAUUCCUUGGGUUGAAAACAAGAAAACUAGCAUUUGAAACUCACCCAUAUGGAUGGGAAAGAAAUUUAGUUACCAUUGGAUUAAAAAAUAAUAAUAACAAUUAGAAAAAAAUUGUAAGGCUUCGACAAGAUUUGCUAAUCAUGUAUAGAUUAAUAUGAAGAUUAAGAACAUCACCUAAGCCAAUUAUUGAAAUUGAAAUUUUAGGAGAAAAAUUUAUGUGGGUUUGGCCACCAAUUUAGCAUUAGGAACUUAUUGUUUAGGAAGCUAUGGUGGGUUUCGUAGUGGGACUUAUCCUCUUUAAUGCAUAUGGUGAUUUUAAACCAACAUUUAUAUAAUCCCAUUAUAAAACUCAUCAAACCUUCUAAAAUAACUCGUUGAGAUAGUGUGCUAGAUCCAUAUAAAUAUUUCUCCAACUUCUUAGCUUGAAGCGAUAUUCAUUUCCAUUGAUAGUUUAAUGGGCAAAGCCUUUUGAAUUCUCCAGGUUAUCAAGUUAUUUUUUGCUGGAAAAUGCAAUCCGGAUAUGAAUAGAUUUUUUUGUGCAAUCAAAUUUUCUAUGUUGACGCAUCCUCUAGAACUUUCAGUAAAUUUUAUGGAGAAGCUUUAAUUUCUUAGUUGUUGAUUUCGAAUAAAAAAUUAAACUUAACUUUAAAAUUACAGUUGUAAUUAUAAAAUAUUUACUGAAUACAUUAGUGUUAAUACUACAAAUUGUUCCAUUAAAAGUCUCUCAAAAAGGAAGAAGUGACUUAAAAAAUUAAAAGAAUGCAGGAGCUGAAGUUGGCAAUUUUGUAAAUUGCAAUGGCAAUUGUGGGCUAGUAAAAUCCCUCAAUGAGUCACAGCACUAGCAAUUUCGUAAUAUACAUUAGUGGCAAUUUUGUAAAAUUGAAGUUGUGAUAGUUUUGCAAAUAAAAGUAAAAGCUUUUUGCCUAAAUUCGGCUGAGCUAAAAGCCAGCUUAGCCCACACUCUCCUUCGCCACCGGUUGACGAGCUCUUCCUUCAAUUUUUGAACUUGAAGUGAUGCCCCAUCGAUGUCCAGAAUUUUUAAAGUCAGAAUGAUGAUCCUAAUGAUUCUUUUUAGAUAGUCACCUGUACGUUGACGUGUUUAAUUGAUGUUUAUUUAAGCAGAAAUUGAAGUUUGAUCCCUGAUUAAUUAGAUGAGAACACACAUUCAUGAGUAAAUACUUAAAAUUAAAUUAAUCAAAAUAGUAUAAAUACAGGAGAAAAUCGAUCAUAUGCGUGCAGACAUCACAAUCGAAUUAUAUAUAUCACCGCCGCACAUAAAUUUGAUUCCCAUGAUAUGUGAUUAAUUAAUUAAUUUUUUUAAUAACAAUUAAAUUGUAAUGUCAAUUGUCCACAUAAGUUUUUUGUUUUUGUUGAUGAAAGUUAGUAAUUUUUUUCCAUCUUUUUAAAUAAAAGUUGUUAAUAAAUAUCAAGAAAAUAUUGGGACUUGAGAUCAGGGUCUACUUAAGUUAGAAUUUUUUAUUAGAAAAGCUAUAGCCAGCGAUGAAAAAUAAAGAAGUAACACAAGAUAAAGAGUAAAAUGAGAGAGCAUAUAUUAUAAAAAGAUUUUACCCAUUUCAAGUGUGCACCAAACAAAGAGACGAACUCUCAUUUUAUAGUUACAUAAUUAUUACAUGAAAUUAAUAAAAAUAUUAAGAAUUAUAAUUCCUUGCGAGAUAGUGGGAGUUAUAGAAAAGUCAAGAGUUGUUAGUGGAAGAUAGCAAGAAGAGUAAAAAAUAUAUGUUAUGAACAUUCACAUUUAUUUUAAUAAAUUUACAGUAUUUUUUUCGUUAAAUAAUAGGGUGUGGAGAACAAUUGGAAGGACUUUACGUGUGUUUAUAUAUUGACAUAAAAAUUGCAGGACGUGUAGUUUAGCGUUUCUUGGUUGUUCAGUGCUAGUUUUCUAAAUCUCGAGCGUGCGGGUUAUUUUUCGUUACCUUUAUCACCGAAAGGCUGUUUUAACCAACUAAGAACUAAAAGCUAAAACCCAAAACCCCCCUCUUGUUCUUUUCCAGGGACUUUACCUUGUCCUUGAUGGCCGAAAAGCAACUGGAAAUCCUCCGCGGGUACGAGCUGCGGCUCUUGCGCUGCACCCUCGCUCCCCCACCGUCCGAUCUUCGCAUUCAAUCGCAACCGUUGAACGAAGAAAGCCAAUGCUCUAUCCUUCCACUCCACGAGCACAUCAACAGCCUCAUCAACUCCAUCGAGUCCGGCCACUAUCUCCAGGCUCUGUCCUCCGACGAGGCUAAACACGCUCUCGACACGCUCGAUUUCGUCGACAUCAACGACUCAGCCGAGUGUGCCGACCGCGUCUACUCCGAGCUGCUCCAGCUUGUCGAAGCGUCUAUAGUGAACGAUUCCGAAAUUGACGUGGAUAAGGCUUGUCGAGUUAUUCUGCUCAUGUGUCUUUCAAUUGCUGCCCUUUUUUGGUUCACUCAGUGUAACGUGACUGGGUGAGUUUCUUAUUUAUAAAUUUUUAAAUAAUUGCAAUUAAUUAAUAAUAAAUAUUAGUAAAAAAUUAAUCAAAAAAAAGGUUUAGUGAUGAACCUUGUCGAGGUGCCUUCUAAUAGAAAAGAGCUCACGGCAAGAUGAAAUGCAAAGUAAGUUGUUUUAUGGUUGGGCGGUGUGUAGCCGUCUUGUUGAAGGCCAUAAGAUGUUAAGCAUAUUGCUGUUUAAUUUUUAAAUCAUUCUCAGUAAUAAUUCCUUUAGUAGAUUGAUGAUAAGAGAUUGCAUUGCAGAUGAUAACUGAGCACAAUUUCUGUAGUUGUAUCCCUGUACAUCCAUCUUAAUAUCCUCAUUAUAUUCACAUGCCUUUUACGGGUGUUAUUUCUGGAUGCAGAAUGCUUUGUUCCACGUCUGGAUACCAAAUGCUUUGUUCCACAAAGCUGAGCUGGUUGAAAAGCUAGCUGAUGAGGUCAACAUGUCCCUUAAGUAAUUUGAGGAUGAACACUGUGUUCCCGAAAGUCUUACUCUAAUGAUACUUAAAGAAGCAAUGAGAAUGGAUGUUGCAGCAGCUUUGCUGAACUCAACCCCAGUUCCAAAAAUGGAACAUGUGAAAAUGCAUUGUUUUUUUUUUUUUUUUUCUCUCUCUUUAUGACUUCUUUGGUUGGGAAUGUAUUAGAUAUUCACCUAAUCAGUAGGCCUUGAAGGGAUCCCAUGUUAGCCCCUUGAUGUUGGUCUGUAACUAAGUAAAUACUUGACCUUGAAAAAGCUUUUGGAGGCAUCAGUUCUCUCUGACUGUGUGCUACUUUUUGGAUCUGUUGAUUUGGUCAUUUGCUGAUUUAUAGUUAUUUUUCUGAUUCAGGAUGGGAUAUGGCUCCAUACAUAUAUAGGCAAUUGAUUCACAGCAGUCGUCAUGCUUCAUUGUAAUUAUAUAUACAAUACAGCAUCAGUUUUUCUUGAUUUUAAAUCUCGUAUUCUGAAGUGGUACUUCUGAUUCUCACAUGAUUUUUCCAUCUUUCAGCUAAAGUUUUUCUGUGAUCUCUUCCGUAUUAGAUGGGAGUUCACCCGUAGUCGCACAAAAGGGCGUGCUUUAGAGAUGAUGGACAAACUGGUAUGAUCUGUGAGCCUUUUCUUCUUAAAUAUUUUGUUACCUAAAUCAUUUUCAUUCAAAUUUACAAGAGUUGCCUAUGGAUCUAUAGAAGAUUCCAAACUUUCUGCAGCUAGUAGUUUCUUGGUUUCCGUACUGUCCAUCGGGUAAAGAUUGAAUGUGCAUCAUUUAUAAACUUGUCGGGAUCUUCCUUCUUAGCUUUGAGAUUGCUCCUGCAUAUAGGUAGAACCAAAGGCACAAAUGGUACUUGUUGCAAACACAAGCUCAUCCAACACUUCUGAUGUCUGCCCUUCAAUAAACCAAGUCAUUCAUACACAUGAUUCUACUAUUGGUGAUGCCUCUGAUGUUUUUGUGACCCCAAAAUUAUUGGGGAAUAGUCAUGAAUCUGAAUCUGGAGUCCAAUGCAUUCAUGCUGGUGGCUCAGCAGCCCAUUUAAAGGCAAUCCAACAGGCAGUGAUCUUGUCGAGGUGCCUUCUAAUAGAAAAGAGCUCACGGCAAGAUGAAAUGCAAAGUAAGUUGUUUUAUGGUUGGGCGGUGUGUGGUCCUCUUGUUAAAGGCCAUAAGAUGUUAAGCAUAUUGCUAUUUAAUUUUUAAAUCAUUCUCAGUAAUAAUUCCUUUAGUAGAUUGAUGAUAAGAGAUUACAUUACAGAUGAUAACUGAGCACAAUUUUUGUAGUUGUAUCCCUGUACAUCCAUCUUAAUAUCCUCAUUAUAUUCACAUGCCUUUCACGGGUGUUAUUUCUGGAUGCUGAAUGCUUUGUUCCACUUUUGGAAACCAAAUGCUUUGUUACACAAAGCUGAGCUGGUUGAAAAGCUAGCUGAUGAGGUCAACAUGUCCCUUAAGUAAUUUGAGGAUGAACACUGUGUUCCCGAAAGUCUUACUCUAAUGAUACUUAAAAAAGCAAUGAGAAUGGAUGUUGCAGCGGCUUUACUGAACUCAACCCCAGUUCCAAACAUGGAACAUGUGAAAACCAAAAAUGCAUUGUUUUUUUUCUCUUUAUGACUUCUCUAGUUGGGGAAUGUACUAGAUAUUCACCUAAUCAGUAGGCCUUGAAGGGAUCCCAUGUUAGCCCCUUGAUGUUGGUCUGUAACUAAGUAAAUACUUGACCUUGAAAAAGCUUUUGGAGGCAUCAGUUUCUCUCUGACUGUGUGCUACUUUUUGGAUCUGUUGAUUUGGUCAUUUGCUGAUUUAUAGUUUGUUUUCUGAUUCAGGAUGGGAUAUGGCUCCAUACAUAGAGACAAUAGAUUCACAGCAGUCAUCAUGCUUCAUUGUAAGUAUAUAUACAAUACAGCAUCAGUUUUUCUUGAUUUUAAAUCUCAUAUUCUGAAGUGGUACUUCUGAUUCCCACAUGAUUUUUCCAUUUUUCAGCUAAAGUUUUUCUGUGAUCUCUUACGUAUUAGAUGGGAGUCCACCCGUAGUCGCACAAAAGGGCGUGCUUUAGAGAUGAUGGACAAACUGGUAUGAUCUGUGAGCCUUUUCUUCUUAAAUAUUUUGUUACCUAAACCAUUCUCAUUCAAAUUGACAAGAGUUGCUUAUUUAUCGAUAGAAGAUUCCAAACUUCUGCAGCUAGUACUUUAUUGGACCCAAAAGCUUUUUUGCUUUUUCUAAGCUGCUAAUCAAGACUAGGUUUCUCUCCCUUAUAUCGCUAGAUAUGCCAUUAAUCGUUUGAUUUAAUUGUCUAGAGAGAUUAGAUACUUGCAUCUUUGCUUUUCACUUCACAAGUGAUUUCAUGUGCUAUCCUGUAUUCUGGUUCAAGAUUUUUGAUGGUUGCUUACUAUCAUAUUUUGCUUUGUUUCAGGUUGAGGGCAUUUCUAACUCUUCUCCCGGUGUGACUCAAAGUAUUCCCUUUUGUUAUGUGAUUUGCAUUCCAACUAUUCCUGCCCUGCGAAAGUAAAACUAUUUCUUCUGCAUCUUUGAAUGAUUGUGAUUUAAUUUUCUUGUCAUUUUGCCAACUAUCAUUAUGCUGUCAUUGUUUCAUAUCUUAUUUGACAUAUGUUGAUUUGGAUAGAUUUUAAUUGCUCUGUUUAUUCUCUUUAUAAUCUGUCUAUUUCGAUUUUUCUUCAUUUUAGGGAAUAUGCUAAACUUUUAGUAAGCCGUGGCUUGAUUGGAGAGGCUAUUAAAAAUUUUGAGGAUCUGGUGUUGUGGGAUAGUCUAAUACUGCAAUUGGUAUGAUGUCAUAGAUAACCAUUACCCUAAUCUCUCUGUCUAUCUCUCUCUCUCUCUCUUUCGUGUUGCUAAUGGGAGUUGGUUUUGUGUAUGAUGUAAAAAACAGCCUAUUGGGGAAGAAAGCAGCAGCUGUUGAACUAAUAAAAGCAAGGCUGUCUGAAAAGCCUAAUGACCCUACAUUAUGGUUUGUUGAUGAGCCUUUUCUAUGAUCCAUUUUAUAGUUACUUCUCAUUUCAGUUAAAUCCAUUGUUGAUGUCACUUAUUGCAAUCUAGGGAUGAUUGUUCAUUGGAUGUGAGGAUAUUGUCAGAAGAAAAUGAAACCUUUUAAUUUUAUCUUUUACUUGCUGUAGCCGACUUAAAAGGUCACUGUGCGUUCUUACUGAUUGCUUUUGGUCUUGCAUUUGAGUCAGUGGAUUUUAUACUCAUAUUCUGACAUGUAUUGUUAGCCUUCUGACGGUUCUGCACCUUGGUCCUAUAUUAUCUUCAGCAGUAUUAUCUAAAAGAUCAUUUUUUGCCGAAGAAUAUUUGCAUUCUAAACUAGAAAAGGAGGGGCCGCCCGGGCCCGGGGGGGGGGGGGGGGGUGUGUGUGUGUGAAGGAAGCAUCAGGAGGUUGUUUUCCACUUAUCCUCUUCCCUGCCUGCAUUUUAGAUGAUUCUGAUGCACCAGGUGCCGUGAAAUGGUUGAGAAAUACAUACCAUCAAGUGAAUUCUGAAAAUCAUAUCCUUUUUGAGAAUAUUUGGUGCUAGACAUUUGAAUAUGUGGCCACAAUUUAAACAAUAAAGAUUUUCUGCACUGAUUUCUUAUAAUGGAUAUAUGCAUGUAAUUAUAAUAUGAUAUCUUUUGAUUAUUGACCCAUUUGUUUAGAAAGAAGGGGAAAAAAAAAACAUGGUUGAAAGACAACUGUUACUUGACCUUAUCUUGGUCUGUUCACUGCCGUUUGUUUCCUAUAACUUCUGGUGAUAAUGUAGCCAGAAUGAUGAGUUGAAUUGUGGUUUACUGACUUGUGAUACAUUUUGUAGGUGUUCAUUUUUGUUUUCUAAAUUUGUUAUCUAAAGGAAUGACAAGUUGACAACUCAGCCUCUCUCUCUCUCUCUCUCUCUCUCUCUCUCUGUGUGUCUGUGUCAGGGAUCUGAUUUGUGGAAAGAAAGAGAUCGGUUUGAAAGGUUUUCAUAUGCAUCCUUGGAACUUUGUAAGGUUUACAUGGAAAUUUCUUCCUCUUCUGGUAGCCGUCAAGAACUCUUUGCUGCUGAGAUGCACCUGAAGAACGUACUUAAACAAGUAAAAUACCUUAUAAUUCGAUAUUUAAGACACUUACAGAUGGUAUUACAUUGACAGCAGUAAAACAAAGAAGCAACUGAAAGUUAUCUUCAUAUGAGAAUGAAAGCUUUUCAGCAGCAUAAGCCUUUCACUAUUCAAUUCCAAACACGUUCCUCAACAUGAUAACAAAUUCGUAGACCUUUUCUGGGUCUGGAAGGAUCCUGUAACAGUUUCUCUUUGCAUGCACUUGUUCAUCCAUGCUGAGAAUUUGGGGCACUCAUUCUCAACCUUAAAUCCCCCAAAUUCCUCAACCGCGUAAAACCAUCAAGUCAGUGGAAUGGCAAUCACAUCAACGAAUCCAAAGCUGUCCCCGCCAAAGAAAUCCUUCUCCCCUAAAGCUCCCUCAAGUUGCUUCAAAAUCUCUAUAAAUUCAUUCUUCGCCGGGGACCUCGCCCUUCGUUUUGCAUAUGUUGCAGACUGGAUCGAAUACCUGCCAAAAAAGUGGUGUCAUCUUUUAAGUUCGCAUUUAGAAAGAUACAAACAUUUACACUUGAGAAUUAUAGACUGACCUUCUUGUCAAUAAAAUCUGCCCAGAACCUUGCCUUAGCUCUCUCAGAAGCACAGGAUGGGAGAAGUGAUGGCGAAGGCCAAGUCUCGUCAAUUUAGUUGACUAUAAUAGUGGAUUAACACAAUGGUUCCCCAUCGUGCAGCAAAACUGGGACUUUCUUGUAGAUGGGGUUUGAUUUGAGCAACAGGUCACUCUUGCCCCCGAACAAGUUCUCAGCUCUGGCUUCAUAUCCAACUCCUUUCUCAGCCAAUGCAAUCUUUGCUCUCAAGCAAAAUGGGCUAACCCAACAGUCCAAAAGAACAACCUCUCCCUUUGACAUAUUCAACUAUCAAGGUUGGUAUUUAUAUAGGAGAAAAGAUGAAAUUCCCAAAGAUUGUGUCGCAAUCAAGGUUUGUUCGUUGGCACUUCGAUAAAGGAUGUGGCCUUGUUCUUAUCAUUUCUUAGUUUUUGAAGCUAAAUGUUUUACUUGGCUUUCAACAGGCACAAGAACAAGUUUGUCUUGUGUAAAUAAAAUAAAACCAUAAAAUUCCAUUAUUAGUGUAAAACCAAAAUAAUUAAAAUAAUAAAAGUGAGUUAGUCGUGCGUGUGGACCUCCUCUUUAUGAGUUUGUUAUCACACCAUAUUUGGUUUCUAUAAAUAAAAUAACUAAAACUCUCUUAUCUAAGUAAGAAUAUUGUUAUUUUGAAAUACCAACUCAAUCUCUAACAAAUCUUGAGAUAUAACUUAAGAUUCUUGAGCUUCCAAUAUAAAACAAGUAAGAUUAACAUAACUUUUUCACUUCCUUCCAUCAAAGAAGGGAAUAAGUUAUAUAAUUUAAUUUAUGUUUAAUUAAAUUAUUUUAAAUGGGUAAUAAUUAUAAAUUUUUCCACUUUAUUUAAUUAACUAGAUAAGACCAUAUUGUAAAUUCUUACAUUUAUCACUUUAAUCUCUUUCCUUUUUCAUUCCAACUCCGGUACAAACUAUUCCUUUUCAAAAAGUUGUACUCAAAUUGAUAAGUCUUGGAAGACCAAAACACUAUUUAAAAUUUAUUAUUUGCUUUAGUAGCUUUCAUGGGUGCAAGGUAAGGAACAAAACUCGGUGGAUUUUAUGACAAAAGCUUUAUCUUAUGUAGCACUUUUUUCGAUAUCUCGAACUUUACUCUUUAAGAAUGUUGUAUAAUAUUUCUACAAUAACAACAAACAAAUUAUAACCCUGAAAGAUCUAUAUACACCUCGAUCUCUAGCUAGUUCUCUACAAAAUAUGGCACUAAGUAACAAUGUAAUCGGAGCCAUCAACUUUGUUGCCGUACUUCUUUCAAUCCCAGUCAUCGGUGCCGGAAUCUGGCUUGCCACCGAGGCAGACAAUUCUUGUGUCAAGCUUCUACAAUGGCCAGUCAUUAUUUUGGGAAUCUUGAUUCUAGUCGUGGCUCUAGCAGGCUUUAUUGGAGGAUUUUGGCGCAUCCCUUGGCUCCUUAUACUUUAUCUCGUUGCCAUGCUCAUUCUUAUAAUAUUGCUGGCUUGUCUAGUUGUUUUCAUUUACAUGGUCACGAUUAAGGGCUCAGGUCACCUUGCACCCAGUAGAGCGUACUUGGAAUACCGCCUCGAUGAUUUUUCUGGAUGGCUACGUAGAAGAGUUCGAAGCCCUUACAAAUGGGAUCGGAUCAAAAGCUGUCUCAGCUCGACACAGAUGUGCCCUGAGUUGAACCAUGUAAAAAUGAGUUGCAAAUACUGUUUGGUUACUGAGAAACAGAGAGAAAAUUGAUGAAUAUUCCAGAUCUUAUUAUUUCAUUAAUUACAAAUGAGUAAAUCACAAGUCUUUAUACUUGCAUUUCAUUAGUAAAAGCUAUUAACGAAACUGAUCUGUAUUAACUAACUAAUACUAACUAACUAAUCACGCGAACUCUCAUUGCUGCAUAACAGAAUCAGCUGACUCAGCAUUGUUGACGUGGCAUUGCUGACGCACCUUAGCUUCUGACUUCUUCUCUCUUCUUAGCUCAGCACAAUGAGCUUUCUUCACAGCCCCUCUCAAACUCAAGGGGCAUAAAUGCACAUUGAGUUUGUUCCUCAGAUAAAUGAACUGAGAAGAGUUUAAGGGCUUAGUCAUUAUGUCUGCUAUCUGUUCUGUACUAGGAACAUAUAGAAUCUUAAGAUCUCCAGUUAGAACCUUAUCUCUGAUAAAAUGCAGAUCGAUUUCUAUGUGUUUUGUUCUUGAGUGAAACACUGGAUUAUGAGCAAGAUCUUUGGCACUUACAUUGUCACACCAUAUAACUGGUUUCUCCACACGACAUAGAUUAAUCUCAAGAAACAAAGAUUUUAUCCAUGUUAUCUCUGAAACAGCUGCUGCAAGUGCUCUGUAUUCACUUUCUGCAGAAGAUUUUGUAACUACAGAUUGCUUCUUUGAGGACCAUGAGAUUAAGUUGUUUCCUAGGUACACACAAUAUGCACCAGUGGAUCUUCUGUCAUCAAGAUCACUUCCCCAGUCUGCAUCUGUAAAUGCUGUAACCUUCAGCUCACCUUUCUUAACAAAUUUCAGCCCAUAGUCUUGUGUUUCCUUCAGAUAUCUAAGCACACGUUUGCAUGCCAUAAGAUGUUGAAGUGUUGGUGAAGAUACAUACUGACUUAGCUUAUGAACUGAAUAGGCAAUUUCAGGUCUUGUCAAAACUAAAUACUGAAGACCUCCUACAAUGCUUCUGUAAUGAGAUGGAUCUUCUAUGUAAUAACCCAUUUCCCCUUCUAUAUUCUUCUGCAAUCUGUAAUCUUUGCUGCUGCUCAUUGGUGUAUCUAUUCCUUUACACUCGAGCAUAUCAGCUUUAGCCAGCAAGUCUCUGAUAUACUUCCUUUGUGAUAGAUACAUACGGCCAAGAUCAUACAAAACUUCAAUUCCAAGAAAAUAAGAUAACUUUCCCAGAUCCUUUAAUGCAAAUGCAGAACUGAAUAGCUUGAUAAAAUCUUCCAGCUCAUCACAAUUUGAUCCUGUAAUCAAUAUGUCAUCCACAUAUAUCAGGAUUAAAAUAAUUGAUCUUUUAUUCUUUUUCAAGAACAAAGAUGAGUCAGACUUAGAAUUCUCAAAUCCCCAUUGCACAAGACUGUUUCUCAGCUUGUCAAAACAUGCUCGUGGAGCUUGUUUCAAACCAUAAAGUGCCUUGUGAAGCUUGCACACAAAAUCAGGUCUUUUGGAAUCAAUAAACCCUUCUGGUUGACUCAUAUACACCUCCUCAAUUAAAUCUCCAUUUAAGAAUGCAUUAUUCACAUCAACCUGUCUUAUUUGCCACUGAUUCAUUACUGCUAGACUCAGGACUAUUCUAACUGUUGCUGCUUUCACCACUGGACUGAAAGUCUCAAAGUAGUUCACUCCUUCUAUUUGCUGAAAUCCUUUAGCAACCAACCUUGCCUUAUAUUUUGCAACACUUCCAUCAGUAUUUGAUUUCACUCGAAAUACCCAUUUGUUGCCAACAAGUUUGUGAUGUUCUGUUCUUGGCACAAGUGUCCAGGUACCAUUUGACAUUAGUGCAUCAUAUUCAGCUUUCAUUACUUGAAACCAUCUCUCAUCAUUGAUAGCCUCCUGAACUGUAUCUGGUUCUUUAUGCAACAAUACUGCAGUAUAUACCUUUGGCUUAAAGAUACCUGCUUUCCCUCUAGUGAUCAUGGGGUGUUGGUUUAGUGAUGGUGAGGUUGUCAUUGUUUGAUUGAGAUGAGGGAUAUUGUUAUUGUGUUGGUUUUGUGAAUUUUCAUUUGAGGGCUGUUCUAAUGUUGUGUCAGGUAUAGAAGGUAACAUUAUAGGUGCAGAUGGAUUAUUUCUGUCUGUGUUUGAGGGUUGUUGAUCUGUUACCUGUGUUGAGACUACUGUUGAAGGAAAAAUGUUGCCACUGGAGUAUGCUUGAGAGAAAGAUUCAUUGCUGGUGACUGAAAAAUCUGUUAUGACAGGUAAUGUUGAUAACUGGAAAACUUGUAUAGGAGUAAUUGUGCAAUAUGUAUCAGACUUAGAUUUAUUUGAAUUAUGAAAGCUAGGAUCAGCUGCAAAUGGAUAAGAGUGUUCAUCAAAGACAACAUGCCUAGCUAUAUAUAUAUGUCCAGAGGGGUGAUAACACUUGUAGCCUUUAUGAGAUGGACUAUAACCAAGAAAAAUGCAUUUGGUUGUGUGAUAGUCAAACUUGUGCUUAUUGUAAUCUCUCAGAUAUGGAUAACAAGCACAUCCAAAGCAUUUCAGCAUUUUAUAAUCAGCCUUGUGUUUAUAAAGCUUUUCAUAUGGAGUAGACAUCUUAAGUGCAGAAGUAGGGAGUCUAUUAAUGUGAUAGACUGAGGCAUGAAAAGCAUCCCACCAGAAUUGAAAAGGGAGUUUGGCUUGAGCUAGAAGUGUCAGUCCUAAUUCUACAAUUUGUCUGUGUUUUCUUUCAACAAGUCCAUUCUGAUGAUGAGUGUAAGGGCAAGAGUGUCUAAAGAGAAUGCCACAUUCAUUUAGAAAGGCAGUAAAUGGUCUGUAUUCUCCCCCCCAGUCAGAUUGUAGAAUUUUGAUAGAAGUUUGAAAUUGUUUUUCAACUUGAAGUUUGAACAGCUUGAACACUUCUAGAGCUUCUGAUUUAAGUUUCAAAGGAUAAAUCCAGGUGUAUCUGGUAUGAUCAUCCACAAAGCUAAUGUAAUAUCUAAAGCCAUCUCUAGAAUAUGCUGGUGAGGGACCCCAUAGAUCAGUGUGAACAAGUUCUAGAGCUGAUGUGGAUUUGAUAUCAGUGAUUGGAAAAUGAAGUUUAUGAAAUUUUCCUAGUUGACAUGCUUCACAGAAAUGCUUUGUAGCUUGAUUAACAAUAUUUGUAGAGCACAAAUUGGGAUGCACAAGCUUAAGCAAAUGAAUUAGACUUUGAGUAUUAGGAUGACCAAAUCGUUUGUGGAGUAAAGACAUUUUAUUGAAUGAAUUAGUGCUACAAGUAUUCUUAUUUGACUGAAAACAUUUUCCAGAACAAGAACUAUUAACUGAAGUGCUGAAAUAACACUGAGAUAGCAUGGACACAGGCUUAUUUAUUGAGCUCUGAGAUAGAAAAGAGGUAAAUGUAGAUUGUGAUGAUGAACUCAGCUGCAAUUUGUAUAAACCUUUCUCAGCAAUACCCAGUAGCAGAAUUUUCCCUUUCAGUAUAUCCUUCACAAAGCAAACAGAACCAAGGAAUUCAACAGAUAAGUCAUUAUCAGUGGUCAGUCUAGAAACACUUAUUAAAUUCUUUGUAAUAGAUGGAACAAGCAGUAUAUCUUUAAGUGCAAUGCAUGUACUUGCAUAUUGUAUUUUAGAGCUUUGAAUUGUAAGAUUGGCAUUACCAACAUGUGUGAUUGACAAACCUUUACCAUCACCAAUGAUAAGCUUGUCAUUACCUCUAAACUCAUUGCUGACAUGCAUAUUUGCCAUACUAUUUGUUAGAUGAUGUGUAGCUCCACUGUCAAGGUACCAUCCUUCAUCUGUUGGUCCUUCAAAGUUAGCAGCAUAAGCAGCUCCAGCUCCACUCACAGGUGAGCUCAUUGAGUCAGAUAUGUAUGAAGAAUAUGGUGUAUUAUACACGUGAGGUAUCCCUGAAUAAUCAGCUGCAGCAGGCCAUGAAUCUUCAGUAGGUGCAUUAAAAUAUGUCAUAUAGGCUGAUCUCUGAUUUCUUCCUCUUUUCAUGUGUUGAGGUAUAUAAUUUUCUUCAAACCUAUGCCAACAUUCUACUGCUGUGUGUCCAGAUUUAAAACAGAUCUGACAAACAACAGUCUGUUCCUCAUUACCAUCAGAAUUCGACAAACCAGAAUUAACACUAUAUUGUCCUCUCAUGAAUUGUGCCUGCUUAUUAUUGUUUCCAAUCAUUUGACCUCUGCCAAGAUUAUUACCAAGAUUUCCAGAUCCAGAGGGAAAGCCUCUUGGAUGAGAAUUGAUAAACAUUCCUCUUCCAGUAUGAAAAUUGUUUCUUCCAAAUUGAUUUCCACCAUGAAAUCCUCCAUUAUAUCCACCUCUUCGAGCACUACCUCUUGUUUGAGCAUAAUAAGCAUUCAUCAUACCAUAGCCAUUAUUAUUAUGAGAAACAUUAGCAAGAUUUGCAUUGAACAUCUGUUUUUCAUUUAGACUCUGUUCUAAUCUUGUUUCAUGCGUGAGCAGCAAUGCAUAGGAAUCAUCAAAAUCUAGCUUACUAGCAGUAAUGAAAGUUGCUAAAUCUAGAUAGCCUGGUCCAAGACCAUUAAGGAUCUGUUGUAACAGAUCUUUGUCAGAAACUGGACUACCAGCACAGGCUAAUUUAUCUGCUAUUUGUUUCAUUUUCAAACAAUAAUCUUCUACAUUUAGUGAAUCUUUUCUCAAAACACUCAUCUCAUAUUUGAGUUGAAGAACUCUAGCUUCAGAUUUUGCACCAAACUUUUUCUCCAAUGUUUUCCACACAUCAUAUGCAGUAUUACAAGAAUGAACAUGACUGAGAAUACCUUCAGUGAUUGAGCUUAAUAGCCAGCUUAGUAAUGUCUGAUCCUGUGACCUCCAGAUUAUAUAUUCUGGAUUUUCAACUUGUUGUGUAACUCUUCCCAUUGUUUCAGCAUAGCUUCCUGAAGUAAGAAAUUGAGUAGGUGCUGCCUUUUCUCCAUUGAUGUAGCCUUCAAGUCUGUUUCCUCUUAUAGAAGCUAAUACUUGAUUUCGCCAGAGCAUAUAAUUGGAUCUAUCCAAUUUGAUUGGCGUAAUGAAUGAGAAGGUAGUUUGUAUUGAUUGAUUCAUGUUUGUUGUGUUUGGAUUUGUGUUUAAAUUGCUUGAGCUUACCAUAUUUCUGGCUCUGAUACCAUGUAAAAAUGAGUUGCAAAUACUGUUUGGUUACUGAGAAACAGAGAGAAAAUUGAUAAAUAUUCUAGAUCUUAUUAUUUCAUUAAUUACAAAUGAGUAAAUCACAAGUCUUUAUACUUGCAUUUCAUUAGUAAAAGCUAUUAACGAAACUGAUCUGUAUUAACUAACUAAUACUAACUAACUAAUCACGCGAACUCUCAUUGCUGCAUAACAGAAUCAGCUGACUCAGCAUUGUUGACGUGGCAUUGCUGACGCACCUUAGCUUCUGACUUCUUCUCUCUUCUCAGCUCAGCACAAUGAGCUUUCUUCACAAACCAGAGUUAUAGGAUGGCUCAAGAUUUCUUCAAUGCACAUAUUACCCCUUUACAGGUAAUUAUAAUUAAUUAAGUUCUCGAUUACCAUUAAUUUUAUUUUAUUUUUUUCCAUUAAUUUCUAGAAAUUAAGAUUUAUUAGAACUCUAAAGUUAAAUUCUGAUUAAAAUUUUAAUUUUUAACGUACACAUUCCUCUUUAUAAUUAUGACCGUACGUAAUUUUAUAGCAGAGGAUAAUUCCUACCCAUUAAUUAAGCUAACCCACACGCCCAUGGAACAAUGAAGAAGUAGCUAAUAAAGUAAAAACACUGUAUUAGAUUCGGAAAACCAAGUUUCAAAUCUUCUUUUCAAAAAUAUUCUUCGUCUUUAUCUUUAUUGCGUGCCUUUGUGCUUUUUUUUUUCUAUUUAUUUAUUUUUCUUGUUUACAGUCUGGAUGUUGUAAGCCUCCGACAGAGUGUGGUUACACAUUUGUAAACCCAACAUAUUGGAUAAGUCCAAUUAACAACGCGGCGGACAUGGAUUGCCUACAGUGGAGCAAUGACCAAAUGCAGCUUUGCUAUAAUUGUGAUUCAUGCAAAGCAGGAUUACUUGCUAAUCUGAAAAAGGAGUGGAGAAGAGUAGAUAUCAUAUUACUCGUUACUCUUGUUGCUUUGAUAUGGGUUUAUCUGAUUGGAUGUUGUGCUUUUAGGAACGCCAAAACUGAAGACCUCUUUCGCAAGUACAAGCAAGGCACUUACACGUAAUUGUUAGCUGCACGUAAACUCUCUUUGAUAGUAAUAUUAAUGUGUAAUUAGGGACUGGCUUGAAUUGUUAUUUUGAUAAUUUUAUGAAUUUUUUGUUUAAGAUCCGUCUUCUUGGUUACUUACAUUUGGUUAAAUUAUGUGUGGGGUUUGAUUUGAUGACGACAUAAUCUUGAGUUGUGCGUGCGUGAUUUGUGGAGGGCGCCGAAAGUAGGUGGCUUUUGAAUAUUUGCUUUUUAAGGAGAAGGGAUUUCGCACUUCCGCUCCCUGCUUGCUCGCAUAGGGCAUUAAUUGUAGCUUUGAAAAAAGUUCUGCUUCAGCAUGCGCAAAAGUCAAAGAAAUGGGACAUGUGCUCAUGCAUUAUGCAGCCAGCAUAUGGGUGAUAGCAGACGUAUUUAAUCUUUUAGUCUUUGUUGACAACUCAGCCUCUCUCUCUCUCUCUCUCUCUCUCUCUCUCUCUCUCGCUGUGUCUCUGCGUCAGGGAUCUGAUUUGUGGGAAGAUAGAUAUCGGUUUAAAAGGUUUUCAUAUGCAUCCUUGGAACUUUGUAAGGUUUACAUGGAAAUUUCUUCCUCUUCCAGUGGCCGUCGAGAACUCUUUGCUGCUGAGAUGCACCUGAAGAACGUCCUUAAACAAGUAAAACACCUUAUAAUUCGAUAUUUAAGACACUUACAGUUGGUUUAAAGAUUGCAUUUUCCGUUUCUGUUUUUGACUGGUUCAGGGUAAAACUUUUUCUCACUGUGUUAGAGUGCAUUUCUGUUAUUAUAUAGUACCUGUCAAAAUUUUCCAUUCCAAUUAGUUACAGAGUGAAUUCUGUAAGGUGUGGCGCCCCCUUGAAGGCCAGGAGAGCCGUGUUUAGGGCUUAUCACCCCUCCAAGGUGUAAUCCCUUGUAUCCCUGUAGCUUAUACCAGAGGUCCGGAGUACUGCAGACUUGUGGAGAUACGGGGCUAUGAGUUUCCAUCUUUCGGACAUCACAACACUUGUUCUGGAGAAAUUAUGGGUUUAUUUCAGAACAGAGGAAGGUUACUUCAUUAAGAGGAAUGAGAGAUUUACAAUACACUAGAUUUAGGCUCCAAGACUCGAUGCCUAGAUACAAACCAAGGGUUCCCUUUUAUAGGCACAAGGGAACCACUAUUACACACUGUAGUCAUUAUUGAUCCUUAUCUCUAAGGAAUCUAUUUUACAACUCACUCCUUACUUUAUGUCACACUCAUACUCUCAUCCUUAUCACAAAGGAUGGUACACAAUACAUACGAAUACAAAUACAUAUAUUAUUAUUAUUAGAGAUACAAAUACAUAUAUUAUUAUUAUUAAAUAUACAAAUACAUAUACGAAUACAAAGGAUGGUACACAAUACACUCUGAUAAUAAUAAUAUAUGUAUUUGUAUUCGUAUGUAUUGUGUAUCAUCCUUUGUGAUAAGGAUGAGAGUGUGAGUGUGACAUAAAGUAAGGAGUGAGUUGUAAAGUAGAUUCCUUAGAGAUAAGGAUCAAUAAUGACUACAGUGUGUAAUAGUGGUUCCCUUGUGCCUAUAAAAGGGAACCCUUGGUUUGUAUCUAGGCAUCGAGUCUUGGAGCUUAAAUCUAGUGUAUUGUAAAUCUCUCAUUCCUCUUAAUGAAGUAACCUUCCUCUGUUCUGAAAUAAACCCAUUUUGGUAUCAGAGCCAUAUUUCCCAAAAGGAAACCCCUGGGUGUGCAACAAUAUUAUGCUCUGUGGUUGCCGAAACACUUCGGAUCCUCCACAUCAGAAAGUUGUUGAAUACUGAUCUACCUGUCAAAAUUUUCCAUUCCAAUUAGUUACAGAGUGAAUUCUGUAAGGUGUGGCGCCCCCUUGAAGGCCAGGAGAGCCGUGUUUAGGGCUUAUCACCCCAAAGAAAACCCUUUGUUUUCUCUUAGCCAUGGAAAACUCAAACAGUAAUAGAUCUGGAAACCAAACAGUUUCUGACCAAGGAUCCACUUCGGCUAUCAGAGUUCUAACUGAUAGUUCACCCUCUAUAAACUUCCAUUACGAAACCCAAGAGGAUGAAAGCAGUGAGAGAGCGGUUCAGUCCUUUAGACUUGAUCCGUUAGAUCCCUAUAGAUACUACCAUAUCAAUUCUACUCUUAAUCAAUUAAGAGCCAUAAUUCCUAUUAGACAACCCAAGCUUAAAACCAUCUAUAAAUCCUCUGAGAUUACUGUCCAGUUCAUCUCCUCCAGUUCUAAAGAAACAUACCUUCCUAUAAUCUCUACCAAUGAGGUUACAAGGUAUAAGCUACAGGGAUACAAGGGAUUACACCUUGGAGCAAUCUAGAUAGGAAUACAACCAUUGUUCCUAGCUGGAAAAGAUAUCACAUGCUUCAUUGCCAUCCUUGACACUAGAUGGCAAACUUUUGAGAAAGCCUUGAUCACUGCUGUCGAAGCAGGACUCAACCAAGGUCAUGUUGUUCUCCAAGUUGAACCCAACUUCACCCUUGACAUACACAAGCCAUUUCUCACAGAUGCCAUUAAGGUAUUAAUUCAGGUCAAUGGUCUAACCAUAAAACCUGAUGAAUCUGCCUUGGCAAUUCACCACACCAUGACCUAUAAAGUCCAAACCCAUCUGUUCUCUAUGAGCAGCUCUGGCAGGCCCAUUACCAGAUUUCUUGCUGGUGAUGGCAGAGUCUUUCAACCUCGGACUUAUAGGCAAAAUCAGCUCAUUUUUCUACCUCAAUGGAUCAAUGAGUAUGAAAAAAACAGCAAGCCUCAACAAAUCCAUGAGGUUCCAAAGAUAAGCCGGUUACAAGAAGGAAGGGUAUCAGUCUCUUUUCCCACUGAGACUAAAGCCCUCUAUCCAUGUGAAAAAUGCCAGCUUGAAGGAAGGCAUCCCUCCUUGUGCACUCAUAUGCCAAGAAGAAUCACCUCCUGCAGAAUCAUGGGUCCAAUUAACAUGAUCACCACUCCGGAUCUUGAUAAUGAAUUCCUCAAGGAUAUUCCUGGAGGAAUGUAUGUUGCCAAAUGGGUAAUACAAAAAACCAACCCAACUGAAUUUGGCCCAAUUGAGAAGGCGAUCAACUGGUCAAACAUCAAUGCUGUUGAACAGAACCAAGCGUUGGGAGACAUCAUGGUUACCCAACAGCAAAUUCUUGCUGACUUAGCUGUUAUCAGAAAACAGCUAAAGAAAACCAGAAAACAGCAUAAGGUGACUACCCAGCAGUUUUCCCAAAUGCAUGACAGUGCCUCCAGAUCUAUCAACAUGAUCGUAAUGACCGGAGCUGCAGAUGAGGACGGAAUGAGAAGAACCAGAGAAAGCUAUCAAAGGACAAAAGUGUCCAGGCACUGGAAGAGCAAGCCCACAAAGCCAUGGCAUGUCUGGGAAGAAAAUGCAUCUGGCAACUGUCAAAAGGCAUUUUGGAGAAGCUAUGCUCCACCUCCACAAUAUCCAUGGCCCACUAAGGCUACAGGAUGGGAUGAGGAUAAAGAUACGGAUACUGAAACAAGUAUCUCCUCUGAUGACCAGAUCCCUCUUAUACCAAUUCUUAUGCAAAGAGCAAAUCCUCCAAAUCCAUUCUAUGUGGAUACUCGAGCUAGAUUUGCAGCAUCCACACCAACACAGGGUCAAACCUCUGAUCCUACAAGACAAGAGCAAACUCAACACCCAUCAGGAACAACCCAGUUCACUGCCCCAGAAUUCGCUAAUCCUGCUGCCCAACCAGAAGCAUCUGGAGUAGAAUCCACAAAUCAAGAAGACAGGGCACCACAUAUUGAUGAGGUAAAUCAGGGAGACGAAUGGGAAACCCGUGUCCAACUUGGGCAUUCUACGACGGGAAAAAUGUUCUGGAACAUCGAUAGAAUGAAGCCAAAAGAAAUAUUGGCUUACUUUGAAAAGAUGGUAGCUUGGUAUGAAGGAGAAUGCCAACGAACUCCCCAGUUGAGCAGAAGAUCGGCAGCAAUGAGACUUGUUGCAGGAUUCGUUGGAUCAUUGAGAAGAUGGUGGGGAAGAAAGCUCAGCAGAGAACAAAAGGAAUUCAUACUCAGCAGAGAAGACCCUUGUGGAAGCUUGGUAGAAAAUCUAUCCUUGGAUUUUCUCGGCCAACACACAAGAGAAGAAGAAGUAGCUGAAAAACAAUUUCUCCAGAACAAGUGUUGUGAUGUCCGAAAGAUGGAAGAGUACUACCUAGAGCAAGAAAGGUUGUACUACAUCUUUGACAAACAAACUGACACCAUCCACAGAACAUUCGUGCUAAACAUGCCAGGCCCAGUAGCGGAAAUGAUGGAGGCUAAAUUCAAAGCUGAUGCAAUUGUUGAUUUAGCACAGCUUAGCCUUGCUCAGCUCUAUCAGAUAUCUAUGGAGCUGAUCCAAAGUCAUUGCAGAUCUCAAGACUUAAGAAGGCACAUGAAGCAGAUUGAGAAAUCCUCUCUGCAAAAAUUCUGUAAUGAGGAACCAAACAAAUUUGGUUGCCACCAUACAGACAAAAUGUGCUCUUGCAAGAACAACAGGCAGAAAAGGCCAAAGAAACCCUGGAAGCCCUACAAAGGAAAGAAAUACCGUUUCAUCAAAAAACGAAAACAAAAGAAAGGCUCGGGGAGAUGUUUCAUUUGCGGAAAGAAAGGUCACUAUGCCAAACAGUGCAAAUCCAAGAAAAGACUUCCAGCAAAACUUCUCCAGAUGAUCCAGCAGGAAGAUUUUGAUGAUGACAUCUAUACCUGGUCAGAUAGCCCUACGGUGUUGUAUACACAAUGGAUAAAUAUCCUCUUUCAGACGACGAUGAUACAGAUUCUCUUUCUAGCACUGACAGUGAUUCUGAUGAUGAUCCUGUCAUGACCAUCCAUGAGCCUCUCCAAGCUAACCUGGCAAUGGCCCCUGCCUCUCUCUUCAGACCACAUAUAAAGGUUAUCCUCAACCCAUCUGAGGAUAAACAGGUAGCACUCACUGCUCUUAUUGACACUGGAGCAAUGUGCUCAUUCAUUCGAGAAGCUUGUGUUCCUUCCACCUUUUAUGUUCCUACUAAGGUCUCGUUUGGCUCCGCUAGUGGAAGUAACUUCUCCAGUAAAAAGAUUACCCGGCCUAUAGAAAUCCAGCCCUUUAUGAUAAGGCAUGGCUUCUUUGCCUUUGAUUAUUCAGGCGAAGAUAUCUUGCCAGGCACCGACUUUUUAAGUCUGAUUGCCCCUUUUGCCUUCUUUCCCGAUGGCUUCUCUUAUACCAUUCGGAAUCCUCACACGGGCACCACUAACACUUUCUGGGUACCCUGGGUUGAAAAACAAUCCAUUUUUGGGGAGGGUGGAAAACUACAAAAUUACACCAUCCAUAAAUAUGAACCCCAAAUUAAAGAACUCCUUGAAUGCUGUGCAGAAGUGCCAAACCAGUUUUGGGCUAGAGAACAACAUUUUGUGUCUCUACCAUACAAGGAUGGAUGGACCAUGCCUCACCAGACGGCCUCUCAUCCAGGCAUUCCUCAUGACGAAGAACUAUGCAAAACAGAGAUCCAGGCUCUUAUGGAUCUAGAGCUCAUCAGGCCCUCUAAGUCUCAUUGGGCUAGCCCAGCAUUUUAUGUCAACAAGCAUUCAGAACAGAUACGUGGAAAAAAGCGAUUGGUAAUUCACUACAGAAAACUGAAUGAUUGCUUGCAGGACAUAAGAUACCCCAUUCCACGGAGGACACACAUUUUAAAACGCAUUGCUGGUGCAAAAGUGUUUUCAAAGUUUGACAUGAAGUCAGGCUUUUGGCAAAUUGGGAUUAAAGAAGAAGACAGACACAAGACAGCAUUUGUGGUCCCCCACGGGCAUUAUGAAUGGAAUGUGAUGCCUUUUGGCCUAAAGAAUACACCGUCAGAAUUCCAAAACAGAAUGGAUGAGGUGUACAAAUCUAUCUCAGGAUUUUGCCUUAUCUACAUUGACGAUGCUCUUAUCUUCAGCAACAGUGAAGAAGAACAUGCUGAACACCUGUCCCAAUUCAAGGCACUAACCUAUAAACAUGGGUUAGCUUUGUCAGAAUCCAAAAUGAAGAUAGGCCUUGAUGAGGUGGACUUUCUAGGAUUACACAUCAAGCAGAGAUUCAUCAUUCCUCAGCCACAUAUAGCUGAAAAAAUAUCCCAAUUCCCAGACCAGCUGUCAACCAGAAAGCAGAUCCACCAGUUCCUCGGGAUAAUCAACUAUGCAGCAGACCAUGUGCAGGAUCUGUCAAAGAUGACGAGAGUCAGAUAUCAAAGCACUUAAAGAAGAGUGCCCCACAAUGGUCGGAAGACGCAACAAAAGCAGUGACAGACUUAAAGCAAAAGUGCCAGUCACUUCCACCAUUAAAGAUACCUGACAAGGGACAGCUCAUCCUCCAGACAGAUGCAAGUGACCAUUAUUGGGGAGCACUGUUGAUAGAGGAAUCCGAGGGAAACAGAAAAGUGUGUGGCUAUAAAUCAGGCCAGUUCAACGAUGCUCAAAGCCACUACCCCUCCUCCAAAAAAGAAGUCUUAGCAGUUGUCAAAGGGAUCAAAAACUUUCAAUUCUUUCUUUCACUAACUCCCUUUGUGAUUGAAACAGACUACAAAUACCUACAGGGAUUACUCAGGAGAAAAGAAGGAGAAAUACCAGAUCCACAGCUUGCAAGGUGGUCUGAGUCUCUCUCGAGAUUCAAGUUUGAAGUAAAGCACAUCAAAGGAGAAUCCAACACUGUUGCGGAUUUCCUUUCCAGACCGAUCACCAUGAUCAAAAGAAGAAGCCUUCCAAAAAGAUGGGACGAAGGCAGUUCUAGUGCUCACGCAGCCCGAGCACACUUUCUCAAAGAUCUUAACAUCUUCAUUGCUUGGCUUCCUUCGGAAGUUCAAGAUGACAUCUUUGAGAAAGUCAUCUGCCACAAAAGAGAUCCAGAAGAUCAAGCUCUGACAUGGCGGGUAUGGCAGCUCAUGGCCAUGCAGGAACACAGACCUGCCCAUAACAAACAAUGUCAAAGAGCUUUUGAUCCACAUCCAAAUCCUGACCAGAUGCAUGAAACGGUCUUCAAGGUCGGUUGCACCUUCCACUAUGUAAUAGACGAGAACUCCAACUGGGGUCACUAUGUUAUCUGCGAUAUAACCCCUCAAGCCUAUUACAUAACUUGGUACUGGCCCAACAUUUACCCAGUGGCAAUCCUGUUUGAACCACAUCUGAUCCAUACCAGCAGGAGAUAUGGGAAGGGAAGAUGGUUCGACCGAAUGUUCGCUCCUAUCUUCGAAGACAUCCUAACACUCCGGCUAAUCAACGGAUAUCACAUCACUCACUCUACUAUAGUGAUUGUGAAACUCACAGAUAUCUGGGGAAGAUACAAGCAGCCUCUUGUGCAGGUGGUCCAGCAUGACCUCAACCAUGAAGAAAUUGAUUCCAUGUGGACAGGCUGUUGGAAUGCUAGAAAAGCUUUAGCUGAGGUAUACGGAACUAUUCCAAUGUAUAAUACUCAUAGCCCCGUAUCUUCACAAGUCUGCAGUACUCCGGACCUCUACUACAGAGAGGAGAUCAGGAAUCUCAAGCUUCAUGGAGAAGAAGAUGAAGCAGCAGACUUGCAGCAGUGGUAUAAUGAUUACCUCACUCGCCAUGGCAGGCCAAAAGAAGUCACUUAUCUGGACACUCCAGAUAUUGAAAGAUGGAGGAACGAGCUUGAAGAAAUGGCCCAUUGGCUAGACCUCCAAGAUUGGCCCCAACCUGAGUUAGACCCCCAGCCGGAUAACAUUGAAGAUCCCAUAUGGCCAAAUAUGGGAGAAGAUAUGGAUGCAGCAUCCGAAGAACGAUGGAACCACAGGUCAGGACGUAGCACACCAACAAGUGGCAACUCUGGACUAUAGCGGAAGCUUAGUGGACCCUACAGUGGAAGCAAUGGUGAUAAUAAUAUAUGUAUUUGCAUUCGUAUGUAUUGUGUACCAUCCUUUGUGAUAAGGAUGAGAGUGUGAGUGUGACAUAAAGUAAGGAGUGAGUUGUAAAGUAGAUUCCUUAGAGAUAAGGAUCAAUAAUGACUACAGUGUGUAAUAGUGGUUCCCUUGUGCCUAUAAAAGGGAACCCUUGGUUUGUAUCUAGGCAUCGAGUCUUGGAGCCUAAAUCUAGUGUAUUGUAAAUCUCUCAUUCCUCUUAAUGAAGUAACCUUCCUCUGUUCUGAAAUAAACCCAUUUCAUGGUUAGACCAUUGACCUGAAUUAAUACCUUAAUGGCAUCUGUGAGAGAUGGCUUGUGUAUGUCAAGGGUGAAGUUGGGUUCAACUUGGAGAACAACAUGACCUUGGUUGAGUCCUGCUUCGACAGCAAUGAGAAGAAAAUGCACUUUUUGGAAUCUCAGGCUGAAGGAUUUUUGGUGCUUUAACUAAUCUCAUUUGACAAUGUAAAUAUAUGGCUUCAAUUUCUUUAAAUGUAAUAGCAAGUGUUGUUUUCGACCUCUGUUCUUUUAUGCAUUGCUUACAUGCCGUGAUUUCAUUAACCUAAAUUUAAGAACUGUUUGAGGGAAAUACAUCGAGGAGACCAGACGUGAUGAGCAGGUGUUUGGUGGUGGAGUUCUGCGAGCAGGAAUAUUCUCCUCGUCCACGAAUAUGCCAUUCGCGAGACCGAAUUCAUGUUAGAGGCAUAAGGUCAUUCCUGCUAAGGGUCGAGGCGAGGAGACCCGGUCAACGGCAGUUGGCAAGACGUGCCUUCCUAUCCGAGAAUCAAGGCACGAGGUCCAUCUCCAUUUGCCCACAAUGACGACAAUGGGGCAUCCACAUCCGAGGGUGGGGAGAAUAACGGGCGUAAACUGCGGAAGAUCGGGACUCAGAGGAAGCCUAUAAAAAGGUAGCCAACAAAGGUAAAAGGGUUAGAUUUUUUGCUAUUUGAACUAAGAAAAUAGAGAACUCGAAGGUCUGAGAUUAGUGAAAAGCCAUAAGAUCCGUGGCAAGCAUUCCCAGAACCUUCAUAUCUGACUUGAGCGUCGGAGGGUUUACGCCGGGAAAACAACCGGCGUGCUCUGACCUGUUUCUGUGGACGCAAGGAUACUUAGAGAAGAAAGCGUACGAGGAGAGAUCCUGAUCGAGGUGAGGUUGAUCGAGCAGACAUCCUGGUCGUUGGAAGGUGUAACCAGAAUCUCGCAUCAACAAGAACAAUUUCAUAUAAUUUUUUUUCUGCUUUUCUUUUAUCAUUUAAAAACAAUACUACGCACACACACACGCAUAUAUUUCAGAAAGCAUUUAAACAAAGCAACCGAACGUUGCUGGUUUCUAUUAUUACAUCGACAACAAUAAAGCAAAGAAGCAACUGAAAGUUAUCUUCAUAUGAGAAUGAAAGCUUUUCAGCAGCAUAAACCUUUCACUAUUCAAUUCCAAACAUGUUCCUCAACAUGAUAACAAAUUCGUAGACCUUUUCUAGGUCUAGAAGGAUCCUGGCAACAGUAUCUCUUUGCAUGCACUUGUUCAUCCAUGCUGAGAAUUUGGGGCACUCAUUCUCAAGCUUAAAUCCCCCAAAUUUCUCAACCGCGUAAAACCAACAAGUCAGUGGAAUGGAAAUGACAUCAACGAAUCCAAAGCUAUCCCCGCCAAAGAAAUCCUUCUCCCCUAAAGCGCCCUCAAGUUGCUUCAAAAUCUCUAUAAAUUCAUUCUUCGCGGUCUCUGGGACCUCGCCCUUGCUUUUCCAUAUGUUGCAUACUGCAUCGAAUACCUGCCAAAAAAGUGGUGUCAUCUUUUAAGUUCACAUUUAGAAAGAUACAAACAUUUACACUUGAGAAUUAUAGACUGACCUUCUUGUCAAUAAAAUCUUGCCUUAGCUCUCUCAUAAGCACAGGAUGGGAGAAGUGGUGGCGAAGGCCAAGUCUCGUCAAUGUAGUUAACUAUAAUAGUGGAUUCACACAAUGGUUUCCCAUCGUGCAGCAAAACUGGGACUUUCUUGUAGAUGGGUUUGAUUUGAGCAACAGGUCACUCUUGCCCCCAAACAAGUUCUCAGCUCUGGCUUCAUAUUCAACUCCUUUCUCAGCCAAUGCAAUCUUUGCUCUCAAGCAAAAUGGGCUAGCCCAACAAUCCAAAAGAACAACCUCUCCCUUCGACAUAUUCACUUUCUUUGUUCUUGUUUCUUUUACUUGGUUGAUAGUAAUUAAACCUUGAGUAUCAAGGUUGGCAUUUAUAAAGGAUAAAAGAUGAAAUUCCCAAAGUUUGUGUCGCAAUCAACGUUUGUUCGUUGGCACUUCCUUAAAGGAUGUGGCAUUAUUCUUAUCAUUUCUUAGUUUUUGAAGCUAACUGUUUUACUUGGCUUUCAACAUGCACAAGAACAAGUUUGUCUUGUGCAUACGGAGUUUACUAUGGACAAGCCGAAUUGUAAGUAACCAUUUACACUAAUCAAUCGGUAUUGUCCAAUGAAAAUAAGUAAUGUAAACUUAUCAAAAAAAAAAGUAAUGUAAAAAGUGUCUAGGAUUUUGCCUAAUAUUUCUUAAAAUAGGCUAAUUAAGCCCAAUUCUGGUGCUAGAUUGGUUCAACUUUGAAUCAAACUUGGAAACAUUUUGCUUUAGAUUAUUAUUAUUAAUUUAGAAGAGUCAAAAAGCUAAGAGUAUCGUUGGUAAAGCUCAAACAUGUGUAAUAUCACAUAUUACUUCUUUUUUUUUUUUAUACAAGUAAUAUCACAUAUUACUAGUGAGUGAGUUUCAUAAACUUUCCUAUUGAAAAAGACACAUUUUGGGUUGUAAAUCCUAACACAAUAUUUAUUCAGUUGUUGAGCCUGAAAUAUUACAGAUAUAUCAAAUAUUAUUUGAUGUGGGCGCACAACCCUGCGUCUUCUUAAUUAGGACAACCAAUGAAACCCUGCGUCUUCUUACAUAACUUGUAUGUACACAUUGGCGGGAUAUCCCAAUUAUGUACUCGUUUGUCUUCAUGUGUUUUAAAAAAAUCUAUUGUAAUGGAUAUAUUGUAAAUUUAUCUAAUUGCUUGUUAUAAUGCUUCUAUUGCGGUGUUAUUCGAGCUGUCAUUUUCAGUUUUAUUUUGUUUUUUCUUUAAACAUAGUUAAUUUGAAAUCCAUUACACUUGAAUCAUCAAAUAAGUGAUUCUCGAACAUAAUUGCUGUUGUUACUCGAAUAAGAAAAGAAAACAAAGUAUAGCUAAGAUAAAAGCAAAUGGAAAUGAGAGCAACGUGAUUUUGCAAAGAGAACUUCACACUAUCAUAAAACCAAAAACAUUAAAAUUUAAAACUUAAAUAACAACACACCAAAGCCAAAUAACGACCCACUAGAAUCAUGGUCCAAAGAUUGUACCAUGAUCACAACAUGAACUACAAAAAAAUAACCAACACCUGAAAAGUAGGAACAGUUUGAAACUUUCAACUAAAGUGGGAAAGACCAGGAUGGCACUGCAUGCCCAGCCCACCAACAUUAAAUGCUUUUUUCCCUUAUAAUUUAUCAGUCACAUAAUUUAGAGUGAAGACUUUAAUGCUGUGUUUACUUGCUGGAGUGGGAGUGAGGAGUGUGGAUUCCUCCCACUCCAGCGUUUACUUUCUCUGAAUGGGAAGGGAGUGGGAAUUCCACUCCGUGGGCCCCACCCAUUUUUGGAGUGGGGAGUGGGAGUGGGACUCCCAUAUUCCCACUCCCACCUCUCCCUUUUUUACCCUUUUAUUUUUUUAAUUUAAUUUAAUUUAAUAUUUUAUAAUUAAUAAAAUAAAAUAAAUAUUAUUAUAUUUAUUUGAAUAAUAAUAUUAUAUUUAACUAAAUAAUAAUUUGCAUUGAUUCUAAGUUAAAAUUAUUUUAAAAUAAUAUUAUUAUAUUAAUAGAGAAUUAAUAAAUAUAAUAUUAUUAUAUUUAUUUUAAAAAUAAUAGUACUAUAUUUAUUUAAUAUUAAUAAAUAGUUUAUUCUAAGAAAAUAUUAAUUUUGUACUAAAUAAUAUUAUAUUAUUAUUUUAUAUAAUAAUAAAUUUAAUAUAAUUAUAUUAAAUAAAAUAAGGUUUCAUUUUGUAUUAAAAUUAAUAAUUUAUUGUUGAUAAUUAAGAAUAUUAAUAAUUAUAAUAAAUUUACAAAUAUAAUAAAAUAAAUAUUAUUCAUUAAAUAUAUUUUUUAUUAGUUUUGUAAUUAAAAAUUAUAAUUCUUUAAAUAAGAAUAAAAUUGUAAUUUGAAACUAUUUACUCCCAAUCCAAGACAAAGUAAACACAUAAAUUGGAUUUUGAUCUCUAUUCCAUGCUUCCAUUCCAGUGUAAGUAAACAACCUACUCUCACUCCCACUCCACACUCUCAAUCCUAGGAUUUCCACUCCUCAGGAUUCCCAAUCCAAUCCAAAAAGUAAACGCUACCUAAAAGCAAAUAAAUGAAUUGGCUGAAUCUAGCUAGGAUGCCAGGAUGGGCACGGAUCCACAGAUAACAAGUAACAGUCUUUAAAUCUUCUGUUGUAAGUUCUUACGCCCCUUUUUUUUUAUACGACGAACCCCCGAUUCUACCCUCCAAAAUCAACAAUAGAGAAUUUAGUCUUAGCCUCUCAAGAUGCACUCAAACCUAAGGAUGGCAAUGGAUCAGAUCUGACCCAAGAUCCAUGUGAUCCAAAUCCAAUUGGAUCGAAUUUGGGUCGGAUUAAAAUAGAUUUGGAUCGGAUUUGGAUAUCGAUGCGUGGAUCUAAGGCGGAUCUGGAGCAAAUUCAGAUUUAUCUUAAUAUCUAUAUCCAAAUCCAUAUCCACUCACCAUUUAAUGUAAUUUUAUUUUAAAAAAUUCUUAACAAUUAUGUAAUUAUAAAUGAUGAUAAAAUUUAUUCAUUAGCAUGUAUUUAAGAAUCUUAAAACUUAAAGGUACUUAAUUGAUAAUAAGAUAAAAAUUUAUCAAGUGUAAAAUAAAAUUAGGAUAGUCUGCCCUAAUUUUUUUAAGUUUUUCACUCUACAAUUUAGUCUCUUUUUUCCUCUUUAGUCUACUCUCGCUUCUCCACUUCAUUUGAAUGCUUGGAUCAGUUCUUUAAUUGUUAGGAAAAUCCAUAGACUUGAGUUUAUUUUUCUAUCAUUUUCUCAUAAUCUUAUUUAUUUUGUAUAAUCACUAAUCAAUGGUGGCUAUCAACUAUAAAAUAAUUAUGUUAAUCAUAUAUUUAGUUAAAUAUGAUCAUAAUAAAAAUAAUAAAGCACUGAAUAUAAUAAAUCAUUUUUAACUUAUAUGUUAUUAUUUAAUGAUAUAGGAAUGAUGAUGGUGUGCAGUGGAUAUCAAGAUAGUAAAUGAGACAUUAGAAUAUUAUAAUGAUCUUAUUCAUGCAAUUACUUUUUAUCGAUAUUUUAUUAUCUUUUUUAUUUGUUUAUUUUGGUGUAAAAGCAGAAGCUACAAUACUUAUUAGAUUUUUUGUACAAAUUAUAUAAUUUAAUUGUUACCAAUGCAUUUUAGUCUUAAAUUUUUUUUCUAAAAAAAAUUGAUCUCUUAUUAUUGAGAUUUAGAAUUCAUGAUGGAUCUAGAGCAUAUUUAGAUUGUAAUUUUUCAAUUUGGAUUUGGAGCAGAUAUAGAUCUUUAUUUUUGUUUCGAAUCUAGAUAUGGAGCGAAAAUAUAGAUCCAUAACGGAUCUGGAGCAGAUACAGAUCUUAAUUUUUAUUACGGAUCUGGAUAUGGAGCAAUGUAGAUCCAAUCCAUAUCUGCUCCAUUGCCAUCCCUACUCAAACCUUGAGUAUGGUUUUUACUUACGUAUUAUCGAUUAUGAUUUUAACUAAUCUCUCUUGUCAACGAACUUUUGGUUGAUUAUGGACGCCUUUUUUUUUUUAAUCUAAACAAUAUAAGAUUUCGUACAAAUUGAAUUUGUAUAGACCUCAUCAUUUGGAACUUGUGUUGUAUCCAAAAAUAUCACCCAACCCAAAGAAAAUAAGUUCAAUUCUAUAACUCAUUCAUUUUUCUUAUAGCCCAAUGGAUUGAGAGAAUAGGCGUCAGAGGAAACUUUAUUUCAAUAUAUAAAUAUAGGCUUGCAUACAAUGCAAAAUCAUAUAUUCGAACCAAUAGGCGAAGCAUUGUCCCUCGUUGAUCCACAUGAGCCAACUAGUCAAAGUGGAUCCACAUGAGCCACUUUACAGACUGGGCAUGCAUUGCAACUGUUCAUUUUUGCUUCUGCCAAUAAAGAGUUGAUAGUAACCAAAGAUUGUAUUCUUUAUUGUCAUUUGAGAGUAACCAAUUACUUAGGCAGUCACGUAAGUUGCUGGUUGGCCUCGCACAUUUUUGACCAGCUUGUUUCUGAAGGAAACCAGCUGAGCUGCAACCUCUUCCAUGCUCAUUCGUUCUCUCGGCAACUCUGAAGAGCAAGUGACUCCGAUUGCCAGUACUGAAACCAAGCACUCUUUAACACUAAAACUUCUGGUCCAUUGUUUGUGAGCAUUGGCCUUGCUUGUCUCCCCUUCUUCUCUUUCUACAAGAAGCACUGGAUCAACAAUUUCAGCGAGUCUUUCAGGAAGAGCUUCCUUGACAAAAUUAUGUAGGGUUAGAUUGCCUGUAAACAUCUCAUUCGUCGGCCCCUUUCCUGUAAACAUUUCCAGCAAGAGUAUUCCAAAACUGUACACAUCUCCACUUGUUGAGACUUCGCUCCCCAUUCCGUACUCUGCAAUUCGAAAACUAAAAUUGUUGGUUCAACUAGUAAAAUCUCUAAGGAUUGAAAGACAAGUUAAUUAAAUUAUUGUAUUUACCUGGUGCAGCAUAACCAACGGUUCCUUUUACUCCAACAGAGCUUGAUUGAUUAGAUGACAAGUUAUUGGUGGCUUCCGGAAGGAAUUUUGCUAAUCCAAAAUCACCUACAUGGGCAGUCAAUUCACCAUCCAGAAGAACAUUGCUUGGCUUGAGAUCACAAUGGACUAUUGGAGUUUCGCAAUAAUGAUGAAGAUAAUCCAAUGCGGAAGCAACAUCAACGGCAAUAUUCAGUCUUUGCAGGAGAUUUAAGUUCCUUGGUGCCUCAGCGUUCGGAUGCAACCAUUCCUCCAGGCUCCCGUUGACCAUGAACUCAUAAACUAAAGCCUCGAAAUCAUUUCCUUGGAAGUCAACACUUGCACAGGAAGUUAUUAUUUUGACAAGAUUCCGAUGCCUAAUACUCCUCAAGGCUUGACACUCCGCUAUGAAACUCUUUGAAGCUCCACGAUGCUGAAGAUUAAGUACCUUAACUGCCACCAGCGUUUCAUGAUCAUCGUGACUGAGGAUUCCUUUAUAGACCGAACCAAAGCUACCGGCACCAAUCAAGUUUUCCAAAGAGAACCCAUCAGUUGCUUUGAACAGAUUCUCAUAGGACACUCGUAAAACCGAAGCCAAGAAUGCUGAUGGAGUGGCCGGCUCCCUUUUUGAUUUGCUCCGCCAGGAAGUAAUUAUAAAACACGACAUCCCUGUCACUAACAAAAUUACUGUAACUACAGGAAUCAUCAGUUUCAGGGAACGGGAACGUGACUGCUUGGAUUCUUUGAUGGAACAAGUAGAUAAAUGCAACUCAGAUAUGCCACCACAGAGGUUAUCAUUUCCAUCAAGAGAUAUAGCACUUGAAUUGCUGAAGACUCCUUUUACUGGUACUUCACCCUCAAAAUGAUUAAAAGACAGAUUUAAAUUCUGCAAAAAGGGAAAGUUUUCCAAAUAUUUUGGAAUCCGGCCGGACAAAUUGUUCCGCGAAAGAUCAAGAUUCUCAAUGCCUCUCAAAGAACUGAAUGACGAAGGUAUAUUCCCUUGAAAGAAAUUACCAUUCAUGAUGAGUUGCACCAACAAAAUGCAACUUCCUAAACUACUUGGAAUUUCACCAGACAAUUUGUUCUCAGAUAUAUCUAUAAAACCCAGAUUUUUCAAGAUACCAAAAUUUGAGGGCAUAGGACCAUUCAACUGGUUUUGAGAUAGAUCAAGAUAGAUUGACAAGGAAGAGAGGCCAAUUACUUCAGUGGGUAUGGUACCACUGAGGUUGUUAUUAGAAAGAUUUAAUGAUAUUAAGUUUUGGCAUUUCCCCAGACUUGAUGGAAUGCUUCCCUCUAACAUGUUUUCCUCAAAAUUUAGUGUAGUUAACAAUGUCAAAUUUCCUAUAGAAGAUGGAAUUUCCCCCCAAAACUUGUUCCCCUUCAGGCCCAACCUCUGCAGCUUUUGAAGAUCUCCUAUACUUUCCGGAAUUCGGCCUGUGAAUUUGUUGCCCCCCAGAUGUAAAAGCUCCAAGUUAACAAGAUUUCUUAAUCCACUUGGGAUAUUUCCGAACAACUGAUUGUUUCCAACUGAUAAUAUUGCAAGUCGGUUUGACAAGUUCCCUACUGUUUCAGGUAACAUUCCACCAAAAUUGUUAUCACUAAUUUGCAGUAGCUCUAGUCUAGAAGCGUUAACCAAAGAAUUGACAAAUUCCAAGUUAUCUUUUUCCCCAUAAUUUCCUAAGUGAUUCUGAGAAAUACUAACCCAUUGGAGUUUAUGUAAAUUUUCCAAACUAGGCACCCUUCCACUGAAUCCAUUCUUUGCGAUUGUAAGUCUCAUUAGAUUUGAGGCAUUGGAUAUUGAAGCCGGAAUAGGUCCGGUAAACUGAUUACCACCAACGUUUAGUACUUCAAGUUUAGGAAGAGUGAAGCCUAAGUCUGAUGGAAGGCUUCCUUGAAGUUGGUUAAAAGGAAAAUAAAAACCACUAAGCCAAGACAAGUUGUAGAUUGAAAAGGGGAUUUCACCUGAUAGCUUAUUUGCUCCAAACGAUAUAUAACGCAUCAUCUUAAGCUCGCUCAGGGUUUCAGGAAUUUGUCCCACAAAUUGAUUUGCAGCUGCUGAGAGGACCUGGAGUGAUGACAAAUUGCCGAAGGAAGGUGGGAUUUCUCCUGACAAAUUGUUGGAGUGUAUUACGAGAAUCCGGAGCUUUGGUAAGGAGCCCAGUUUCCCUGGAACUUUCCCCACUAGCUCAUUGAAGUCUAACCAGAGGGAUUCAAGGUUAACGCAAUGCGAUAUGUUGUCAGGAAUUUGACCUCCGAAUGUAUUGUUGUCCAGCCUUAAAAUUCGUAACCUGAACAGAUAUCCAAUCGCUUGAGGGAUUUCGUUGCGGAGGCUAUUGUUUUUUAGAUCUAACACUCUGAGAAAACUCAAAUUACCAAUGUGAGGCGAAAGAGACCCCUGCAAGAGUAAAGAUGGAAGACGUAAUCCAGUCACCCUUUGGUGCCGUCGACUGCAAGUGACACCUUUCCAUUGACAAAAGUGCCUGGAAUAGUUCCAUGAACUCAAAACCUCAAGAGGGUCAUGAGUAACUUUGGCCUUGAAUUCAAGCAAUGCAAGUUGAUCAGUUUCAUUGCUUUUGAGCAUAUAAUCGGUUGACUGCAAGCUGAAGCUGACGCAACAGAAAAUAAAGAAACAAAUGCUUACAAUGAUUGAACUCAUCAUGUUUACAAAAUCCAUUUAACUGCCGAAAGGAAAUUAAAAUGAUAAAACUUUUAUAGAGGUUGGUAAGAUAAACUAUGUUUGUAUAUUUUUUGCAAUGAUUUAUGGACUCUGUACUUGAUGCUCAAAUGUGAACCGGCUGGCACCGUGACAGUGAAACUAAUGCUUUUUAUUUUUCUAAUAAUAUUAAUUAUCAAAUUUAUUACUAUUGUAAGAAUAAUAUAAUACAGCUUUUCCUUUAAGGAAGACCCGCCACACUAACUUUUGACGCUCUAUCAGUUUCCAGUAUUUUGUCAUUUUGUAUUGUAGUGCUUAAUCCACAAUGAAUAUAAAACAAUUUAAUCAACAUUAUUAGAAAAAGAAAAAAAGUAGGAGAAGAAAGUUAAGUAUGAUGGAUGGAGGGUCAGAUUACUGUUAAAUGACUUAAAGGUUUAAAGCACCACAGGAAUCAACGUUUCACAACGCUUUUUUCCCUUUCUGAAAUAUUCGGUGCAUUAGUUGACUAGAAUUAUAAUAUAUCAAACAACUACAAGAAAUAUUUUAAUUUAUCAUUUUACUAUUAUAUAUUUACAUAACUUAUCAUUUUACUAUAUUUCCGUAGUACCAUUAGUUGACUAGAAAAAUGUUAAUUUUACUUUUGAAAAAAAACACAAAUGGAUAUAUUAAAUAUUUUUAGCUACUUUUUAUUUUGAAUUUAUAAUGUUGUAAUACUUUGUGUUAUUAUUACUUUUUAUUUUGCAAAAACAAAUUAUAUAAAGAGAAAAAUUAAUAUUUUAUCAAUUAACUAAUUGAUCUAUAUUAAUUGAAAUAUAAUAAAUUAAUAUUUUAUCAAUUAACUAAUUGAUCUAUAUUAAUUGAAAUAUAAUAAAAUAAUAUUUUAUUUUUAAAUAUAAUAAAAUAAUUUUCCCAUGAAAGAAAAUGAUGAGUUGUUUCAACGUAAUGCAGCUGCCUAGACUACAUGGAAUUUCACCAGGCAAUGACAAUUUAUUCUCAGAUAAAUCUAACGCCACAACAUUUAUCUAGUCACCCAAAUUUGCAGGCGUUCGUUUUGAGACUUGUCAAAACUUUUUCCAAAAAUUCGGGAUUCAGGUCAUAUCAGGCCGGUUAUGUUUUGAAAAACUUGUAAAUUAUCAGUGAUCAAACUUCAAAACUUUGCAAAUAGGUCAAAAUACGGAAAAAAACUUGAUAUAUUAUUGAAUACUCAUUUUGUUUUGCAUUAAUAUAACGCUAUGGGUGAUAUCUAGUUCUGUUGGUAAAAUUUCUUGGGUUGAAAACAAGAAAACUAGCAUUUCAAACUCACUCAUAUGGAUGGGAAAGAAAUUUAGUUAUUAUUGGAUUAAAAAAUAAUAAUGAGAAUUAGAAAAAAAUUAUAAGGCUUCAACGAGAUUUGCUAAUCAUGUAUAGAUUAAUAUGGAGAUUAAGAACAUCACCUAAGCUAAUUAUUGAACUUGAAAGUUUAGGAGAAAAAAUUAUAUGGGUUUGGCCAUCAAUUUAGCAUUCGGAACUUAUUGUUUAGGAAGCUACGGCGGGUUUCGUAGUGGGACUUAUCCUCUUUAAUGCAUAUGGUGAUUUUAAACCAACAUAUAUAUAAUCCUAUUAUAAAACUCAUCAAACCUUCUAAAAUAACAUGUUGAGAUAGUGUGCUAGAUCCAUAUAAAUAUUUCUCCAACUUCUUAGCUUGAAGCGAUAUUCAUUUCCAUUGAUAGUUUAAUGGGCAAAGCCUUUUGAAUUCUCCAUGUUAUCAAGUUAACUUUUGCUGGAAAAUGCAAUGCGGAUAUGAAUAGAAUUUUUUGUGCAAACAAUUUUUCUAUGUUGACACAUCCUCUGGAACUUUCAGUAAAUUUUAUGGAGAAGCUUCAAUUUCUUGGUUGUUGAUUUCGAAUACAUUAAGCUCUUAUUUGGUAUUAAAGUAUUGUGGGCUAAAAGCUAUAGUUUUUAUGGAAAGAAAUUUGUAAUUGCGAAAUAAAAGUUGAUUCAGUGUGAUAAAUAUAAUUUCAGAAUAAAAAAUAAAGUAAACUUCGAAAUUAUAAUAGUAAGUAUUUAUUAAAUACUUUAGUGUUGCAGUAACUGUUUACUACAAUAUCAAAUAGGGGGCUAGUACAACAAGUUGUUAUAUUAAAAGUCUCCCAAAAAGGAAGAAGUGACUUAAAAAAUUAAAAGAAUGCAGGAGCUGAAGUUGGCAAUUUUGUAAAUUGCAAUGGCGAUUGUGAUAUAGUAAAAUCCUUCAAUGAAUCACAGCACUAGCGAUUUCGUAAUAUACAGUAGCGGCAAUUUUGUAAAAUUGAAGUAGUGAUAGUUUUGCAAAUAAAAGUAAAAACUUUUUCCCAAAAUUUGGCUGAGCAAAAAGCCAGCUUAGCCCACACUCUCCUUCGCCACUGGUUGAUGAGCUCUUCCUUCAAUUUUUGAACUUGAAGUGAUGCCCCAUCAACGUCCAGAAUUUUUAAAGUCUCCCCACUGUACAAGUUAAACAAUAAAGUCAGAAUGAUGACGGAGUUACAAACAAUCAAAUAUGAUCCUAAUGAUUCUUUUUAUACACUCACCCGUGCAUUGAUGUGUUUAAUUGAUAUAUAUUUAAGCAGAAAUUGAAGUUUGAACCUGAUUAAUUAGAUGCGAACACACAUUCAUGAGUAAUUACUUAAAAUUAAUUAACCAAAAGAGUAAAUAUAGGAGGAAAUCGAUCAUAUGCGUGCGGACACCACAAUCGAAUUAUAUAUUUAUAUCACCACAGCACAUAAAUUUUAUUCGAAUGAUAUAUGAUUAAUUAAUCAAUUUUUAAUAACAAUUAAAUUAUAAUGUCAAUUGUGCACAUAAGAUUUUUUUUCUUGAUGAAAUUAUGAAAGUUAGUAAUUAUUUUCCAUUUUUUAAAUAAUAGUUGUUAAUACAAAUCAAAAAAAUAUUGGGACUUGAGAUCAGGGUCUACUUGAGUUAGAAUUUUUUAUUAGAGAAGCUAUUAGCCAGCAAUACAAAAUAAAGAAGCAACACAAGAUAAAGAGUAAUAUAUUAUAGAAAGAUUUUAUUCGUUUCAAGUGUGUAUCAAACAAAGAGAUAUUUAUAGUUACAUAAUUACUACAUGAAAUUAAUGAAAACAUUAUGGAUCAUACUUCCUUGCGAGAUAGUGAAAGUUAUAGAGAAGGCAAAGGUUGCUAGUGGAAGAUAGUAGAGAGAUUAAGAGAUGUAUGUUAUAAACAUCCAGAUUUAUUUUAAUAAAUUCAUAGCAUUUUUUCCCCUCAAAUAAUAGGGUGUAGAGAACAAUUGGAAGGAGUUUACGCAGCCUAUAAAUUAAUACUCUGACGAAUUAAUAUCCUCUAUUAUAUAAUGACUUUUUUUAAGCACACUAAUAGGCUAAAAUGACAGUUCCAAUAAAUAAAUAAAAUAAUAUAUUUUUUUUGAAAACCCUUACAUAAUAUUGUGGUCCUACUCAUAUCAUAAAUUAAUAAUUUUUAAAUUAUAUAUAAUUAUUACACAUAAAUUAUAUAUUUUUUAAUAAAUUCAUAAUAUUUUUUCUCAAAUAAUAGGGUGUAGAGAACAAUUAGAAGGAGUUUACAAGACUCGCCUAUAAAUUAAUACUCUGGCGAAUUAAAAUCCUCUAUUAUAUAAUAAUUUUUUUUAAGGUUGCUAGUAGGCUAAAAUGAUAGUUCCAAUAAAUAAAUAAGAUUAUAUUUUUUUUUAAUGAAAACCCUUACAUUACAUUAUGGUCCUACUCAUAUAAUAAAUUAAUAAUUUUUAAAAUUACAUAUAUAAUAUUUUAUUUUAAAAAUAUGAUUUUAUUUUUUAUUAUUUUUUCUUGAAAUUUAAAUAUAGUUAGAUUUCAUCUCUAAUUUUUCUUAUUACUUUUGAGGUUAAAUUUUGAAAUUGCAAAAAUUUUGAAUUUUUUUGGUUAAUUAAAUCUGCAGUGAGUGUAUAAGAUGAUUAGAUUAGUAAAAUAUAAUAAAUUUUUAGUUGAUUAAAUAUAUGUUCAUUUAAUAUGUCUUGUGUAUACAGAGUUUACUAAGGACAAGCCGAAUAGUAAGUGAGCAUUUACACUAAUCAAUCGUGUUGAGUUGUGUCUCAUAUUGGCUAGUAAAGGGGAGAUACUUGGGUUUAUAAGAAGGUAUGUCACUCCACCUAAAAGACUAGUAUUUUGGGUUGGAUACCUAGAAAUCUUAUGUUAAGUCCCCUCAACAAAUCGGUAUUGUGCAAUGAAAAUAAGUAAUCUAAAAAUUGCCUAGGAUUUUGCCUUAUAUGUCUCAAAAUAAGCUAAUUAUGCCCAAUUAUGGCACUUGAUGGUUCAACUUUGACAUCAAAGUUGGAAACGUUUUUCUCUAGGGUGAGGCUAUUUGCACUUGAAUAUCUACUUUGAACACUCAUUUACUCAGCGCACUCAAUUAAUAAUUUCAAACUAUUAAAUUUUACUUGGAACACUCUUUUGAAUUCCUAUAUUAUCCACAUUUCUUUAAUUACUUUAUUUCUUCUUUGUACCCAAUAAAAUAUUCAUCAUCACAAACAAAAUAUCUAACUUUUUUUUUCCAUUUUUAUUCACUUUUAUUUUCUGUUCAUAAUCUGUUUUGAUAUGUAUUUGUUCUUCUCUUAUUGCUACAAUUUAAUUCUGUUUGUCAACCCAUAAAAGCAUGCGAAUUGAGUGAAAAUCAAAGUGCAAAUUUAAAACAAAAUCCUUUGAUUUACUUGCGUUUUCUUAUGUUGGAGUGGUGCAAUUUGUUGUUUGUCCUCCACCUCUAUUUUUAAUUCCUUUUGUUUCAGUUAUAAAGAUGAUCAUGAACAUGUUACUUGAUGUUUUCCUAGCAAUUCUAUUAACCAAAAAAAUGAAAAAAAAAAGUUUAGUCCAUAAGUAUAGACAAUGUUUUCAUUUGAAUAUUGAUUCAAUUCUUCGUUGUUAAUGUGGUUUAUUGUAGAUAAAAUAUAAUGUUAGAUAAAAAUUUGUUAUACUGUAUUUUAUAAUUGUCCUUAAUAGAAAAUUACAUUAAGGUUAAUUUAGUAAUAUAAAAAUUAUUAAAUGUGAGUGUCCAAAGUAAAUUUUAGAGUGCAUAUAGUCUCACCCUUUUCUUUGUGUUAUUAUAAUUAAUUUAGAAAGAGUUAGAAAGCUAAGAGUAUCCUUAGUAAAGCUCAAAUAUGUAAUACAUAUCACUAGUGAGUGAGUUUCAUAAACUUUCCUAAUUAAGUAGAUGAAUUUUGGGUUGUAAAUCCUAACACAAUAUCUAUUCAGUUGUUGAGCCUAAAAUAUCACAACUAAAUCGAUAUUGUCCGAUGUAGUCAUGCAACCCUACAUCUUCUUAGUUAGGACAAUUCAUGAAACCACUUAUUUGGGAUGUAGGAGAUGAUACAAAAUUUGUAUGUGCACGUUGGCUUAAUAUCCCAAUUACACACUCGUUUGUCUUCAUGUGCUCCGAAAAGAUCUAUUGUAAUGGAUAUAUUGUAUCUUUAUCAAAGUGCUUGUUAUAAUGAUUCUAUUGUGGUGUUAUUCGAGUUGUCACUUUUAGUUUUUGAUUAUCUUUUUUAAACAUAGUUAAUUUGAAAUGUUCUUUAAUAUCCAACACACUUGAGAUCAUCAAAUAAGUGAUUCCCGAACAUAAUUGCCUCUGAUCAUUUUGUUUGUGCCAAUAAAGGGUUGAUACAAACCAAAGACUUCUUGUCUUUAUUGUCAUUUGAGAGUAAUCAAUUACUUACGCAGUCACAUAAGUUACUGGUUGGCCUCGCACAUUUGAGAGUAACCAAAUGGAAAUGAGAGCAACGUGAUUUUCCAAAGAGAACUUCACACUAUCAUAAAACUGAAAACAUUACAAUUUAAAGCUUAAAUAACAACACACCAAAGCCAAAUAACGACCCACUAGAAUCAUGGUCCAAAGAUUGUUCCAUGAUCACAACAUGAACUACAAAAAAAAAAAAAAAAAAAAAACCAACACCAAAAAAGUAGGAACAAUUUGAAACUUUCGACUAAGCAACAUUUAUGAUCACAUCAGCAGUCCUAAACACAUCUUCUAACAAUUGCAACUGUUCAUUUUUGCUUCUGCCAAUAAACAGUUGAUAGUAACCAAAGAUUGUUGUCUUUAUUGUCAUUUAAGAGUAACCAAUUACUUACGCAGUCACGUUAGUUGCUGGUUGGCCUCGCACAUUUUUGACAAGUUUGUUUCUGAAGGAAAGCAGCUGAGCCGCAACCUCUUCCAUGCUCAUUCGUUCUCUCGGCAACUCUGAAGAGCAAGUGACUCCGAUUCCCAGUACUGAAACCAAGCACUCUUCAACACUAAAAUUUCUGGUCCAUUGUUUGUGAGCACUGGUCUCGCUUGUCUCCCCUUCUUCUCUUUCUACAAGAAGCACUGGAUCAACAAUUUCAGCGAGCCUUUCAGGAAGAGCUUCCUUGACAAAAUUAUGCAGGGUUAGAUUGCCUGUAAACAUCUCAUUCGUCGGCCUCUUUCCUGUAAACGUUUCCAGCAAGAGUAUGCCAAAACUGUACACAUCUCCACUUUUUGAGACCUCACUCCCCAUUCCGUACUCUGCAAUUUGAAAAUUAAAACUGUUGGUUCAACUAGUAAAAUCUCUAAGGAAUGCAAAAGAAGUUAAUUAAAUUAUAGUAUUUGCCUGGAGCAGCAUAACCAACGGUUCCUUUAACUCCAGUAGAGCUUGAUUGAUUAGAUGACAAGUUAUUGGUGGCGUCCGGAAGGAAUUUCGCUAAUCCAAAAUCACUUACAUGGGCAGUCAAUUCACCAUCCAGAAGAACAUUGCUCGGCUUGAGAUCACAAUGGACUAUUGGAUUUUCGCAGUAGUGAUGAAGAUAAUCCAAUGCGGAAGCCACAUCAACGGCAAUAUUCAGUCUUUGGAGGAGAUUUAAAUUCCUUGGUGCCUCAGGGUUUGGAUGCAACCAUUCCUCCAGGCUCCCGUUCACCAUGAACUCAUAAACUAAGGCCUCGAAAUCAUUUCCUUGAAAGUCAACACUUGCACACGAAGUUAUUAUUUUGACGAGAUUCCGAUGCCUAAUACUUCUAAAGGCUUGACACUCCGCUAUGAAACUCUUUGAAGCUCCUCGAUGUUGAAGAUUAAGCACCUUAACUGCCACCAGCGUUUCAUGAUCAUCAUCAUUGAGGAUUCCUUGAUAGACCGAACCAAAGCUACCGGCACCAAUCAAGUUUUCCAAAGAGAACCCAUCAGUUGCUUUGAACAGAUUCUGAUAGGACACUCGUAAAACCGAAGCCAAUACUGCUGAUGGAGGAGGGGCCGGCUCCCUUUUUGAUUUGCUCCGCCGGGAAGUAAUUAUCAAACACGACAUCCCUGUCACUAACAAAAUUACUGCAACUACAGGAAUAAUCAGUUUCAGGGAACGGGCACGUGAUUGCUUUGAUUCUUUGAUGGAACAAGUAGAUAAAUGCAACUCAGAUAUGCCACCACAGAGGUUAUCAUUUCCAUCAAGAGAUAUAGCACUUGAAUUGCUGAAGACUCCUUUUAUUGGUACUUCACCCUCAAAAUGAUUAGAAGACAGAUUUAAAUUCUGCAAAAAGAAAAAGUUUUCAAAAUAUUUUGGAAUCCGGCCAGACAAAUUGUUCCGCGAAAGAUCAAGGUUCUGAAUGCCUCUCAAAGAACUGAAUGAUGAAGGGAUAUUCCCUUGAAAGAAAUUACCAUUCAUGACGAGUUGUUCCAACCUAACGCAACUUCCUAGACUGUUUGGAAUUUCACCAGACAAUUUGUUCUCAGAUACAUCUAGAACACCCAGAUUUUUCAAGAUGCCAAAAUUUGAGGGCAAAGGACCGUUCAAUUGGUUUUGAGAUAGAUCAAGAUAGAUUGAUAAGGAAGAGAGACCAAUCACUUCAGUGGGUAUGGUACCAGUGAGGUUGUUAUUAGAGAGAUCUAAUAAUAUCAAGUUUUUGCAUUUCCCUAGACUUGAUGGAAUGCUUCCCUCUAACAUGUUUCCGUCAAAACUUAGUGUGAAUAACAAUGUCAAAUUUCCUACAGAAGAUGGAAUUUCCCCCAAAAACUUGUUCCCCUUCAGUCUCAACCUCUGCAGCUUUUGAAGAUCUCCUAUACUUCCCAGAAUUCGGCCUGUGAAUUGGUUGUCCCCAAGAUCUAAAAGCUCCAAGUUAACAAGAUUUCCUAAUCCACUUGGGAUAUUUCCGAACAAUUGAUUGUUUCCAACGGUAAAUCUUUUAAGUCGGGUUGACAAGUUCCCCACAGAUUCAGGUAACAUUCCUCCAAAAUUGUUAAUACUAAUUUCCAUCAUCUCUAGUCUAGAAGCGUUGACCAAAGAACUGACAAAUUCCAAGUCAUCUUUUUCCCCAUUUCCUAAGUGAUUCAGAGAAAAGCUAACCCGUUGGAGUUUAUAUAAAUUUUCCAAACUCGGCACCUUUCCACUGAAUCCAUUUUUCUGGAUUGUAAGUCUCAUUAGAUUUGAGGCAUUGGAUAUUGAAGCAGGAAUAGGCCCAGUAAACUGAUUAUUACCAAAGUUUAGUACUUCAAGAUUAGGAAGAGUGAAGCCUAAGUCUGAUGGAAGGCUUCCUUGAAGUUCAUUAACAGGAAAAUCCAAAAGACUAAGCGAAGACAAGUUGUAGAUUGAGAAAGGGAUUUCACCUGAUAGCUUAUUUGCUCCGAAUCCUAUUGAACGCAUCCUCUUAAGCUCGCUCAAGGUUUCAGGAAUUUGUCCCACAAACUGAUUUACAGCUGCUGAAAGGAACUCGAGUGAUGACAAAUUGCCAAAGGAAGAUGGGAUUUCUCCUGACAAAUUGUUGAAGUGUACUGCUAGAGUCCGGAGCUUUGAUAAGGAGCCUAGUUUCCCUGGAACUUUCCCCACAAGCUCAUUGAAGCCUAACCAGAGGGAUUCAAGAUUAACGCAAUGUGAUAGGUUGUCAGGAAUUUGACCUCUGAAUGUAUUUUUCUCCAGGCUUAAUUUUUGUAACCUGAACAGAUAUCCAAUCUCUUGAGGGAUUUCGUUGCGGAAGCUAUUGUUUUUGAGAUCUAACACUCUGAGAAAACUUAAAUUACCAAUGUGAGGCGACAGAGACCCCUGUAAGAGUAAAGAUGGAAGAAGUAAUGCAGUCACCCUUUGGUGCCGUCGACUGCAAGUGACACCUUUCCAUUGACAAAAGUGCCUGGAAUAGUUCCAUGAACUCAAAACCUCAAGAGGGUCAUGAGUAACUUUGGCCUUGAAUUCAAGCAAUGCAAGUUGAUCAGUUUCAUUGCUUUUGAGCAUAUAAUCGGUUGACUGCAAGCUGAAGCUGAAGCAACAGAAAAUAAAGAAACAAAUGCUUACAAUGAUUGAACUCAUCAUGUUUACAAAAUCCAUUUAACUGCCGAAGGAAAUUAAAAUGAUAAAACUUUUGUGGAGGUUGGUAAGAUAAACUAUGUUUGUAUAUUUUUUGCAAUGAUUUAUGGACUCUGUACUUGAUGCUCAAAUGUGAACCGGCUGGCACCGUGACAGUGAAACUAAUACUUUUUGUUUUUCUAAUAAUAUUAAUUAUCAUAUUUAUUACUAUUGUAAGAAUAAUAUAUUGCAGCUUUAAAGAAAGACUCACCAUACUCCUUUUCGAGUCCUGUCAGUUUCCAGCAUUUGGUCAUUUUUUUAUUUCACCGCUUAAUCCACAGUAAAUAUAAAACAAUUUAAUCAACAAUAUUGAAAAAGAAAAAAAGUAGGACAAGAGAAAGGUAAAUACUGUUAAAUGAGUUGGGAAACGUUCAAAGCACGACGGGAAUUAAAAUUAUAAACUUUUAUAAAGGUUGGUAAGAAAAAACAUAUUUGUAUAUAUUUUUUUCAAUGAUUUAUGGACGCUAUACUUGAUGCUGAAAUGUGAACCGGCUGGCACCGGGACAGUGAAACUAAUGCUUUUUAUUUUUCUAAUAAUAUUAAUUAUCAUAUUUAUUACUAUUGUAAGAAUAAUAUAAUACAGCUUUUCCUUUAAGGAAGACCCGCCACACUAACUUUUGACGCUCUAUAAGUUUCCAGUAUUUUGUCAUUUUGUAUUGUAGUGCUUAAUCCACAAUGAAUAUAAAAGUUUAAAGCACCACAGGAUGAUGGAUGGAGUUUCACAUUACUGUUAAAUGACUUUGAAAGGUUUAAAGCACCACAGGAACCAACGUUUCACAAUGCCUUUUUCCCUUGUGAAAUAUUCAGUGCAGUCUCUCCCAGAUUUUGCUAGUGCAACAACGAGACGUCAUGCCGUUAACAAUUUUAAACUGUAAAUGACAUGUUGUUUUUACAAGACAUAUUAUGCGUCGAUACAUACCUUUUCUGGUUGUUGGUUUAUAAAAAUAUAUGAAACGGCAUGAGUGUGACAACUCUUGUAAAAUUUUUAAAAACAACAUAAUCAAUGGUAUUCUUAUCUCCCAGCUGCCGUUUGCCGUUUGGAAUUGUUCUGUAUAAGAUCUUGAUCAUCGAAUUUACCACUAGGGCGUAUGCUUUAUUUUCUCGAAUUACAUUGCUGCCUCAUCUUUUGUGUUUUCGGUUCUGUUGUGGAUCUCCUCUGUUUUUUUCUGAUUUUGGGCCCGAAGGGCACGUUAAUUGAAAUCAACAAAUCUGGUAAAAAUGACGUUAAAUUCGAUCAGAUUUACAUAUUUAAUUACAAAUGCAGUAACCCCGAUCAGAUGCAUACACUAAUUUUAUUUAUUUUGUCAGCUUUAACCUCACUGUCAUUUUGAAUAGCCUACAAGAGUCGAAUGACUAGAUUUCCAAUUUGCUAUCAUCCCCCUUGAAUGGGUUCAAGAAAUUCAGCAGGUUGCGAAACAAUAAGAUUCAUUCAAUCCGUGUAGAUAUCUAACUGACUGAAAUUAAAUAAAUGAUGAUGAUAAGAAAUUUGAAAUCAACAAAUCUCGGCACAUCUAUUCUGCAAUUUAGCCGUACUUCAAAUAAUCUUGCGAUAAAAAUUUCUUAAAAAUCUCAGAAAGAGGACAGAACAACCAAGGCAUCAGCGAAAGCAAUCGAUGUUAGGAAAUUGGUGGGUGCAGCAGUACCGCAACUAAAAUAAAAUUGGAAAUAAAAUAAAGAACAAGCACAAUAGAGGACACCAAAAAUUACGUGGUUCGGCUUUUAGCCUACAUCUACGGGCGAAGACAGAAGGAAAUAUUUUACUAGUGAAAUAAGGAUUACAAGUAUUGUAAGAUUUUAGCUCACUACCCAAAACCCCAAUACACCCAAUCUCUCACUCACUACACAUGCAAGAGUUUAUUAAACUCUUGAAAACUCUCAACACUCAAAGAAAGAAAAAUUUCUCUCAAUGGAAUUGAAUACAAAAUGAAAUGAGGAGCUCUGCCUUUUAUAGCCAAAAAAUGGCUAUUAAAUUAUUAUUUUUACCACCGUCUUCAUUCUGCUAUUUUCUUCUUUCUUCUUUUUUCUUCAUUCCAAAUUUGCUGCUGCCAAAUUCUUCAACAUUUUCUUUGGCCGGCUGUCAAAGCCAACUUUGCUUAUUCAAGGGUUCUAGAUGCAGUAGCUUCUAGAUGCAGCCAAAUUUGACAUUCUCCCACUUGGAGAUUAGAUUGAGAAUCAAUCAAUCUCCACAUCAUCCUUUCUGUUUCGCCAUAAUCAUGUUGCCUACGUUGCUGCUAGGCCACAAGAGGAUCUACUCCAGAUAAACUUGUCAGCAUUUAUUGGCUUGGUCAAAACAUCUGCUAGGUUCUCCUUCGUAUGGAUUUUCUGCAAAUCCACACUUCCAUCUUCCACUACUUCUCGAACGAAGUGAUACUGAACUCCUAUGUGCUUUGUCCUGGAAUGAAAGGCUAGAUUCCUUGCAAUGUGCAAGGCACUCUGACUGUCACAAAACACAAGAAUUUUCUGUUGUUUGUGCCCGAGCUCCUCCAAUAAUCUUUGUAUCCAAAUAGCUUCCUUGCAAGCUUGUGUAGCUGCCAUGUAUUCUGCUUCUGUUGUAGAUAAUGCCACAACGGUCUGCAGUUUCAAAACCCAGCUUACAGCUGCUCCCGCAAGUGCAAACACAUAACCAGUAGUGGAUUUCCUUUUAUCAAGGUCUCCUGCAAAAUCUGAAUACACAUAGCCCCUGACAGUAAACUCUGAUCCUCCAUAACAUAAUGCAACAUCUGAGGUUCCUCUGAUGUAUCUCAGAAUCAUCUUCACAGCUAUCCAAUGCUCUCCGCCAGGAUUCGCCAUGUAUCGACUGACUGCUCCCACUGCUUGUGCAAUGUCCGGUCUUGUACAUAUCAUAGCGAACAUUAAACUUCCCACUGCUGAUGCAUACGGUACUCGAGACAUCUCCUUCCUCUCUGCUUCAUUGCUAGGACACAUACUUGAGGAUAAUUUGAAAUUAACAGGAAAUGGGGUAGAAAUUGACUUACAAUCUUGCAUGUUGAAGCGCCGCAAGAUUUUCUUCAAGUAAUUCUUCUGUGAUAGCCAAAUCUUCCUGUUAUUUUUGUCUCGGUGAAUUUGCAUCCCUAGAAUCUUGUUUGCUGGUCCCAAGUCCUUCAUUUCAAACUCCCUAGCCAACUGUGCCUUCAAUUCUUGGAUUCGAUCUUUGUUGGGACCUGCUACCAACAUGUCAUCUACAUACAACAGCAAAAUGAUGAAAUCAUUAUCUUCAAACCUCUUGUAAUAUGCACAAUGGUCUGAACUGAGUCUGUUGUAUCCAAGGCUCAUGAUGAAGGAAUCAAAUCUCUUAUACCAACACCUCGGCGCCUGUUUGAGACCGUAUAGAGAUUUGUUCAACUUGCAAACCAAGUUCUCCUUUCCUGUUUCUGCAAAACCUUCUGGUUGGAGCAUAUAUAUUUCUUCUUCAAGUUCUCCAUGAAGAAAUGCAGUUUUCACAUCUAACUGCUCUAGAUGUAGGUCAAAUGUAGCACACAUUGCCAAGACUAUUCUGACUGUUGUGAGUCGAACCACGGGCGAAAAUAUCUCGUUGAAGUCAAUGCCUUCUUUCUGAGCAUAUCAUUUCACCACCAAUCUUGCACGAUACCGCUCCACUUGGUCAUUGCCAUCACGCUUGAUCUUGUAGACCCAUUUGUUUCCAAUGGCUUUUCUUCCAUGUGGUAGUGGUACAAGUUCCCAUGUCUUGUUCUUGUGUAGAGCUUCAAUUUCUUCCUGCAUUGCUGUCAUCCACAAAGCAACAUCUGAGCUGUUUAAAGCUUCAUGGAAAGUUGAAGGCUCUCCAUCCUCUGUUAAAAGACAGUAUGCAACGUUGAUCUCUGUGACAUACUCAGAGUGCCACACCGGCGGUCGUCUCUCACGAGUUGACCGACGAACUUCUGGAGCCUCGGACUCGACUGGUUCUUGUUCCUCGUGCUCUGGUGCUGCUUCAGAAGAAUCUGAAUCUUCUGGAUUAUUUUCUACAUAUACCGGCACAAUCUCUGACUUUUCUUUUACAGUGCCAUCAUCUCCAUCUUUCAUUUGCAGUUGAUCUUCUACAAAAAUAACAUCUCUGCUGAUGACGAUCUUGUGGGCAGUGGGGUCCCACAGACGAUACCCCUUUACUCCAUCAGCAUACCCCAAGAAGAUACAUCUUCUAGAUUUUGGAUCCAACUUUGUUCUUUCUUGGGCAUUGUACAUCACGUACACAGGACAUCCAAAUGCAUGUAGGUAGGAAUAAUCAGCUGGCUUUCCAGUCCACAUCUCCAUCGCCGUCUUCAACCCAAUCGCUGUAGAUGGUGAUCGAUUUACUAUAUAACAGGCAGUUUUGGCUGCUUCUGCCCAUAAUGAAUUGGGUAAACCAGCAGUCCUCAACAUAGCUCUUAUUCUUUCUGUAAGAGUUCUGUUCAUCCGCUCUGCCACUCCAUUUUGUUGAGGAGUGUACGCCACCGCGAACUGCCUCUGAAUACCUUCUUGCUUACAGAAAGCAAGAAACUCGCCCUCUGUAUAUUCUCCACCAUUAUCCGUCCUCAAGCACUUGAUCUUUUUACCAGAUUCAAGUUCCACACGCGCUUUGUAUUCUUUAAACACAGGAAAUACAUCUGACUUUUUCUUAAUUGGAUACACCCAACAUCUUCUAGAAUAAUCAUCAAUGAAAGUCACUAUGUACUUUGCACCUCCCAUGGAUAUAUCCGGUGAUUCCCAAACAUCAGAAUGAAUCAAGUCUAGAAUGCAUUUACUUCUAGCAAUAGAUCUACUGAAUUUUAAUCUAUGCUGCUUACUUAUAACACAAUGCUCGCAAAAUGGUCUGAAUUUUAAUCUAUGCUGCUUACUUAUAACACAAUGCUCGCAAAAUGGUAAACUUACCGAUUUGAGCCCCGGAAGCAAUUUUCGCUCAGAGAGAAUCUUCAAGCCUUGUUCUGACAUGUGACCAAGUUUGAGAUGCCACAUCAUCGUUGAUUCUUCUCCAUUUGACGCGACACACGUAUUAGCCUCCUGUAGUGUUUCUCCUCUAAGCAUGAAUAGAUUAGCACCGAUCUUUUCUGCUUUCAUCAAUACAAGCGCGCCUUUAACGAUCUUCAUAAUUCCAUUCUCCACAUGAGUUUUGUACCCAUGACUAUCCAUGUGUCCCAAAGACAAUAGAUUUUUCUUCAAGCCAUUGACAUGUCGUACCUCUCCAAUUGUGCGAAUUGUACCAUCAAACAUUUUUAUUUUGAUAGUACCAAUACCAGCGAUCUCCAAGGCAUGAUCAUCUCCCAUAUAUACAGAUCCUCCUGAGAUAGGUUCAUAUGUGUGGAACCAUUCUCUCCGAGAGGUCAUGUGCCAGGUAGCUCCUGAGUCUAUAAGCCAGACAUCAGACAAUCGUUUUCUGCCUUCUGAAACAGUUGUUGCCUCGCUGUAAAGAAUUUCGCCAUCAUCUGAGGUACUUGCUACACAACCCUGAGCAUUUGAUGACUCAGGUUCUUUUCCCUCUUUUCUCUUCUGGUUACUCCAACAUUCUUUCUUGAUGUGCCCUUUCUUGCCACAUUUGUAGCAUUUAACAUUAUUCUUACUCAUGGAUUUUGAUCUACCCUGAUUUUGACUCCCACUGGGGCCACGUUCCGUUGAUCUCCCUCUCGUCACCGAUAGCGCCUCCGCUUGCUGCGAACUUGCUUGUCUGUUUUCCUUAUUUUUCCACCUGCUCUCCUCAUUUAAUACGGAGGCUGCAACAUCGUCGAAAACUAGACUCUCCACUGGAUUGUUGUUCGUCAGGUUGAUGAUGAGUUGAUCAUACGAAUCUGGUAGACUUUGAAGUAGAAGCUCUGCACGUUCAUUUUCCUCUAUAUUAUGACCCAACAUUGUGAGUUGUGAAAAUAGAGUCUUCAAUGUGUUGAUGUGGUCGGUCACCAUUGUAGAUUCCGUCAUUCGAAGAGUAUAGAGUUUUCUCUUCAAGAAGAUUUUGUUGUGUAGUGACUUGGCCUCAUACAAUUUUGUGAGAGUAUCCCAUAUUUCCUUCGCCGUAUUUUUCUCUGCCACACUGGAUAAUACUCCAUCCGCAAGUGCCAAGUGUAGAUCAGAAAUGGCGUUGCCGUCUACCUCGUUCCACUUGUCAUCAGUUAUCUCCAUGGGCCUUUCUCCAAUUGCUGCCAAACAAUUAUUUUUCCUCAAUACAGCUUUCAUCUUCAUUUUCCACAAUGAAAAAUUAUUUCCGUUAAACUUCUCAAUUUCAUACUUUGCCGCCAUUUUGUUGAUAAAUACUGUACACAAGUUAGUGUACCACCUUGAAUAGUUGUGAGUAUGUGUGAUAAUGCACACCAGGAAAGUUCCCAGGAAAGACUGGAGGGGUCACAAUGGUCCCACUUAAAACCCAGACUCCUUAAGCUCUUAUCGCCUUUGUGACAGAACUUUCCUAGACAUGUACAAAACCACAGUUGUUUUUCUCACACUACUAUUCCCUGCUUUGCACCGGAAAAUUCUUGGAUCGCUUCCACCGUUUCACGUGAAUAGUACCGUAUACGUGAACAAUACCAUAUAUGUGAACAAACCCGUAUACGUGAACAACACAGUAUACGUGAAUAGUGUCGUAUACGUGUACAGUGCCGUAUACGUGAAUAGUACCCCUUACGUGAACAGUUCCCGACUCCAAAAAUACAACCAAUAGCUCUGAUACCACUGUUAGGAAAUUGGUGGGUGCAGCAGGACCGCAACUAAAAUAAAAUUGGAAAUAAAAUAAAGAACAAGCACAAUAGAGGACACCGAAAAUUACGUGGUUCGGCUUUUAGCCUACAUCCAUGGGCGAAGACAGAAGGAAAUAUUUUACUAGUGAAAUAAGGAUUACAAGUAUUGUAAGAUUUUAGCUCACUACCCAAAACCCCAAUACACCCAAUCUCUCACUCACUAGACAUGCAAGAGUUUAUUAAACUCUUGAAAACUCUCAACACUCAAAGAAAGAAAGAUUUCUCUCGAUGGAAUUGAAUACAAAAUGAAAUGAGGAGCUCUGCCUUUUAUAGCCAAAAAAUGGCUAUUAAAUUAUUAUUUUUACCACCGUCUUCAUUCUUCUAUUUUCUUCUUUCUUCUUUUUUCUUCAUUCCAAAUUUGCUGCUGCCAAAUUCUUCAACAUUUUCUUUGGCCGGCUGUCAAAGCCAACUUUGCUUAUUCAAGGGUUCUAGAUGCAGUAGCUUCUAGAUGCAGCCAAAUUUGACAAUCGAGGCAGGGCACGCUCAAGCCACGAAUUAGAGGAAUUUUAAAUAUCAAAACCAGCUCAGAAUAAUAAGAAGUAAAAUGAAACUAAAAAAGGCUCAGAUUUUUGGAUGAGUGAAGGGAAGAUGAGAAGAUGAAAUGCAGAAAGUCAAGAAAUGAAUAAACCAAUAUUAAUAAUCUUGGACCCACAUCUCUAAUUUGGAUUAAGCAUCCAUCUGCCUAUGUGGAUAAUAUUUUUGCUAAUUUUUCAGCCAUGCAGCAGGAUCAUGUUCGUCUUGUUUUAUUUGAUAGAAGGAAUUUUCCCUUGGAAGAAAAUGAUGAGUCGUUUCAACGUAAUGCAGCUACCUAGACUGCAUGGAAUUUCACCAGACAAUGACAAUUUAUUCUCAGAUAUAUCUAAAUCUAACGCCCCCACAUUUGUUUAGUCACCCAAAUUUGAAGGCGUCCGUUUUGAGACUGAUCAAAACUUUUUCCAAAAAUUCGGGAUUCAGGUCGAUCAGGCCGGUUAUGUUUUGAAAACUUGUAAAUUUUCAGUGAUCAAACUUCAAAACUUUGCAAAUAGGUCAAAAUAUGAAAAAUUCUUGAUAUAUUAUUGAAUACUCAUUUUGUUUUGCAUUAAUAUAAGGCUAUGGGUGCUAUCUAGUAAUGUUGGUAAAAUUUCUUGAGUUGAAAACAAUAAAACGAAAAUAGCUCUAAUAGAUCCACCCCUGUUUGAAACUCACUCAUAUGGAUGGGAAAGAAAUUUAGUUACCAUUGGAUUAAAAAAUAAUUAUUAUUAUUAGAAAAAAAAUUGUAAGGCUUCGACAAGAUUUGCUAAUCAUGUAUAGGUUAAAAUUUAUGUGGGUUUGGCCACCAAUUUAGCAUUAGGAACUUAUUGUUUAGGAAGCUAUGGUGGGUGUCGUAGUGGGACUUAUUCUCUUUAAUGCAUAUGGUGAUUUUAAACCAACAUUUAUAUAAUCCCAUUAUAAAACUCAUCAAACCUUCUAAAAUAACAUGUUGAGAUAGUGUGCUAGAAGUAUUUCUCCAACUUCUUAGCUUGAAGCGAUGUUCAUUUCCAUUGAUAGUUUAAUGGGCAAAGCCUUUUGAAUUCUCCAUGUUAUCAAGUUAAUUUUUGCUGGAAAAUGCAAUCCGGAUAUGAAUAGAAUUUUUUGUGCAAUCGAAUUUUCUAUGUUGACACAUCUUCUGGAACAUUCAAUAAAUUUUAUGGAGAAGUUUUAAUUUCUUAGUUGUUGAUUUCGAAUAUAUUAAGCUCUUAUUCAGUAUUAAAGUAUUGUGGCCUAAAAGAUAUAGUUCGUAUGGAAAGAAAUUUGUAAUUACAAAAUAAAAAUUGAUAAAGUGUGAUAAAUAUAAUUUCAAAAUAAAAAAUAAACUUAACUUCAAAAUUACAAUAGUAAUUAUAAAGUAUUUACUAAAUACAUUAGUGUUGCAGUAACUGCCCUACCACAAUGACAAAUAGGGGGCUAAUACUACAAAUUGUUCCAUUAAAAGUCACCCAAAAAGGAAGAAGUGACUUAAAAAAUUAAAAGAAUGCAGGAGCUGAAGUUGGCUAUUUUGUAAAUUGCAAUGGCAAUUGUGGCCUAGUAAAAUCCCUCAAUGAGUCACAGCACUAGCAAUUUCGUAAUAUACAUUAGUGGCAAUUUUGUAAAAUUGAAGUAAUGAUAGUUUUGCAAAUAAAAGUAAAAACUUUUUCCCUAAAUUCGGCUGAGCUAAAAACCAGCUUAGCCCACAGUCUCCUUCGCCACCGGUUGACGAGCUCUUCCUUCAAUUUUUGAACUUGAAGUGAUGCCCCAUCGAUGUCCAGAAUUUUUAAAGUCUCCCCAUUGUACAAGUUAAACAAUAAAGUCAGAAUGAUGAUCCUAAUGAUUCUUUUUAGAGAGUCACCUGUACGUUGAAGUGUUUAAUUGAUGUUUAUUUAAGCAGAAAUUGAAGUUUGAUCCUGAUUAAUUAGAUGAGAACACACAUUCAUGAGUAAAUACUUAAAAUUAAAUUAAUCAAAAUAGUAUAAAUACAGGAGAAAAUCGAUCAUAUGCGUACAGAAAUCACAAUCGAAUUAUAUAUAUCACCGCCGCACAGAAAUAACAAUUAAAUUGUAAUGUCAAUUGUCCACAUAAGAUUUUUUUUUUUUUUUUUUUUUUUUUUGUUGAUGAAAGUUAGUAAUUUUUUUCCAUCUUUUUAAAUAAUAGUUGUUAAUAAAUAUCAAGAAAAUAUUGGGACUGGAGAUCAGGGUCUACUUAAGUUAGAAGUGAGAGUAGUGCAGAUAUGUGGGGAUUAUAUGCAAGGUGGCUUAAAAGUAAAGGAGAUCUUACAAUGUGCUCUGAAGCCCUCUUAAAGCAAGUCAGAUCAUAUCAGGUUUCUCCAUAAAUCUCAUCAUCUUAUAAUAAGUUAGCAUUAUGUUUUACUUUGAUGUUGAUGGAAUUUGUUAAUGCUAAUCAAAUUUUGUUAAUCUCCCUCUCUUUUUUUUUUAAUUUAAAAGAAGGCAAAUAAAAAGCUUUGUGAUUUCAUUUUUGUUUUCUAAAUUUGUUAUCUAAAGGAAUGACAAGUUGAUAACUCAGCCUCUGUGUGUGUGUGUCUGUGUCAGGGAUCUGAUUUGUGGAAAGAUAGAGAUCGGUUUAAAAGGUUUUCAUAUGCAUCCUUGGAACUUUGUAAGGUUUACAUGGAAAUUUCUUCCUCUUCCGGUAGCCGUCGAGAGCUCUUUGCUGCUGAGAUGCACCUGAAGAACGUACUUAAACAAGUAAAACACCUUAUAAUUCGAUAUUUAAGACACUUACAGUUGGUUUAAAGAUUGUAUUUUCUGUUUCUGUUUUUGACUGGUUCAGGGUAAAACUUUUUCUCACUGUGUUAGAGUGCAUUUCUGUUAUUAUAUAGUUUCUUAGAAGAAAAUGCACUUUUUGGAAUCUCAGGCUAAAGGAUUUUCUGACAUGGAAGAGUUCAGGGAUCUUCAAGCUUGCCUUGAUGAAGUGAAGACAAAACUCCAAUCUGGUCCCGUGGCUACCUAAGUAUCAGGAAUGUGCUAUUUUUGAAAUUUAGUAACAAGGUUAAAUCUGCAACUAAAAAUUAUUUUAGUUUGUACUGUAGUGGAGACCUUAAGCAGGACUGAAUAUCUUGUAUUGUUGUAUCACCUUUUCUGUAACAAAACGGUCUAGUUUUACUAUUUUUAUUAUUUUUGUAUUUUCGGUGCUGUAACUAAUCUCAUUUGACAAUUUAAAUAUAUGGCUUCAAGUUCUUUAAAUGUAACAUCAAGUGUUGUUUCAACCUCUGUUCUUUUAUGUAUUUCUUGCAUGCGGUGAUUUCAUUAACCUCAAUUUAAGGACAAUUUCAUAUCUUUUUUCUUUCUGCUUUUCUUUUAUCAUUUAAAAACAACACACACACACACACACACAUUUAUAUUUCAGAAGAGGAAAUUGCACGGGAUAUGACUCAAUACUUGCUAAAUGCCAAGACUAUGACCCAAUUAUUUACAUGCCGAGACUAUGACCGAAUAACAAGUGAAAGUACACAAAUAUCCUUAUAAGUAACUAAGUUAAAAAUAUAAAACUUGAGUUAGGAAGUUUAGGAAUGCAUUGAACUUGUAUUCAUUACUUUGAUUAAUCCAUUUACCGUUAUACAAGACAAUAACACGUACCAUAUCCAUUUACAUAAAAAUUAUGAGUUGACAAAGUAAGAAUAUUAACAAAAAUAAGUUGUUAAAAGUUCUUGUAGACUUCUGUGCUUCAGUUCUAGACUUCUAGAUUUAUAGACUUACCUACAUGUCUAUAAGUCUAGAUGUAAAGAAGUCACGAAAACGAUAACAAUGAUAAACAAACUCAAUUCAACAACAAAUUUGAUGUGUAAAAAUUGUGUUGAAGAAUUUUUUGGAAUCUGUUUGAAUUUGUUAAGGGAAUGUGAUGAUUUUAGUAAGUGUUUGAUAACAACUUAGAAUGUUGGACGCAUUAUAGUGCUGGGUGCAUGCUUUUGUUGGAAAAGAUAAGGGCAUUUUAGACUAGGGAUCACCAAAAUGUCAUACAAAUUUAAUUGAGUAAAAUUUGUCAUAUUUAUAUAAAAUGUACAUGAUUUUGUCAUAUAUAAAUAAAAAACCCAUUUCAGAAAGCAUUUAAACAAAGCGAGAGUACAAUAAAAAACCCAUUUUAGAAAGCAUUUAAACAAAGCCAGAGUACAAUAUAGAAAGAUUUUACUCAUUCUAAGUGUGUACCAAACAAAGAAAUGAACUCUCCUUUUCUAGUUAUAUAAUUAUUACAUGAAAUUAAUAAAAACAUGACGAAUUAUAAUUCCUUGCGAUAUAGUGGGGGUUAUAGAAAAGUCAAGAGUUGCUAGUGGAAGAUAAUAGGGAGAGUACAAUAUAUAUAUUAUGAACAUUCACAUUUAUUUUAAUAAAUUCAUAGCAUUUUUUUUGCUUAAAUAACAGGGUGUAUGUAUAUAUAUAUUGACAUAAAAAUUGCAUGACGUGUGGUUUAGCGUUUCUUGGUUGUUCAGUGCUAGUUUUAUGUCAAUUUUUAUUGACAUAAAAAUUGCAUGACACAAAAAAGGCUGUUUUAACCAACUAAAAACCAAAAGCUAAAACCCAAAACCCCCCUCUUUUUCGUUUUCCAGGGACUUCACCUUGAUAUUCAACCAACACUUCUGAUGUCUGCCCUUCAAUAAACCAAGUCAUUCAUACACAUGAUUCUACUAUUGGUGAUGCCUCUGAUGUUUUUGUGACCCCAAAAUUAUUGGGGAAUAGUCAUGAAUCUGAAUCUGGAGUCCAAUGCAUUCACGCUGGUGGCUCAGCAGCCCAUUUAAAGGCAAUCCAACAGGCAGUGAUCUUGUCGAGGUGCCUUCUAAUAGAAAAGAGCUCAUGGCAAGAUGAAAUGCAAAGUAAGUUGUUUUAUGGUUGGCCGGUGUGUAGUCAUCUCGUUAAAGGCCAUAAGAUGUUUAGCAUAUUGCUAUUUAAUUUUUAAAUCAUUCUCAGUAAUAAUUCCUUUAGUAGAUUGAUGAUAAGAGAUUGCAUUACAGAUGAUAACGGAGCACAAUUUUUGUAGUUGUAUCCCUGUACAUCCAUCUUAAUAUCCUCAUUAUAUUCACAUGCCUUUUACGGGUGUUAUUUCUGGAUGCCGAAUGCUUUGCUCCACGUCUGGAUACCAAAUGCUUUGUUCCACAAAGCUGAGCUGGUUGAAAAGCUAGCUGAUGAGGUCAACACGUCCCUUAAGUAAUUUGAGGAUGAACACUGUGUUCCCGAAAGUCUUACUCUAAUGAUACUUAAAGAAGCAAUGAGAAUGGAUGUUGCAGCAGCUUUGCUGAACUCAACUCCAGUUCCAAAAAUGGAACAUGUGAAAACCGAAAAUGCAUUGUUUUUUUUUUUUUCCUCUUUAUGACUUCUCUAGUUGGGGAAUGUAUUAGAUAUUCACCUAAUCAGUAGGCCUUGAAGGGAUCCCAUGUUAGCCCCUUGAUGUUGGUCUGUAACUAAGUAAAUACUUGACCUUGAAAAAGCUUUUGGAGGCAUCAGUUUCUCUCUGACUGGUGCUACUUUUUGGAUCUGUUGAUUUGGUCAUUUGCUGAUUUAUAGUUUGUUUUCUGAUUCAGGAUGGGAUAUGGCUCCAUACAUAGAGGCAACUGAUUCACAGCAGUCGUCAUGCUUCAUUGUAAAUAUAUAUACAAUACAGCAUCAGUUUUUCUUGAUUUUAAAUCUCAUAUUCUGAAGUGGUACUUCUGAUUCUCACAUGAUUUUUCCAUCUUUCAGCUAAAGUUUUUCUGUGAUCUCUUACGUAUUAGAUGGGAAUCCACCCGCAGUCGCACAAAAGGGCGUGCUUUAGAGAUGAUGGACAAACUGGUAUGAUCUGUGAGCCUUUUCUUCUUAAAUAUUUUGUUACCUAAACCAUUUUCAUUCAAAUUGACAAGUGUUGCUUAUCAAUCUAUAGAAGAUUCCAAACUUUCUGCAGCUAGUACUUUAUUGGACCCAAAAGCUUUUUUGCUUUUUCUAAGCUGCUAAUCAGGACUAGGUUUCUCUCCCUUAUAUCGCUAGAUAUCCCAUUAAUCGUUUGAUUUAGUUGUCUAGAGAGAUUAGGUACUUGCAUCUUCGCUUUUCACUUCACAAGUGAUUUCAUGUGCUAUCCUGUAUUCUGGUUCAAGAUUUUUGAAGGUUGCUUACCAUCAUAUUUUGCUUUGUUUCAGGUUGAGGGCAUUUCUAAUUCUUCUCCCGGUGUGACUCAAAGGAUUCCCUUUUGUUAUGUGAUUUAAGUUCCAACUAUUCCUACCCUGCGAAAGUAAUACUAUUUCUUUUGCUUCUUUGAAUGAUUGUGAUUUAAUUUUCUUGUCAUUUUGCCAACUAUCAUUAUGCUGUCAUUGUUUCAUAUCUUAUUUGACAUAUGUUGAUUUGGUUAGAGUUUAAUUGCUCUGUUUAUUCUCUUUAUAAUCUGUCUAUUUCGAUUUUUCUUGAUUUUAGGGAAUAUGCUGAACUUUUAGUAAGCUGUGGCUUGAUUGGAGAGGCUAUUAAAAUUUUUGAGGAUCUGGAGUUGUGGGAUAAUCUAAUAUACUGCAACUGGUAUGAUGUCAUAGAUAACCAUUAUCCUAAUCUCUCUGUCUGUCUGUCUGUCUCUAUCUCUCUCUUUCGUGUUGCUAAUGGGAGUUGGUUUUUUGUAUGAUGUAAAAAACAGCCUAUUGGGGAAGAAAGCAGCAGCUGUUGAACUAAUAAAAGCAAGGCUGUCUGAAAAGCCUAGUGACCCUAGAUUAUGGUUGGUUAAUGAGCCUUUUCUAUGAUCCAUUUUAUAGUUACUUCUCAUUUCAGUUAAAUCCAUUGUUGAUGUCACUUAUUGCAAUCUAGGGAUAAUUGUUCAUUGGUUGUAAGGAUAUUGUCAGAAGAAAAUGAAACCUUUUAAUUUUGUCUUUUACUUGCUGUAGCCGAUUUAAAAGCUCACUGUGCGUUCUUACUGAUUGCUUUUGGUCUUGCAUUUGAGUCAAUGGAUUUUAUACUCAUAUUCUGACAUUUAUUGUUAGUCUUCUGACGGUUCUGCACCUUGGUCCUAUAUUAUCUUCAGCAGUAUUAUCUAAAAGAUAAGUUUUUGCCGAAGAAAAUUUGCAUUCUAAACUAGAAAAUGAGGGGCCGGGGGGAGGGGGGGGGGGGGGUAGGUUGGGAGGCAACGGGAGACUGUUUUCCACUUAUCCUCUUCCCUGCCUGCAUUUUAGAUGAUUUUGAUGCACCAGGUGCCGUGAAAUGGUUGAGAAAUACAUACCAUCAAGUGAAUUCUGAAAAUCAUUUCCUUUUUGAAAAUAUUUGGUGCUAGACAUUUGAAUAUAUGGCCACAAUUUAAACAAUAAAGAUUUUCUGCAUUGAUUUCUUAUAAUGGAUAGAUGCAUGUAAGUAAAAUAUGAUAUCUUUUGAUUAUUGGCCCAUUUGUUCAGAAAGAAGGAAAAAAAAAAAAAUACAUGGUUGAAAGACAACUGUUACUUGACCUUAUGAUACAUUUUGUAGGUGUUCAUUAGGUGAUGUUACAAAUAAUGAUGCCUGCUAUGAAAAAGCUUUGGAAGUUUCGAAUGAUAAGUCAGCUCGAGCUACGGUGAUAUUGUAGUUCACAUUAUGCUUGUGCCGUGAUCAUUUUUUAGUUAACAUAUCUUUAUGUGAAUCAGAGGUCUCUAGCUCGUAGUGCAUACAACAGAGGGGAGUACGAGACAUCUAAAAUCCUUUGGUAUGUUGCUUUAAUGCUUUACUUCUCUUUCUGCCACACAGUAAUUUGCUGCAUUGACAACUGAUACGGCUGAAUGACAAUUUACCCUUGGUUUUGUCUCGGGGAGGCUGCCAUGGCCUUGAAUUCUUUGUAUCCGGAUGGCUGGUUUGCUCUUGGUGCUGCUGCAUUGAAGGUAUCAUAUUUUUGUAUUAGUAUGUGUUUAGUGUGAAGCAAUUUCUUAUCCUUUUGCCCCAAGUUUCUGAAACUCUCGGCUGAAAUAUAAAUACAGGCUCGGGAUGUUGAAAAGGCUCUGGAUGGGUUUACUCGGGCUGUUCAACUUGAUCCAGACAAUGGGGAAGCUUGGAACAAUAUUGCUUGCUUGUAUGCUCUUUUCUUUGUCAUCAUGUCAUUCCAUCCUCUUGCUCUGUAUUCUUUAAUAUUGUGUCAAUCACAUUCAUCUUCUAUCUGCAAGAGUAUGCUUCCCAUAUUUGGUUUACUUUGUUUUGACUUUCUUGUUGCAGUUGUUCUAUAUAAAUUUUAUAUGGUUCCAUAUUCCCUUGAUGAGUGAAUUUAGUUGCUGCAAAUGUUAAGAACUAGAUAGUACUGUUAUAAUUAGGAAUAGGGCAAAUAUUAGCCAGCUCUUUUGAGGAUUAUCCAUAGCAUAUACCUCCGUCGUUUUCAAAGCGAUUGAAGUUCUCCCUUUUGUCUUAUUUAAAAGAAAAAAGCACAAAUUGCUUCCCUCACAUCUAUCUACAGUCUCUUUUCUCUCUGUUUAAUUUUUUCUUGUGCUUAUUAUUUGUCUUUUAAUGCAUCUUUUCUUCUUAUUUUAUACUGUACUAGAAUUUGUGCUGUCUCGAUUUUAUCUUGCAUGUGAGUUACUGUGUUUUUCGCAAUUGUAGAACUUUAUUUAGCAGCAUAAUUAUUAGUUAGUGAGACAUUAAUUGGUUAAUACCACUUGUGAAGAUACGAAGAGCUACUUAUUCUCUCUUCUAGUACAUUUAAAAAAUUCAUGACAAAAUAUCUGGGAUGGUAAAAUUCUCGUCAAUUAUAACUACGGAAGUCUUGAGAUUUAUGUAGUCUUGCAGGCAUAUGAUCAAGAAGAAGAGCAAAGAGGCUUUUACAGCAUUCAAGGAGUCCCUAAAGUUGAAGUUCUGUCUUUUUUCCCCCUGAUCACUACAUUUUUAUUUUCUGUCAUGCACAAUGCAGUCGGACACUAUCUGAUCACAAGAAAACUGUCAUACAUAAUUUGUUGCUGCUAGGCAAAAGGUGAUAUCUAAUGUAAUAACCUAUAACAUGAUUUUGUAACAGACGGAACAGUUGGCAAUUGUGGGAAAACUACAGCCAUGUUGCUUUGGAUGUGGACAAUAUUGGUCAGGUAACCGCGGUUGUGCGCUUAAUGUCCAUCAUUUAUCACUGAAAUCUUUUGAGAUGAAGCUGGCAUUUCCUUAGCCACCCUCUGAUGGUUUUGAUUGCUUCAUGUAUGUUGUCAUCUUUGUCAACUAAUGAAAGCUGCAGAGAUUUUGUCAUCUUUUCAUUUAAAAGAAUUUGAUAGUUUAUAGCCCAUUGUCAUGUUUGCAUAUGUAUGUUAUUGUUCUUUUGACCUUUUUGUACCUCAGCUUCAUCCUUUUAUGCAAGCAAUUCUUUGUCAAGAAAUAUCUGGUUAACAAUUUCUUCGCAUGAAUAUUUUUACGGUCAUCAAGGUCCUUGAACAGUCAUGGUUAAUUGAUUACAGAUUCUCAAAUUUAUAAUUAUUUUUUUCAGGGUCAUUGUCCUUUGAUAUAUGCAAUUGAUGCAUGACUUUCUAACCAUUAUCUCCCUGCCUUCACCAUGGUCGUAUAAAUAUUUUGACAAGUGGGGAUUUUAUGAUUACUGUGUGCUAGGAAUUUUUUUGGUUGGAAAGAAAUGGGAGGAUUUUUCAAGAAGCUAGGGAGGGAAGACACCAAAUUUUUUUUGGUGGAUAAAGCCUGCUGUCACUUUGGGCAUCAAUUUCUAAUGAAUGCAAUAAUGUUCCUUUCUUUGCUAUUCAUUAAAAUUGAGUUGUUCUUCUUGGAUGGCCUUCUUUUUACUUCCCAUCAUUUUGCCAGCUUGUUGAUUGUCAUUUUUGCUUGUUGGCAGUCUUUUCCUGCAGUGUUGAUAAUAUUUAAUUAUAAUAUUAGACAACAGUGUCCUCAACAUGAUCUCUCUCCCAAAUUAUUACUCUUUUAUUCAUUAUACUUUUAGCAGUUUCUUUAUUUUUGUUAUAUUUUAUGUUUUCAGGCUCUAGAGGCUGUGCAGAUGGUGUUGAACAUGACUAAUAAUAAACGAAUUGAUACUGUAUUAUUAGAAAGAAUAGUGCUAGAUAUGGAAGGAAGGACUUCAAUUAUAGAAUCUGAGUCUUGCAGGACUACCCAUAAUCUUAACAGAACUAAUAACACUUGUGCAAAAGAUUAACCUGUAGAAUCUGUCCAUGUAUCAUCACCUGAGGAGUCAAUCAUGGGAAGAUCGCGAGAAAAUGAGCACUUGAUGGAGUUUCUUGGGAAAAUUCUUCAGCAGGUUGCACAUGGCUCCAUGAUCAUCUUUUUUCUGUCUUUUAAUACUGAGCCAAGGGACAGUCUCUCUCUUUCACGCAUAUCCACAACACAUGUACAUAUUUCUCAUAUUUCUAUGCGUAUAUAUUGUCAUUUCUGAUCUUUCUUAGUUUAUAUGAUAAUUGUCUUUGGGCAUAUGAUUCAUAUUUUCUGGGCACCCUAUGGUCUGUGGGUCAAUAAUAAUCCAUAGUAUCUGAAUUUCUAGACAAAAUUGGUCAUUUUAGCAAAUCAUUUGGAUGUAUCUAUGCAGCAGUUUACUAUUUUAGUGCUUGCAGGAAUUGGUAUGCUUAAAUUUUGGGCUUAAAUUGUGUGAAAAUAAUCAAAGUGAUAUGCAAAUUAAUUCAAGCCACAUGAGGAAAGAAUAUCCUUUUUUUUUUUUUUCAGCUUAUGUUACAUGUUUCUGUGUAUGGCAUAGGUAGUUCGAAGUGAGAGUAGUGCAGAUAUGUGGGGAUUAUAUGCAAGGUGGCUUAAAAAUAAAGGAGAUCUUACAAUGUGCUCUGAAGCCCUCUUAAAGCAAGUCAGAUCAUAUCAGGUUUCUCCAUAAACCUCAUCAUCUUAUAAUAAGUUAGCAUUAUGUUUUACUUUGAUGUUGAUGGAAUUUGUUAAUGCUAAUAAAAUUUUGUUAAUCUCUCUCUCUCUUUCUUUUUUAAAGAAGGCAAAGAAAAAGCUUUGUGAUUUCAUUUUUGUUUUCUAAAUUUGUUAUCUAAAGGAAUGACAAGUUUACAAUUCAGCCUCUGUGUGUGUGUGUGUGUGUGUGUGUGUGUGUGUGUGUGUCUGUGUCAGGGAUCUGAUUUGUGGAAAGAUAGAGAUCGGUUUAAAAGGUUUUCAUAUGCAUCCUUGGAACUUUGUAAGGUUUACAUGGAAAUUUCUUCCUCUUCUGGUAGCCGUCGAGAACUCUUUACUGCUGAGAUGCACCUGAAGAACGUACUUAAACAAGUAAAACACCUUAUAAUUCGAUAUUUAAGACACUUACAGUUGGUUUAAAGAUUGCAUUUUCCAUUUCUUUUUUUGACUGGUUCAGGGUAAAACUUUUUCUCACUGUGUUAGAGUGCAUUUCUGUUAUUAUAUAGUUUCUUAGAAGAAAAUGCACUUUUUGGAAUCUCAGGCUGAAGGAUUUUCUGACAUGGAAGAGUUCAGGGAUCUUCACGCUUGCCUUGAUGAACUGAAGACAAAACUCCAAUCUGGUCCCGUGGCUACCUAAGUAUCAGGAAUGUGCUAUUUUUGAAAUUUAGUAACAAGGUUAAAUCUGCAACAAAAAAUUAUUUUAGUUCGUACUGUAGUGGAGACCUUAAGCAUGACUGAGUAUCUUGUAUUGUUGUAUCACCUUUUCUGUAACAAAACAGUCUAGUUUUAUUAUUUUUGUAUUUUCGGUGCUGUAACUAAUCUCAUUUGCCAAUGUAAAUAUAUGGCUUCAAGUUCUUUAAAUGUAACAUCAAAUGUUGUUUUCAACCUCUGUUCUUUUAUGUAUUGCUUACAUGCCGUGAUUUCAUUAACCUCAAUUUAAGAAAAAUUUCAUAUCAUUUUUUUCUGCUUUUCUUUUAUCAUUUAAAAACAACACACACACACAUAUAAGCAAAGAAGCAACUGAAAGUUAUCUUCAUGUGAGAAUGAAAACUUUUCAGCAGCAUAACCCUUUCACUGUUCAAUUCCAAACAUGUUCCUCAACAUGAUAACAAAUUCGCAGACCUUUUCUGGGUCUGGAAGGAUCCUCGCAACAGUUUCUCUUUGCAUGCACUCAUUCUCAACCUUAAAUCCCCCAAAUUUCUCAACCGCGUAAAACCAACAAGUCAGUGGAAUGGCAAUGACAUCAACGAAUCCAAAGCUAUCCCCGCCAAAGAAAUCCUUCUCCCCUAAAGCUCCCACAAGUUGCUUCAAUAUCUCUAUAAAUUCAUUCUUCGCCGUCCCUGGGACCUUGCCCUUGCUUUUCCAUAUGUUGCAUACUGCAUCGAUUACCUGCCAAAAGAGUGGUGUCAUCUUUGCAUUUAGAAAGAUACAAACAUUUACACUUGAGAAUUAUAGACUGACCUUCUUGUCAAUAAAAUCUGCCCAGAACCUUGCCUUAGCUCUCUCAGAAGCACAGGAUGGGAGAAGUGGUGGCGAAGGCCAAGUCUCGUCAAUGUAGUUAACUAUAACGGUGGAUUCACACAAUGGUUUCCCAUCGUGUAGCAAAACUGGGACUUUCUUGUAGAUGGGGUUUGAUUUGAGCAGCAGGUCACUCUUUGCCCCCAAACAAGUUCUCAGCUCUGGCUCAUAUUCAACUCCUUUCUCAGCCAAUGCAAUCUUUGCCCAACAGUCCAAAAGAACAACCUCUCCCUUUGACAAAUUCACUUUCUUUGUUCUUGUUUCUUUUAGUUGGCUGAUAGUAAUUAAACCUUGAGUAUCAAGGUUAAUUGGCAUUUAUAAAGGAGAAAAGAUGAAAUUCCCAAAGUUUGUGUCGCAAUCAACUUUUGUUCGUUGGCACUUCCUUAAAGGAUGUGUUUGAGGGAAAUACUCCGACGAGACCAGACGUGAUGAGCAGAUGUUUAGUGGCAGAAUUCUGCGAGCAGGUAUGUCCUGUAAGAGCCAGGUAGCAGGGGAACAGGGGCAGGAAUAUCCUGCUCAUCCACGAGCACGUCAUCUGCGAGGCCAAUUUCCUGUAAGAGGCAUAAAGCCAUUCCUGCUGUAUUCUCGCUGAGGGUUGAUUCGAGGAGACCCGGUCAACGACAGUUGGCGAGGCAUGCUCUCCAGCCCGAGAAUCUAGGCACGAAGGCCACGCAACCACCCAUGACUACGGAAAUGGGGAAUCCACGUUCGAGAGGUGGGAGGAUAACGGGCGUAGACUGCGGAAAACUGGGAUUCAGAGGAAGCCUAUAAAAAGGUAGCCAACGAAGGUAAAAGGGUUAGCAUUUUUGAGAUUAGAAGAGAGCUAAAGAAAUUCUAAAGAAGAGCAAACUACGAAAAAGCCAUAAGAUUUGUGGCAAACAUUCCCAGAACCCCUAUAUCUGACUUGAGCGUCGGAGGGUUUGCGCCGGGAAAACAACCGGCGUACUCUGACUUGUCUGUGUGCGCAGGAACCUCUGGAGAAGAAGCCUUACGAGGAGACCUCCUGGUCGUGGUGAAGUUGAUCGAGCAGAGAGCCUGGUCGUAGAACGAGGAGAACCAGAAUCUCGCAUCAAUAGGAUGUGGCAUUGUUCUUAUCAUUUCUUAGUUUUUGAAGCUUACUGUUUUACUUGGCUUUCAACAUGCACAAGAACAAGUUUGUCUUGUGCAUGCGGAGUUUACUAUGGACAAGCCGAAUCGUAAGUAACCAUUUACACUAAUCAAUCGGUAUUGUCCAGUGAAAAUAAGUAAUGUAAAAAGUGUCUAGGAUUUUUCCUAAUAUUUCUCAAAAUAGGCUCAUUAAGCCCAAUUCUGGUGCUAGAUUGGUUCAACUUUGAAUCAAACUUGGAAACAUUUUUCUUUAGAUUAUUAUUAUUAAUUUAGAAGAGUCAAAAAGCUAAGAGUAUCGUUAGUAAAUGUCAAACAUGUGUAAUAUCACAUAUCACUAGUCAGUGAGUUUCGUAAACUUUCCUAAUUAAGAAGACACGUUUUGAGUUGUAAAUUCUAACACAAUAUCUAUUCAGUUGUUUAACUUGGAAUAUUACAAUUAUAUCAAUAUUGUUUGAUGUGGGCACACAACCUUGCGUCUUCUUAGUUAGGACAGCCAAUUAAAUCCACUUCUUAGCGAUGCAGGGGAUGAUACAUAACUUGUAUGUGCACGUUGGCGGAGUAUCCCAAUUAUGCACUCAUUUGUCUUCUUGUGUUUUAAAAAAUCUAUUGUACUGGAUAUACUGUAAAUUUAUCAAAUUGCUUGUUAUAAUGCUUCUAUUUGCGUUGUUAUUCGAGUUGUCAUUUUGAGUUUUAUUUUAUUUUUUCUUUAAACAUAAUUAAUUUGAAAUGUUCUUUAAUUUUCAUUACACUUGAGAUCAUCAAAUAAGUGAUUCGUGAACAUAAUUGCUGUUGUUACUCGAAUAAGAAAAGAAAACAACGAUUUGCUAAGGUAAAAGUAAAUGGAAAUGAGAGCACGUGAUUUUGCAAAGAGAACUUCACACUAUCAUAAAACCGAAAACAUUACAAUUUAAAGCUUAAAUAACAACACACCAAAGCCAAAUAACGACCCACUAGAAUCACGGUCCAAAGAUUGUGCCAUGAUCACAACAUGAACUACAAAAAAAUAACCAACACCAGAAAAGUAGGAACAGUUUAAAACUUUCAUUUAAGCAGCAUUUAUGAUUCCACAUCAGCAGUCCUAAACACAUCUUCUAACAAUUGCAACUGUUCAUUUUUGCUUCUGCCAAUAAGGAGUUGAUAGUAACCAAAGAUUGUUGUCUUUAUUGUCAUUUGAGAGUAACCAAUUACUUACGCAGUCACGUAAGUUGCUGGUAGGCCUCGCACAUUUUUGACAAGUUUGUUUCUGAAGGAAAGCAGCUGAGCCGCAACCUCUUCCUUGUUCAUUCGUUCUCUCGGCAACUCUGAAGAGCAAAUGACUCCGAUUUCCAGUACUGAAACCAAGCACUCUUUACCACCAAAACUUCUAGUCCUUUGUUUGUGAGCAUUGGCCUCGCUUGUCUCCCCUUCUUCUCUUUCUACAAGAAGCACUGGAUUAACAAUUUCAGCGAGUCUUUCAGGAAGAGCUUCCUUGACAAAAUUAUGUAGGGUUAGAUUGCCUGUAAACAUCUCAUUCGUCGGCCCCUUUCCUGUAAACAUUUCCAGCAAAAGAAUGCCAAAACUGUACACAUCUCCACUUGUUGAGACUUCGCUCCCCAUUCCGUACUCUGCAAUUCGAAAAUUAAAAUUGUUGGUUCAACUAGUAAAAUCUCCGAGGAUUGAAAAACAAGUUGAUUAAAUUAGAGUAUUUACCUGGAGCAGCAUAACCAACAGUUCCUUUUACUCCAACAGAGCUUGAUUGAUUAGAUGACAAGUUAUUGGCGGCUUCCGGAAGGAAUUUUGCUAAUCCAAAAUCACUUACAUGGGCAGUCAAUUCACCAUCCAGAAGAACAUUGCUUGGCUUGAGAUCACAAUGGACUAUUGGAGUUUCACAAUAAUGAUGAAGAUAUUCCAAUGCGGAAGCAACAUCAACGGCAAUACUCAGUCUUUGCAGGAGAUUUAGAUUCCUAGGUGCGUCACGGUUUGGAUGCAACCAUUCCUCCAGGCUCCCGUUAACCAUCAACUCAUAAACUAAAGCCUCAAAAUCAUUCCCUUGGAAGUCAACACUUACACAGGAAGUUAUUAUUUUGACGAGAUUCCGAUGCCUAAUACUCCUCAAGGCUUGACACUACGCUAUGAAACUCUUUGAAGCUCCACGAUGUUGAAGAUUAAGCACCCUAACUGCCACCAGCGUUUCAUGAUCAUCGUGAUCCAGGAUUCCUUUAUAGACCGAACCAAAGCUACCGGCACCAAUCAAAUUUUCCAAAGAGAACCCAUCAGUUGCUUUGAACAGAUUCUGAUAGGACACUCGUAAAACCGAAGCCAAUAAUGUUGAUGGAGGAGUGGACGGCUCCCUUUUUGUUUUGCUCCACCAGGAAGUAAUUAUCAAACACGACAUCCCUGUCAGGAACAAAAUUCCUGUAACUAUAGGAAUAAUCAGUUUCAGGGAACGGGAACGUGAUUGCUUUGAUUCUUUGGUGGAGCAAGUACAUAAAUGCAACUCAGAUAUGCCACCACAAAGGUUAUCAUUUCCGUCAAGAGAUAUAGCACUCGAAUUGCUGAAGACUCCUUUUAUUGGUACUUCACCCUCAAAAUGAUUAAAAGACAGAUUUAAAUUCUGCAAAAAGAAAAAGUUUUCCAGAUAUUUUGGAAUCCGGCCAGACAAAUUGUUCCGCGAAAGAUCAAGAUUCUCAAUGCCUCUCAAAGAACUGAAUGAUGAAGGGAUAUUCCCCUGAAAGAAAUUACCGUUCAUGACGAGUUGUUCCAACCUAAUGCAACUUCCUAUACUGCUUGGAAUUUGACCAGACAAUUUGUUCUCCGAUAUAUCUAUAGCACCCAGAUUUUUCAAGAUACCAAAAUUUGAGGGCAAAGGACCAUUCAAUUGGUUUUGAGAUAGAUCGAGAUAGAUUGACAAGGAAGAGAGACCGAUCACUUCAGUGGGUAUGGUACCAGUGAGGUUGUUAUUAGAGAGAUCUAAUAAUAUCAAGUUUUGGCAUUUCCCUAGACUUGAUGGAAUGCUUCCCUCUAACAUGUUUUCCGCAAAAUUUAGUGUGAUUAACAAUGUCAAAUUUCCUAUAGAAGAUGAAAUUUCCCCCCAAAACUUGUUCCCCUCCAACCUCAACGUCUGAAGCUUUUGAAGAUCUCCUAUACUUCCCGGAAUUCGGCCUGUGAAUUGGUUUUCCUCAAGAUAUAAAAGCUCCAAGUUAACAAGGUUUCUUAAUCCACUUGGGAUAUUUCCGAACAAUUGAUUGUUUUCAGCUGAUAACAUUCUAAGUCGGGUUGACAAGUUCCCCACAGUUUCAGGUAACAUUCCACCAAAAUUGUUAUCACUAAUUAACAGUAGCUCUAGUCUAGAAGCGUUGACCAAAGAAUUGAAAAAUUCCAAGUCAUCUUUUUCCCCAUUUCCUAAGUGAUUCACAGAAAUACUAACCACUUCGAGUUUAUGUAAAUUUUCCAAACUAGGCACCUUUCCACUGAAUCCAUUCAUCGCGAUUAUAAGUUGCAUUAGAUUUGAGGCAUUGGAUAUUGAAGCAGGAAUAGGCCCGGUAAACUGAUUAUCACCAACGUUUAGAUAUUCAAGAUUAGGAAGAGUGAAGCCUAAGUCUGAUGGAAGGCUUCCUUGAAGUUGGUUGACAGUAAAAUCAAAAUCACUAAGCGAAGACAAGUUGUAGAUUGAGAAGGGGAUUUCACCUGAUAGCUUAUUUGAAUCAAAUGAUAUAAAACGCAUCCUCUUAAGCUCGCCCAGGGUUUCAGGAAUUUGUCCUACAAAUUGAUUUAUAGUUGCUGAGAGGACCUGGAGUGAUGAUAAAUUGCCGAAGGAUGAUGGGAUUUCUCCUGACAAAUUGUUGGAGUGUAUUACGAGAAUCCGGAGCUUUGAUAAGGAGCCCAGUUUCCCUGGAACUUUCCCCGCAAGCUCAUUACUGCCUAACCAGAGGGAUUCAAGGUUAACGCAAUGCGAUAUGUUGUCAGGAAUUUGACCUCCAAAUGUAUUGUUGUCCAGCCAUAAAAAUCGUAACCUGAACAGAUAUCCAAUCUCUUGAGGGAUUUCGUUGCGGAAAAUUAGAAUUAGAUAUAUUGAUUUGGAAUGUUUGUUUACAGAGAAAAUCUGAGCAAGAGAGAAAGAAAAUUUAUUCUUGUUAUUAUUAACAAAAUGGGAUCACCAGCUUAUAUAUGUUGCUUGCUGGAAUCUCUUUUACGCACUCAUCACUUUCACGUGUAUUUCACCUUUUUAGAGAAGCUAAAUAACAAACUAAACAGACUAACGACUACUUUGCUGACUGGACUGCCACGUCACCAUAACUGAAUUAACUAAACUAAUGCUGUUAACACAUAUUCUUAUCAUCCCCCCUCAAGCUUAAGUUCGGGGAAGAACAUUAAGCUUGGUACGAAGAUAAGCAAACUGAUCAAAGAAGAGGGGCUUGGUGAGAAUGUCUGCAAGUUGUUCUGAACUAGAAACAUGACUGAUAGUCAGUUGCUUCUGUGCAAUGUGCUCUCGAAUAAAAUGAAGAUCCAACUCAAUAUGUUUUGUACGAGAGUGAUACUUGGGGUUGCUAACUAGUGCCUCAGCACUCUGAUUAUCACAAUACAAAACUGGACUGUGAGUAGGCUGAAUAUGCAGCUCUUGAAGUAAAUAAGUCAGCCAAAGAAUUUCAGAGGUUGCUGAAGCAAGAGCCCGAUAUUCGGAUUCUGCUGAGGAAUGAGAAACAAUUGUCUGUUUCUUAGAAGACCAGGAAAUAAUGUUGUUGCCUAAGAAGGCACAAUACCCUCCAGUAGACUUUCGAUCAUCUGGAUCAGCUGCCCAAUCAGCAUCAGAAAAUGCUGUUAAAGUCACUGAUCCUGAAUUCCAAAGUGUGAAGUAGCUUGUAGAUAUCGAAGAACCCUUUUGCAAGCUUGCCAGUGUGCAAUAGUUGGAUGAGCUAGGAACUGACUGAGUUUGUUUACAGGGUAAGCUAUGUCAGGUCUGGUAAGCAACACAUAUUGAAGAGAGCCUACAAUGCUUCGAUACAAGGAGGGAUUAUCAAAGGCUGUACCACUGUCCUUUGUAAGCUUAGCACCUGGACUCAUAGGAGUGUUAAAACCUUUGCUGUCAAGCAUAUUUGCUUUGCUAAGGAUAUCACCAAUGUAUUUGGUUUGAGAUAAAUGCAGUCCCUGAACAGAGGGUGUCACUUCAAUACCAAGGAAGUAGUUAAACUCGCCCAGAUCUUUGAGUGCAAAUUCUGAAUGAAGAUAUUGAAUAACAGCCUCAAGAUGUUGAGAAUUAGAACCAGUAACCAAAAUGUCAUCAACAUAUAUAAGAAGGAGCACAAUAUCAUUGCCAAUAUGUUGAAUAAACAUAGAAGUAUCAGAUUUGGAAGAAUGAAAACCUUUAUUGAGUAAGGAACCCUUCAGCCUCUCAUACCAAGCCCGAGGAGCUUGUUUGAGACCAUAUAAGGCCUUGUUUAAUUUGCAAACAUAAGAUGGAUGUGCAGAGUCUAUAAAACCUUGUGGCUGAUGCAUGAACACAUCUUCUUCAAGCAUGCCAUUUAGAAACGCAUUAUUAACAUCCAGCUGUCUAAUUUGCCAAUGAUGCAUCACUGCGAGGCUGAGUACAACUCUGACUGUGCAAGGUUUCACAACUGGGCUGAAGGUCUCAAAGAAGUCCACUCCUUGAGUUUGAUGGUAACCCUUGGCAACCAACCUAGCUUUAUACUUGGAAAUGCUGCCAUCAGGAUUAUACUUCACCCUAUAGACCCACUUAUUGCCAACUAUUUUAGCAGCACUGUCAGAGGGUACUAGAGUCCAGGUUUGGUUCCUUUGUAGAGCAUCAAAUUCCUCCUUCAUAGCAUGAAACCACUUAGGAUCAUGCAAGGCACUUUUUACACUGGCUGGCACAAGAUUUUCAGUAGCUGCCAGAUAUGAUUUGGGUUUGAAAACACCAGCUUUAGCUCUAGUAAUCAUUUGGUGAGAUGGUAAAGAAGAUGAGUGAGGUGGUUCAGCUGAAGAAUGAAAGGAAGGAGAAGGCUGUGCUGAACUGGAACUUGAUGGAGAAGACAUUGCUGGCUGAGGAUUAGGAGAUGAUGACUCUACAGUGCUACUGUCAACCUGAGCAGAACUUUGAAGAAAGGAAAAUUGUACUGGUGAAGAUGAGACAUCAACAGUGGAGACUGAUGAAAUAGAGUGUUUCAAAAACAAUUCUUUGUAAGGAAACUCAGUUUCAUUAAAAACAACAUGUCGAGCAACAAACACUUUACCAGAGGAAUUUAAACAUUUAUAACCCUUGUGAAGGGGACUGUAACCAAUGAAAAUGCAUUUUUGAGUGUGAAAGUCAAGUUUAUGCUGGUUAUAAGGUCUAAGGAAUGGAAAACAGGAGCAACCAAAAACUCUGGGAAACUGGUAGUCAGGUAGUUGAUUAUGUAACUUCUGAAAUGGAGAUAGAUUGUUUAGAACUGAGGUGGGCAUCCUGUUAAUGAGGAAAGAGGCAGUGUGAAAGGCUUCCCACCAAAAGGAAAGAGGCAAUUGGGAUUGAGCUAGAAGUGUUAAACCUGUUUCAACUAUGUGCCUGUGUUUCCUCUCAACAACACCAUUUUGAUGGUGUGUGUAUGGACAGUUAUACCUAAAGCAUAUACCCUCUUGCUGAAGAAAGGUUUUAAAGGCUAUGAAUUCACCACCCAUAUCUGACUAUAGUGUUUUGAUAGACAAGGAAAACUGUUUUUCAACAAGAAGUUUGAAGUGUUUGAAGGUUUCUAAUGCUUCUGAUUUUGUUGUGAGAGGAAAGAUCCAAGAAUAUCGUGUGAAAUCAUCCACAAAGGAGAUAUAAUAUCUGUAUCCAUUCAUAGAAUAUUCAGGAGCUGGUCCCCAUAAGUCUGUAUAUAGAAGCUCAAGUGGUGCUUUUGUUUUAAUGGUAGUAACAGAAAAAUGAAGCUGAUGCAUUUUGCCAUAUUGACAGGCAUCACAAAAACUAAUGAAUUGAUUUGAAAAACAAUGCGUAGAAAGACUCUUAAUAAUUGUUUGCAAAGCAUGUUUAUUAGGAUGACCAUAUCGAUUAUGAAGUAACUGAACUGACAUCUUUCCAGUCUAGAAGAAUUUCCAGAAACAGAAUAUGCAAAAGAUUCAGUAGUAUUUACAUUGUGCAACUUUGACACAUGAUUAUUUGACUCUGGUAGAGAGUUUACAACUUUAUUAUCAACACACAAAGACAGCAUGGAACUUGGUUUAAAAGAAUUUGGAUUGCAAUCUGCAGAAUGGGGAGAGAACACAUCAAGUGACAGUAGCUUGUAAAGACCAUCUUCAACAAUCCCCUGUGCCAGCAAAAUUCCCUUCUUCUUGUCCUUAAUAAAACACAUGGUAGAAUAAAAUUCAAUGAUUAUGUUGUUAUCCAAAAGAAGUUUAGAUAUACUGAUGAGAUUUUUGGUUAUUUUGGGAACACACAAAGUAUUGGUUAAGGAUAAACAGGUGCCAAAAGAAGUAGAAAGAUAAGUGCAGCCAAUAUGUGUGAUAGUGAGACCUUGACCAUUACCAACAAACAACAAUUGAGUGCCAUUAUAAGGGUUACCUUCAACCAAAUUUUGCACAUUGUUGGUGAGAUGAUGAGUGGCUCCACUGUCCAGAUACCACCCCUGAUCAGCAACUCCUUCUGAAGUAGCCAUAUAAGCUGUUCUUGGCCCUUGAUUUGGCAUUGGAGAAUUUGGAAUAAAGUUUCUGUUAAAUCUGUUUCUGCAUCUGCAGCUGAGUGGUUUGGUUUGAAACAUAUUUGGCAGGUGAUAUUUCCUCUGCCACCUCCUCUACCAAAACCACCAGAGGAUGCUGGAUUUCUACCAUUAAAGCCACCAUUUCCAAUAAAUCCACCAGUAUUACCAUUAAAUCCACCAGAGUUUGAGCCUCUACCUUGAUUUCCAAACCAGCCUCUCCCUGAAUUUUGAUCCAUGAAGCCACCUCUGCCAGAUCCAUAACCUCCUUUGUUGUUGAAAUUACCAUUUCUAUUUCUAUUUACAAAAUUUCCAUUCCAAUUGCCCUGAUUAUUAUUAUUCCAAUUAGCAUUGUUUCCUGACUUCUUUUGAUUAUUGCCAGUAUUAGCCACAUUAGCACUAAAAUUCAACUUAGUUUCCUUAGCUACACCAGAAUGAUUACUCUCAAGCCUAGCUUCAUGAGAUAGCAGCAUAGAAUAAGCCUCAUUGAUACUUAUUUUAAGAGCAUUUGCUUCAAUAUAAACCACAACAGGGUAAUAAGACUGUCCUAGACCUGAGAUCAAAUGUGUAAUGAAGUCAAGAGAAGAAACUGAACUUCCAGCCAUUGCUAAUUCAUCAGUUACUGACCUCAGUUUACAAAAAUAUUCAGUAAUGGACAUGGAUCCUUUCUUAAGAUUGUUUAACAACAUCUUUAAAUGCACUUUCUUUGCUGCUGUUUCAAAUCCAAAUUGUUCCUCUAGACUUAUCCAAAGCUCUCGAGAGGUUUUAGAAUUUACCACAAUGCUUAAGAUCUCCACAGUGAUUGAAGACAGAAGCCAGCUCAAGAUCAUCUGAUCUUGCCUUUUCCAAGUGAUGCAAGCAGGAUUCUCUGAGACAACCACUGCAUCUGUGCUUGUUGAUUCUCCAGUCAGCAGCUGGUUUGGACAGGUACGUGAUCCAUCAAGAAAACCUUCCAGAUCAUUUGCUCGAAUGGCUGAAAGGAUCUGAGAUUUCCAUAUGGUGUAAUUCGAUCUGUCAAGCUUGAUUGGUGUGGUGAAAGUAAAUGUUGAGAUUGCGGAAGAGACAUUUGUACUAAGACUUGAAGAGGCCAUGAUCAUGAAGUGAUUCAAGGCUCUGAUACCAAAUUAGAAUUAGAUCUAUUGAUUUGGAAUGUUUGUUUACAGAGAAAAUCUGAGCAAGAGAGAAAGAAAAUUUAUUCUUGUUAUUAUUAACAGAAUGGGAUCACCAGCUUAUAUAUGUUGCUUGCUGGAAUCUCUUUUACACACUCAUCACUUUCACGUGUAUUUCACCUUUUUAGAGAAGCUAAAUAACAAACUAAACAAACUAACGACUACUUUGCUGACUGGACUGCCACGUCACCAUAACUGAAUUAACUAAACUAAUGCUGUUAACACAUAUUCUUAUCACGGAAGCUAUUGUUUUUGAGAUCUAACACUCUGAGAAAACUUAAAUUACCAAUGUGAGGCGACAGAGACCCCUGCAAGAGUAAAGAUGGAAGAAGUAAUGCAGUCACCCUUUGGUGCCGUCGACUGCAAGUGACACCUUUCCAUUGACAAAAGUGCCUGGAAUAGUUCCAUGAACUCAAAACCUCAAGAGGGUCAUGAGUAACUUUGGCCUUGAAUUCAAGCAAUGCAAGUUGAUCAGUUUCAUUUCUUUUGAGCAUAUAAUCGGUUGACUGCAAGCUGAAGCUGAAGCAACAGAAAAUAAAGAAACAAAUGCUUGCAAUGAUUGAACUCGUCAUGUUUACAAAAUCCAUUUAACUGCCGAAAGGAAAUUAAAAUGAUAAAACUUUUAUAGAGGUCGGUAAGAUAAACUAUGUUUGUAUAUUUUUUGCAAUGAUUUAUGGACUCUGUCUUUGAUGCUCAAAUGUGAACCGGCUGGCACCGUGACAGUGAAACUAAAACUUUUUGUUUUUCUAAUAAUAUUAAUUAUCAUAUUUAUUACUAUUGUUAGAAUAAUAUAUUGCAGCUUUAAAGAAAGACUCACCAUACUCCUUUUUGAGUCUCUGUCAGUUUCCAGCAUUUGGUCAUUUUUUAUUUCACCGCUUAAUCCACAGUAAAAUAUAAAACAAUUUAAUCAACAAUAUUGAAAAGAAAAAAAGUAGGACAAGAGAAAGGUAAAUACUGUUAAAUGAGUUGGGAAACGUUCAAAGCACGAAGGGAAUUAGAAAAGAAAAAAAGUAGGAUAAGAAAGUUAAGUAUGAUGGAUGGAGUUUCACAUUACUGUUAAAUGACUUGGGAAAGGUUUAAAGCACGACAGGAAUCAACGUUUCACAACGCUUUUUAGAUUUUUUUCUAAAAGGAAAAAGAUAUUCUCACAAAAGUAAGUACAAAAUUUCACACAAAACGGUGCAUUUAAAUAAAGUAAAAUUGCAAAAAUACUCAAAAUAUAUAAGAUUGAUUAUUUACACCCUCUUUGUUUAUCUUGGGUGAACUAUUUCUGGAAAAUGGGCAGAGCCUAGUUUGGUUCAAAAUUUGAAAUAACAAAAGGUAUAUUGGUGGAAAACCAGCGACAUAUUUUCUAAUGGUUAACCUAAAUGGGAAUUAUAUCGGUUUGUACUGUCAAUAUAACAAACAACUAACUAAAUUAUUUAGAAGUCAUGAAUAAAAAUGGAUAGAACAAGAAGUAUAUUGCUAUUCGAUGCAAGAAGUUGGAUUAUUAAACCAUAAUAAAAUAAUAUAACUACACAUGUGCAAUAUUAUUCACUAGAAAGAUUUAAUUUAGAUAUUAAACAGUUAGUGCAACUGUAUCGAUCUCAUGCUCAUUAAUUUAGAGUUUGAGAACUCAUAAUAAAAGAAAAUAGAAAUUUAAACAUAGAUCCUAUCCUAUUAAGUAGAAUCAGAAAAGAAGUUUACAGAAAUAAUUUUUCAUGGAAAUAAUGAAAUAUUAAUCCUGUUGAUGGAUAUAUUGGUGAAUACAUAAUAGAACAUUAUAAUAGAUUUUUAUCUAUCAAGCAAAGGGAAGAAUAUAAUUGGAAUAACAAAAGAAUUAGAAGUAAAUAGUAAUAUGCUAAUAGGAUAUAGAGGAUUAAUAUUAAUUAUCAUAUUUGUGUGUGUAUGUAUAUAUAUAUAUUUUAAAUGAUUUAGGGACUCUGUACUUGAUGCUGAAAUGUGAACCGGCUGGCACCGGGACAGUGAAACUAGUACUUUUUUUCCCUUAAAGCACCACAGGAAUCAACGUUUCACAAAGCUUUUUUUCCCUUUCUGAAAUAUUCGGUGCAGUCUCCCCCAGAUUUUGCUAGUGCAACCAAGAGACGUCAUGCCGUUAUCAAUUAUAAACUGUAAAUGACAUGUUGUUUUUACAAGACAUAUUAUGCGUCGAUACAUAUCUAUGAAUGGGUUCAAGAAAUUCCGAAGGUUGCGAAACAAUAAGAUUCAUUUAAUUAUGUGGGUUUGGCCACCAAUUUAGCAUUAGGAACUUAUUGUUUAGGAAGCUAUGGUGGGUUUCGUAGUGGGACUUAUCCUGUUUAAUGCAUUUGGUGAUUUUAAACCAACAUAUAUAUAAUUCCAUUAUAAAACUCAUCAAACCUUCUAAAAUAACAUGUUGAGAUAGUGUGCUAGAUCCAUAUAAAUAUUCAUUUCCAUUGAUAGUUUAAUGGGCAAAGCCUUUUGAAUUCUCCAUGUUAUCAAGUUAAUUUUUGCUGGAAAAUGCAAUCCGGAUAUGAAUAGAAUUUUUUGUGCAAUCAAAUUUUCUAUGUUGACACAUCCUCUGGAACUUUCCAUAACUUUUAUGGGGAAGCUUUAAUUUCUUAGUUGUUGAUUUCGAAUAAAAAAUAAACUUAACUUUAAAAUUACAAUUGUAAUUAUAAAAUAUUUACUGAAUACAUUAGUGUUAAUACUACAAAUUGUUCCAUUAAAAGUCUCCCAGAAAGGAAGAAGUGACUUAAAAAAUUAAAAGAAUGCAGGAGCUGAAGUUGGCAAUUUUGUAAAUUGCAAUGGCAAUUGUGGCCUAGUAAAAUCCCUCAAUAAGUCACAGCACUAGCAAUUUCGUAAUAUACAUUAGUGGCAAUUUUGUAAAAUUGAAGUAGUGAUAGUUUUGCAAAUAAAAGUAAAAACUUUUUCCCUAAAUUCGGCUGAGCUAAAAGCCAGCUUAGCCCACACUCUCCUUCGCCACUGGUUGACGAGCUCUUCCUUCAAUUUUUGAACUUGAAGUGAUGCCCCAUCGAUCAAAUAUUUAAGCAGAAUGAUGACGGAGUUACAAACAAUCAAAUAUGAUCCUAAUGAUUCUUUUUAGAGAGUCACCUGUACGUUGACGUGUUUAAUUGAUGUUUAUUUAACCAGAAAUUGAAGUUUGAUCCUGAUUAAUUAGAUGAGAACACACAUUCAUGAGUAAUUACUUAAAAUUAAAUUAAUCAAAAAUAGUAUAAAUACAGGAGAAAAUCGACCAUAUGCGUGCAGACACCACAAUCGAAUUAUAUAUAUCACCGCCGCACAUAAAUCUUAUUCCAAUGAUAUAUGAUUAAUUAAUUAAUUUUUUUAAUAACAAUUAAAUUGUAAUGUCAAUUGUCCACAUAAGAUUUUUUUUUUUGUUGAUGAAAGUUAGCAAUUUUUUUUCCAUUUUUUUAAAUAAUAGUUGUUAAUACAAAUCAAAAAGAUAUUAGCACUUGAGAUCAGGGUCUACUUGAGUUAGAAUUUUUUAUUAGAAAAGUUAUUAGCCAGCGAUGAAAAAUAAAGAAGUAACACAAGAUAAAGAGUAAAAUGAGAGAGUAUGUAUUAUAAAAAAUUUUUAUCCAUUUCAAGUGUGUACCAAACAAAGAGAUGAACUCUCCUUUCAUAAUUACAUAAUUAUUACAUGAAAUUAAUGAAAAUAUUAUGGAUUAUAAUUCCUUGCGAGAUAGUGGGAGUUAUAGAAAAGUCAAGAGUUGUUAGUGGAAGAUAAGAGAGAGAGUAAAAGAUAUAUGUUAUGAAGGUUUACAUUUAUUUUAAUAAAUUCAUAGUAUUUUUUUCCUUAAAUAAUAGGGUGUGGAGAACAAUUGGAAGGACUUUACGUGUGUGUGUAUAUAUUGACAUAGAAAUUGCAGGACGCGUAGUUUAGCGUUUCAAAUAGGUGCUCUCAGUUGGAAUUAUAUAUAGAACAUUAUUUAUGGCAAACAGGUGCUCUCAGGUGCUCUCAGUUUACGGCUUUUUACGGCAAACAGGUGCUCUCAGUUUUCAAAAUCUCGAGCGCGCGGGUUAUUUUUCAUUACCUUUAUCGCCGAAAGGCUGUUUUAACCAACUAAGAACUAAAAGCUAAAACCCAAAACCCCCCUCUUGUUCGUUUCCAGGGACUUUACCUUGAUGGCCGAAAAGCAACUGGAAAUCCUCCGCGGGUACGAGCUGCGGCUCUUGCCCUGCACCCUCGCUCCCCCACCGUCGGACCUUCGCAUUCAAUCGCAACCGUUGAACGAAGAAAGCCAAUGCUCUCUCCUUCCACUCCACGAGCACAUCAACAGCCUCAUCAACUCCAUCGAGUCCGGCCACUAUCUCCAGGCUCUGUCCUCCGACGCGGCUAAACACGCUCUCGACAAGCUCGAUUUCGUCGACAUCAACGACUCAGCCGAGUGUGCCGACCGCGUCUACUCCGAGCUGCUCCAGCUUGUCGAAGCGUUUAUAGUGAACGAUUCCGAAAAUGACGUGGAUAAGGCUUGUCAAGUUAUUCUGCUCAUGUGUCUUUCAAUUGCUGCUCUUUUUUGGUUCACUCAGUGUAACGUGACUGGGUGAGUUGCUUAUUUAUAAAUUUUUAAAUAAUUGCAAUUAAUAUAAUGAAUAUUAAUAAAAAAUUACAAAAAAAAGGUUUAGUGAUGAACGUUUGAACAUGAAUUAAUAGGCCUUUAGUUGAAAUUUGCCAAAGUGUCGGUUUCCACUAGAAGUUUCAACUUUAGAAGGCAACGAAUUGAUAGAGUGGGAGAAUUGGGCGCGUUAUCAGCUCAUGUCUGUUGGCUCUGACUUGCUGGGAAAGUUCUCCUAUCUUCAGGUACUCAGUCUAUCGAAAAAUGAAUAGAUUCUAUUGCUUAGACAGUGUUAAUGUUAAUAUUAUCUUUUUUAACUUAUUUUACAUUUUGUGAUCUUUUUGUAGUAUAUAGUUUUUGCCAAAAUGUUGAUCAUGAAGACAAAAGAUUUGCUGUCUGAUGCAACUGUGUUGCCUGUGAAUGGGAUUAGAACCAUUUCAUGGUGGCUCACAAGACUCCUACUUAUGCAUCAAAGGAUUUUAGACGAGCAGUUGUCUUCUUUGUAUGAUCUAUUGAAAGUUCUUUGUAUGAUCUAUUGAAAAUUUUUAGGGCUGAGACUUUACAACAUUUUGGCACUUUGGAAAAUGUUAGUACUUAUUGGGGCAACCAGUUGCAUGAUAUCGAUCCUUCAGAGAUUAUUUCAACAUUUCAUUUAGAAGCAGGACUGUAAGAACACAUUUACAGGAGAGUUGAUUCUUGCAGGUGAGUUAUCCUGGGAAAGUUUUAUAUUCGAUGGUCUUAUUUCUGGCUUCAUUAGAAAAGUUUUCUCUUGGAAACAUGUUAUUUCCAACAUGGAACUUGCCUGUAGAACUCUCUCCGUCAUCGAAAAUGAUUUUGUGCAUUGUGUGUAAGGGAGAUGCAAGAACAAAGUUUUAUGUUUGGACUUCAUCAAAAUCUCCCAUUUUUUUAAUGUUUAUUGUUUCAAUCAUUAAACAUUAGUUUGAGUUGUUAGCAGUGGAAUUUGCAUUAACUGAUUACUAACUUCCAUCAUUACCAUUAUUAUAGGACUUCUUCUAUAGUUUCUGCUGCUUUCUAAAAUGCUUUACUGUAUCAGGAAACAUUUUGAAUCAGCUGAAGUGGCAGCUGGUUUCCAGCUUUCGGUUAUUGGGGUUCUUGGUUUCCGUACUGUCCGUCAGGUAAAGAUUGAAUGUGCAUCAUUUAUAAAGUUGUCGGGAGCUUCCUUCUUAGCUUUGAGAUUGCUCCUGCAUAUAGGUAGAACCAAAGGCACAAAUGGUACAUGUUGCAAACACAAGCUCAUCCAGCACUUCUGAUGUCUGCCCUUCAAUAAACCAAGUCAUUCAUACACAUGAUUCUUCGGUGAUGCCUCUGAUGUUUUUGUGGCCCCAAAAUUAUUGGGGAAUAGUCACGAAUCUGAAUCUGGAGUCCAAUGCAUUCACGCUGGUGGCUCAGCAGCCCAUUUAAAGGCAAUCCAACAGGCAGUGAUCUUGUCGAGGUGCCUUCUAAUAGAAAAGAGCUCACGGCAAGAUGAAAUGCAAAGUAAGUUGUUUUAUGGUUGGGCGGUGUGUAGUCCUCUUGUUAAAGGCCAUAAGAUGUUAAGCAUAUUGCUAUUUAAUUUUUAAAUCAUUCUCAGUAAUAAUUCCUUUAGUAGAUUGAUGAUAAGAGAUUGCAUUACAGAUGAUAACUGAGCACAAUUUCUGUAGUUGUAUCCCUGUACAUCCAUCUUAAUAUCCUCAUUAUUCACAUGCCUUUUACGGGUGUUAUUUCUGGAUGCCGAAUGCUUUGUUCCACGUCUGGAUACCAAAUGCUUUGUUCCACAAAGCUGAGCUGGUUGAAAAGCUAGCUGAUGAGGUCAACAUGUCCCUUAAGUAAUUUGAGAAUGAACACUGUGUUCCCGAAAGUCUUACUCUAAUGAUACUUAAAGAAGCAAUGAGAAUGGAUGUUGCAGCAGCUUUGCUGAACUUAACCCCAGUUCCAAAUAUGGAACAUGUGAGAACCGAAAAUGCAUUGUUUUUUUUUUUUUUCUCUUUAUGACUUCUCUAGUUGGGGAAUGUAUUAGAUAUUCACCUAAUCAGUAGGCCUUGAAGGGAUCCCAUGUUAGCCCCUUGAUGUUGGUCUGUAACUAAGUAAAUACUUGACCUUGAAAAAGCUUUUGGAGGCAUCAGUUUCUCUCUGACUGUGUGCUACUUUUUGGAUCUGUUGAUUUGGUCAUUUGCUGAUUUAUAGUU
This 99958-nucleotide long non-coding RNA is filed under the name Citrus x clementina. RNAcentral describes it as "Citrus clementina (C. clementina) long non-coding RNA (CCLE_LNC003586)". Lineage: Eukaryota; Viridiplantae; Streptophyta; Magnoliopsida; Sapindales; Rutaceae. The record is from RNAcentral.